UAUGAUCCUUCUCGAUUACCUUGAGACAACGGGUGUUAGGCACGGCAAACCUGCUUUUCUGAAGAAUUUCUUGGGCAGUUUAAAGAAAUUAGAAUUUGAUGGAGCGAUUAAAAGAGAGAUUGUAAUUCCAUCUCAUGUACUUCCUUACUUGAAGACCUUAGAAGAAUUGAAUGUACAUAGCUCCGAUGCAGCGCAGGUAAUAUUUGACAUAGAUGACACUGAUGCCAACACCAAGGGAAUGGUCCUUCCAUUGAAAAAUCUUACUUUAAAAGACUUGCCAAAUUUGAAAUGUGUAUGGAACAAAAACCCCCAAGGUCUCGGCUUUCCCAAUUUGCAACAAGUGUUUGUUACUAAAUGUAGAAGCCUGGCAACAUUGUUCCCUUUGUCCCUUGCCAAAAAUCUUGGGAAGCUUCAGACACUUACAGUACUGAGGUGUGACAAGUUGGUAGAAAUUGUUGGAAAGGAAGAUGCAAUGGAACUUGGAAGAACAGAAAUAUUUGAAUUCCCUUGUUUGUUGGAGUUGUGUCUUUAUAAGCUGUCACUGCUUAGUUGCUUUUAUCCUGGAAAACACCAUCUGGAAUGCCCCGUAUUAAAAUGCUUGGAUGUGUCCUACUGUCCUAUGUUGAAGCUAUUCACAUCAGAAUUUCAAAAUAGUCACAAAGAAGCAGUUAUAGAGCAACCUCUUUUCAUGGUUGAAAAGGUGACAAAUUAAAGCAUUAUCACUUUAACCUUUUUUGUUUUAUUUUCUUUUCAUUAUAUAUAUUUUCCUUCUUCUGAGUUCUAACUGCCACCAUGCAUUUUCUUUUGAAUAAUCGAAAGGUUGAUCCCAAACUGAAGGAAUUGACACUCAAUGAAGAAAACAUUAUCUUGUUGAGGGAUGCACAUUUGCCACAAGACUUCCUUUACAAAUUAAAUAUUCUUGAUCUGUCCUUUGAUGAUUAUGAGAAUAAGAAAGAUACUUUGCCUUUUGAUUUCCUUCACAAGGUACCCAGUGUAGAAUGUCUUCGAGUGCAAAGAUGCUAUGGUCUCAAGGAGAUAUUUCCCUCUCAAAAGCUCCAAGUUCAUCACGGAAUACUUGCGCGAUUGAAUCAAUUAGAGUUAAACAAACUAAAAGAGUUGGAGUCGAUAGGGUUGGAGCACCCAUGGGUAAAGCCAUACUCUGCAAAGCUUGAAAUAUUAAAUAUUCGCAAAUGCUCUCGGUUAGAAAAAGUAGUGUCUUGUGCAGUAUCUUUCAUUAGUCUCAAAGAGUUGUAUUUGAGUGACUGUGAAAGGAUGGAGUAUUUAUUCACAUCUUCAACGGCCAAAAGUUUGGUGCAACUUAAGAUCCUAUAUAUAGAAAAAUGUGAAUCAAUAAAAGAAAUAGUAAGAAAAGAAGAUGAAAGCGAUGCUUCUGAAGAGAUCAUAUUUGGACGGCUCACAAAAUUAUGGUUGGAAUCCUUAGGAAGGCUAGUAAGGUUUUAUUCAGGGGAUGACACCUUGCAAUUCUCAUGUUUGGAAGAAGCCACCAUAACUGAAUGCCCCAAUAUGAAUACUUUCUCUGAAGGAUUCGUAAAUGCGCCAAUGUUUGAGGGGAUUAAAACUUCAAGGGAGGAUUCUGAUUUAACAUUCCACCAUGAUCUCAACUCCACAAUCAAGAAGUUGUUUCACCAACAUGUAAGUAAUCCAUUAUCCAAAUUCAAUUGCUAUUUGCUUAUUAUAAGUAAAUUAGUAUUCUAACACGUGCACUAUAUAAUUAAAAUAAUAAUUUUUUACAUAUAAAAAUUAUAUUAUAAUUAAAAUUUAUUUAAAAAAUAUUUUAUACCUAAAAAUUAUAUUUUAAAUUUAUGAUAAAUAGUCUAUAUUAUAAUAUAUUUUCAUUAUUGAUUAUUGAUAAUUUUAAAAAAUAUAUUCAAAUAAAUUUAGAACUAAAGAUUUGGUCAAUUUCUUUUUGUUUGUCAUUACUUUUAGUUUCUAAAAAGAUUAAAAAUAAGAAAAAAGUUAAGGAACUAAAAUCAAUUAAAAAAAUUUAUAAAUUAAAAACAAAAACAUUAAAAAUUUUAGGAGACUAAAAGGAUAGUAAACUCUAUAUUUUAACAUAAGAAGAAUGAAAAUGUAAUACUCAUACAUCUCAAAGAAAAAAGUGUGCUUUAUUAUACAUUUUAGCAUAAGAAAGAUAAUGUACAACUAGCAUCUCUUUAAGAAAGAAGAAAUUUACUCUUUUUUUUUUUGUAAAAAAAGUGUAAUUUACUUUAAGAUUAUUAAGUUAAAUAAAUUAAAUUAUAUAUUUCAAUACAAGAGGAAAGGAUAGUGUAAUAUUCAUAUCUCUUUUGAAAUUUCAUCUUCUAUGAUCACAAAAUUGUUAAUUAUAGUGAGGAUCGUUAUGACAGAAAAAAUAAAAUCUUUCAAAAAGCUCAUUUAGAUUAAAAUGGACUCAACUACAAUAUAAAUAUUGUUCUUUUAAAAAAAGUAAUAUUUUCAAAUAAGAAGAAAAGAGACUGUAAUAUAGGCAUGAGACACCUCUCAUAAUAGCCAAAUAUAAGUCAACCAAAAAUUUUUAAGUUGUAAGGUGAAGACAUAUAAGUGAUUUUAUAUUACAUCUAUAUACAACCAGAACAUGUUGGCAUACUAUAAAUGGGUGCUCAGAAUGUUAAAAUAAAUUAAUUCUACACUUCAUUCUGUUCAACAACUUGCUUUCAAUAUUAAUUUUUAUUAAAAUGGAAAUAUUGGUUUUGUGUAAAAUGAAAAGAGAGUAGUAGAUUUUAAUAACUUCAUAGUUUAUAAUGCAUAUGCAUUCAUUUUAUCACAAUAUGUAAUGAGUGAAAUUUUUGUUUCAAAUAAGAAUAUUUCAAACCCUUUCAAAAAAUAAUUGUUUUGCACGUACAGGUGGAAAAGUCUGCAUGCAAUAUAGAGCAUUUGAAAUUUGGUGAUCACCAUCACCUAGAAUAGAUAUGGCUUGGUGUAGUUCCAAUCCCAAGUAAAAAUUGUUUCAACAGUUUGAAAUCUUUAACUGUGGUGGAAUGUGAAUCUUUAUCCAAUGUGAUUCAUUUUUAUUUACUGCGAUUUCUUUGUAACUUGAAAGAGAUCGAGGUAAGCAACUGCCAAUCUGUUAAGGCAAUAUUUGAUAUGAAAGGUACAAAGGCAGAUAUGAAGCCAGGUUCUCAGUUUUCUCUUCCUUUGAAGAAACUGAUUCUAAAUCAGUUGCCGAAUCUGGAGCAUAUCUGGAAUCCGAAUCCUGAUGAAAUUCUCAGCCUUCAAGAAGUGUGCAUUUCUAACUGUCAAAGCCUCAAAAGUUUGUUUCCAACAUCAGUGGCCAAUCAUCUUGCUAAGCUUGAUGUGAGAUCUUGUGCAACAUUGGAAGAAAUUUUUGUAGAAAAUGAAGCAGCCUUGAAGGGAGAAACUAAACUGUUCAAUUUCCAUUGUCUGACCUCAUUAACAUUAUGGGAAUUACCAGAGCUGAAGUAUUUCUACAAUGGAAAACACUCACUAGAAUGGCCAAUGCUAACACAACUAGAUGUAUAUCAUUGUGACAAGUUGAAAUUGUUUACAACUGAGCAUCAUAGUGGUGAAGUUGCAGAUAUAGAGUACCCACUUCGUACUUCAAUUGAUCAGCAAGCCGUUUUCUCAGUUGAAAAGGUACCAAAAAGAUUUCCUAUCUAGUUUUCAUAUUAUGCUUGCACGUCUCAAUAUGCAUAAAUUAUUAAAGAAAUUGCUAGUCACAAACUUUUUGGCAUCCCAUGCUGAUCUUAAAUAAUUCAGAUUCACUUUCAAUUAAUGGGACGAGCAUUAAAAAAAAUACAAAUAGUAAAAUAAUGUUAAAAAAUGCUUUAAGAGUGUAUUGUUCAUAUUCUUCAAAUAAAAAGAAAAAAUGAGAAUACAAAAAUAAGCUACUGAGCUUAUUAAAGUGAUCUCUCUUCAUCAUGCCAAAAAAUGGAGUGUUUAAAACAUAGGGUCAAAUAGUGUAUUUUGCUAUCAUUUUCAUAAUUAAUUGAAAUUGAAAGUGUGAAUUUAAUCAAAUAUUUUUCCUUUUUUAAUACAUUCAAAACUACCAUUUAUGGUAAAUUGAGUUAGAUCUCAUUACGAAUCCUAUAUUUUGUUUCGAACAAUUAAAUUCCUAGGUUUUCCCAAACUUGGUGCAACUAUCACUCAAAAAGGAAGAUGCCAUAGGAAUUUUGCAAGGACAGAUUCAGGCAAGGACAAUUUCUCAAAUUGUGCUUGUUUCAUAACUCCUAUUUUGCUUCUUUAUUUUUUUUCUGCUAUUUCUCUCUUAAUGACCUUUUUCUUGUAUUUUUCAUCUUGUACCCUUUCUUGCUUCUGAUUUUCUUAGGUCAUGCCUAGCUUGGAGCAUCAAGCAAUCGCUUGCAAAGACAAUAUGAUUGGGCAAGGACAAUUUGUUGCAAAUGCUGCACACCUCCUGCAAAAUUUAAGAGUUCUCAAAUUGAUGUGUUACCAUGAGGAUGAUGAGUCAAAUAUAUUCUCCAGUGGAUUGGAAGAGAUAUCCAGCAUUGAAAAUCUUGAAGUGUUCUGUAGUUCCUUCAAUGAAAUAUUCUCCUCUCAGAUACCUAGCACCAAUUGUACCAAAGUCCUUUCAAAGCUGAAAAAAUUACAUUUGAAGAGUCUCCAACAGCUGAAUUCCAUAGGAUUAGAACACUCAUGGGUGGAACCCUUACUUAAAACACUAGAAACAUUGGAAGUGUUUUCUUGCCCUAGCAUCAAAAACUUGGUGCCGUCAACCGUGUCUUUUGCAAAUCUUACCUCUUUGAAUGUUGAAGAAUGCCAUGGAUUGGUAUAUUUGUUCACAUCCUCAACAGCCAAAAGUCUAGGUCAACUGAAGCAUAUUCCAUACGGGAUUGCCAAGCAAUACAAGAAAUAGUGUCCAAAGAGGGAGAUCACGAAUCCAAUGAUGAAGAGAUAACAUUUGAGCAGCUGAGCGUUUUGUCUCUUGAUUCUUUACCAAGCAUAGUAGGAAUCUACUCAGGGACUUUCAAGUUGAAAUUCCCUUCCUUGGAUCAAGUGACUUUAACAGAAUGCCCUAAAAUGAAAUAUUCUUAUGUACCUGAUUUGCAUCAAUUCAAGCCUCUUGAGCAAAUUUAAUUGGAAGAGCAGGAGUUUUAGGUAGGUAUUAACUUUGCAAGUUAAUACUCAUGGUUAGGGAAUACAUAUGCACUUAUUUGGCUAACCAACAUCUCCAUCUUUUACCAUGUUUUUGCUAAAUUUCCAUGGAGUUAUAUACUCUGUUUUUACCUUCCCCUUAGUCCUUGUCAUCAUAUUGCAUAUGUUGUCUGCCAAAGGCAUGCCUUAAGAGCAUAAAGAUUAGUUGUAUUCUGAUACACUUCCUUCAAUAGUUCGCUUUUAGAAAAUGUUUUCAACUCACUAUUAUUUAAACCUUGUUUUGGUGAAUACGAUAGUAGUGAUAACAUGGAUUAUACCUUUUACUCUCUUGGCUCUAUUGUUAUUUUGUUGAACAGUCCUUUAUAAUAUGUGAUUGCACAUUCUACAAUUUCGUAAUUAAUUUCAAAACUAAUGAAUGUUAGAGAUGCCUAAGAAGAUAAUGUAGUAAUGAUUGCAUAUGGACUUUAAAGAUGCAUAAUAAUUAAUUCCUAUUUCUUCCAACUAAAGAAAUUUAUCGUGAUAGUCGUGUGCAUUUCUCUGAAUUGCAUAUUUAAAAGAAGUAUUUAUAUUCUAACUGAAUCUUUUAUCAACUCACAUUUUUUUGUUUGUUCAGGGAAUCCAUCAGGCAGCACUCAUUAUACAAUCAUAUAGACAAUAAAAAACAUUGGGAAUUCUUCUUAGCAUCAUAUGGUAAGUUACAAUAUAUGCAUUAUUCCUUUCAUGCAUACUAUAAUUUUCACAAAUCACCGCAUAAUAUUUAUCAUAAAAAUUAAUAUAUUUAUCAUACAUACAUAAUAAUUUAUGAUCUUAAAUAAUACUCUAAAACUAUUUUACAGUAUAUAAGUGCAUAACCUUAUCAUUAAAUAAUAUCGUAAUUUCAGUUUUUCUGAACUUUUUUUUCUCAUUUGUUUCAGGAAUUCAUUGUCCAGUACUCAUGAACUGUUCACUGUUGGUAAGUUAUUACUAGAUACCUGUUCCUGAAAAACUGCAUUUCUUAGGGCUUCCCUAUCAUUGAAAAAUAUUAAUAGUGUUUGAAGCACUGCUUGAAAUUGAAGUUAAAAACGAUGCUUAAAUAUAAUGGAAAAAAAAUGAAAAGUUAAUUCCAAUAAUGCACAAAGUUCAAAGCUAACAAUGUAAUAUGUUCUUUUGAAAUAAGCUUAAAUAUAUUUUUGAUCCCUAACAAAUAUUUGAUUUUUCAUUUACUCCCUACUAAAUUUUGAGUCUCUAAUAAAACAAUAAUUAUUUUUGAUCUUUGACACUUAUGUUUAAUCCCUAAUAAAUUUGUAUUCACUCCAUGAUAAAUAUUUUUUAUUAGUUAUUAAUACAAACUAAAACAAAAUUUGUUAAUUUAUUAGAAAGUAAACAUAAAAUUUUAUAAAUUAUCAGGGACUAAAACAAAAUAUGAAAGAUAAAAAAGUUUUAUUUUAUUAAGGAUUCAACAUAAAACAAAAAUUUAUUAUAUAUUUAUUAAAAAUUAAAAACAUAUUUAAGGCUUUAAAAUAUAUUGAAAAGAUACUUAUGUAUUUUGCAUAUCAAAAAGGAGGAAAUGCCUCCCCAAUCGUGAAACUCUGUCAUCUUUCACUUUUCCGGUUUAGAAAAGUUUUCUUAUUUAAAAAAAAAAAGCCUUAAUAUAUAUUACUAGAAGCACUAUAUGUGGCAGCAGUCAUUUUUCUAUAUGGAUUAAUGUCCUUGUAUUUAUCGUAACAAAACAAAAUACUCAAAGUUAUAUAAUUAUUCUUUGAUAUUGUUUUUAGGUUGAAUGGAACUUCAACAUCGAAAUAAUUGAUGGAGGAAACAAUCAUGGCAAUAUUAUGAAAUAAAGGUUUAUGCUAGUCUUAUUUUUUAAGUGGUGUUGUGGAGUAAUCUUGACCUACAUUGUGAUGUAUAUUUUCUCUUUUAUUUGGCAUGACUUUGAGUCAGUUACAGAUCCUCUGUAGUUUUAGUUUUAUAAAAAUACUUUCUCUGUCUUUUUUUUAUAAGCCAAAUAAUUCAUUAAAGAUAAAGGAAAUCAUUUCUUAUGCACAAGGAAUGUCCAAGCUUAACACCAAAACAUGAGAAAAUUUCGAUACAAGUCCUGUAUCCUGAAAACAGAACCAACCUUCUGCACUUAUCAUACAGUCCAAGACACCCUGAAGCUAAAACAUCAACCUCAAGCAGGACAAUACGUGAUACACAUUUCGUGUACAAAUUAACAAUAGUUAACCCAUCAAGGAGCUAAACAACUUGUGUGCAGCUGUAUGCUAGACUUCUUCCACUUGAUCCAUAAGAUAAAUCACUGAAGUUAUAUAAUGGUAUUGACACCAACAAGACAAAAUUCGUGCUGAGUCAUGCUAGACUUCUAGAUAUCAAGAAUGAUAUCCCACCAUAAAGUGAAUAGAAAACGUCUGAAGAAUGAACAGAGGCGAGUGAAGAAGAGAAUAUAUAGAAAAUAAGGGUGUCGUGUCCACCUUUCCCCUUCACACCUUAAUAUGGAUCCUCAUAAAUAUUGGAUUAAUAUGAAAGUUUAAACCCAUAUGGUUAUGAAGGACACUAUAUAGCACCUUUGGAGGAAAGUUUCAUGCUCGAAUUCUUAUCAUAAUUUCUUUUUAAACAAUUACCCAAUUCCGAACCCAUCCCUAUCCACUCCUUCAUAGUCGACACCAAGCUUCUUCAUCACCCUGUCACUGCUAUAGAUUUUAGUCUAAUUAAAAAAUCAUAAUUUUAUUUAAUUACAGAUAUCAAGAAUUUCGAUCAACGACUAUAAUAGAAUAACUUCAAAUCCCCUGACUACAAGAAACAAAAAACAAAAAAACUCGAACUCUCCUUACCUAGCUAUAUAGAUGUAUACAUUUUUCAGACAGGAUGUGCUGAUCAUAUCACUAAGAGAUGAAUACUAAAGAUCUUUCGGAGGUCAAUUUCUCAGAGCCGAAUAGCAGUUGUAGAGUUGUGGACCAACAUUCUAAUCACUUCAUAGAACAAAAGAAUUAAAUACAGCUACAUAACCAUCCAAUUCCCUUAAACAUUACAAUUUCACACACCAAAAUAUGGCAGGAUUGCUCUACACUGCCCCUAAUCAGUUAUUAACACCCAUAAAGUUUAGGCUUUAUUUUCUUCCUUUGGCUUGUUCAGGCAGUUAACAUCUACCUAUUUUCUUUUCCAUCACCUUUCUACUUCAUUGUCUUGUCUUUCCUUUGUUUCUUUCCCAUCAUAUUAUUAUUAUAUCUCUUCCUCACUUUCUUUAUCUUCCAUUUCUUUUUUCUUUCUGUGACUUAUUUUCAUCCUUCCCAGUAACCCCCAACAUGGAAUGCAUCUAUGGCAUUUCCAAUUCCACAAUAAGUGGGAUAGGCUCCUUGUGAAAGCAGCUUUGUUGGAUGUCAAAGAAGCCAUCAAUAUCUUUAGUGCCUGACCAAAAUAGACAUAAUGAACGUCACCUCUAAAUUGACAAAAUUAAGACAAAUAUUGUUAAAUAAAACCAUUGAUAUGAAUCAAAAUUUCUUAAUCCAAUAUUGUGGCAGUGCAAAAGAACAAGUCGUCGGGAGUACUGAAUUGUGAAUAUUACCUGUGACUUCCUGAUUUUCACCAAAUGUUCCUCCAAAUCAUCCAACAACCGGUCAUUCUCCAUAAAUGGACAUGGAAUGCUUGAAGAAGUCGUCAUUGCUUUCACUUCCAGAUUAUCGCUAACAACAAAAAGACAUGGCCUCUUCAUAAAUCCCACAUCAGAUUUUCUUGCUCUAGAGGAUCUUGGGUCCAAAAGUUUGAUAUCUUUUGGAUCUUUUAGCAUAUCUUUGUUCUUUGAAAUCAUAUUCUUUUCAUAGAUGAUACGUCCCCUAUUAUCCUUCACUAUGCCAGUUCCAUACCAAUACUUGGCAGUGUCUUCUUCUGAAGCAUUUAGUGGAUUGCUCCCACAACCAAAAUGAGGAGCAACCUUUGGAUUCAGUAAGGAUUUGUUUGACGACGCUAUGAACCAUGAUGGAUCAAGAUUCUUCACACUUGUGUACAACUUAUCAAUGCUUCCCAAUGAUAAUUUGCCAUUCACAAGGUACAUAAUAGAUCCAAGUGGCAUUGUAAGGAAACUGACUAGAAAAUCAACAAAAUCUCCAUCUGCUUCGACAAACAGAAUCUUGUUCUGUGAUUUGCUCACUAUUACCUUGAUUUUUAUGUAAUCUUUCCGUUGACUUGGGCCAAUAUCUGGUAAGAAAGAGGACGAUGGCUCAGAUUUUCCGUUUUCCAAUGUGACACUUAGAGCAGAUUUGGAGGUUAAUGCUUGCUUUAGUAUGCUAAAUGCCUGAGAAAAAGAAAACAUAAAACAAUUCAAAUUGUGAAGUUAUAAUUCAUUAAACCUGGAAAGGUCCUGCGCAUCUACGAUUUUACAAGCUAAGGAACUCGAGGACGGUUAUCAGUUGCAUACAUAAGUAGCAAGUGCAAGUCGGAAAAAUGUCUUGAAUUCAAUGUAUCUGAAUUUUCUAGCACAAAACAAUCAUUAUAAUCCCCUGAUUUUUUUUGUAUUGGCAUAAACUUAUGACUCUUAUAACUAUUUGUUUCACAAUAGAUAUUCAUGCUGAAGUCUAACAUACUAUUUCGUAAAAAUCUUUAUUUGAAGAGAAAAAAUAAGGCAAAAUCUCUGUUCCCUAACUUCUGUCGGCCCAACUAAAACAAUAUCGGGAGGAUAAGUUUAUUUUUUCCAUUUCCAUCCUUCUAACCAAAAAACUCAUGCAAGUAAAUGAAUAAAAAGAAAUAUUACCUUAUUUGUGUCAACAUCUAGAGACUUUUCUUCCACCUUUCUGAAUUCUUUGUGUCCAAGUUGGAGUGGUGGUUUAAAGGAGACACUGGGAGAGCUACGGAGCACUGUCAAGUCAUCAAAGAUCAAGAACAUGGCAUCCCCUUUAACAAAAACACCAUUGCCACCAGCAGGCUCUACCAGCAUAUCUAGUUGUCUUUUCAUCAAGUUCCCACAGUGGCACUUUACCUCAUCAAAAGUACUCAGCGAGAAAUCACUGCCCUUUGAACAGAUGUGACACACGAAAUACUUUGUGGGCUGCGUAUCAUCCACCUUCAGUUUUAGUCUCUGGUAAGAGAAUUCUAACGGGUUGCGCGGAGAAAGCAGCAUUCGCUUGCAGAUGUCGUUCCAGAAAACAUCUGGGUUCAGAGCUUCCACACUCUUGAAUAGAUUGUUAAUGCAACCAAUCUCUAUUGGUUGCCCCAAUGUGUUCCCAAGCCGGAUGAUAGUUCCCAAUGGAAGGGUUAGGAAACUAAAGAGAACAUCUACAAAGUGUCCACUUGCUUCCGCCAUAACUACACGCUUUCGUUCAUUGUCCACCCAAUAUCUGCAAGGCACUGUUACUUCUUGGUUGGAAGCCAUAACUGAAACCUAAAACUAAAGAACUCUUAAUAUUAAUGAAGCAAAAUAACAUGCACGGGUUUUUGUGAAAUUUCUGACAUAUCAACCUCGAUUGUUGCUCGGGAUAAGGCACUUCCUAACUUUAUAUUUACAGAAUUACUUGCGCGUCUAUUUUUAAGGGAUAGGCUAACAUGCAUGCUCAGAGAGGGUUGUGCAAGUCCAUGGAAUUAAAGAAGCUGUAAAAAGAAAGGCAUGGCUUGAUUUUUUAAAAGAUUUAAACCAAAACUAAUCUUAAUACUCGAUUGAUUACUUAAAAAUAACAUUUUUUGGAAGAUCAGUUUGGAAUUUUUACAAAUUAAUUCUAAAUUGAUUUUGAAUUACAAAAUAGUUUAGGGUGUGUUGCGAGAGAUUUUUAGUUCUUUUAACUUAGUUUUCAAGAUAACUCUGAAAGUCUCCUAUCCUAUUAAAUUAGGUUGUAUUUAUGUGGUGACAGUGGUGAUUAAGACGUGAUAAUGGUAAUGUAGGUAUUGGUAGUGUUUGUUGUGUCUCUCAUAGGUGGUAGAUGCGGUGGUGCUGAUAAAUAAUAGUAGCAUGCUGUUAAUAAUAUUAUUGAUUAUAACGGUGAUAAUAAUAAUAACAACAAUAAUAAUAUUGCUGAUAAUGGGGAUAGAAGUAACGACAAUAAUUAUUCUUAAAUUCAUACAACGUGUGUUUCAUAAGACUAAAAUUGUAAUUUGCAAAAAAAAAUUCUUGAUUUUAAAAACGAACAUAAAAGUGUUUUGAAAUUAACUUAAAAAUUAUUUCAACUUCAUUCUACUCAAACACAUUAAUUUUUAAUAAUUACAUUUUAAAAAUCAAAAGGUUGCAACUACUCCAAACUGGCCUUAUGGAUUGGUUUUGAAUUUCAAAAUAUGUUUCAAAACAAAAUUAUCUCCUAAAACAUGUUUAAAACAAUUAUACAUACAUUUUUAAUUAGAAAUGUAGUUGCAUAUAUUUAACAAAAAAAAUCACAAAUUCUUACAAAUUUUAUAAAUUAUUUCAAAAUUUUGGAAUAUUUCUUAGGACCCACUAGAACACUUAGAUUAGGAGGAAAAAGAUAUUAUUUUAUGAUAGUAGAUGAUUACCCUGGAUACACCUUGUUUCUCAGGCAAUGAAAAACUGAUCUACAGAAUACAUGCAUGGUAGCCUAUAAUCUUUUAGGACAAAAUGAAAUCUUUCUUGUUUUAUCAAUUUAUCAUGUAUGGGCAGGAUUAUUAUUAUUUUUUAAUUCUUAUAACACUUCUCAUUUUCCAGCGGAAGAUUCUCUAGAUGAUAGAGGUGGGGCAGGAUGAAGAAGACAAGGACAAAGUUGUCAUUUUCCCAUGGGUUUGAAUUUUUCACUAACAAUUAAAACAUGACGUUGCAAUAAAAAAACAUAAAAACAAAGUCGAAGACUAACUCUAGCGGCAACCAAUCACUCUAUUUACAAUGAGGUCUUUUUUUUAAUGAGAACCACAAUUUGUCUUAGUAUAGGAAAGAAUAUUAUUUACGAAUUCUACAAAGAAAUAACACUUGUAGUUUUUUAAAAUGUGCAACAAUUAAUUAAUCCUAUUUGACGGAAAUAAGGGUGGUUAUGUACUAUACAAAAUGACCAAUCAAAAUAAUUAAAAUUUUUAUUAUUAUUGUUUCUGGUCAAGUUUAGAAUUUCCUUUUUUUUUUUAAAAAAAAGACUCUCACCCACUCCCACUAAAAAACAACACGGAUCACGUUGCGCACACCAAUUUUUUUUUUCAGGGGGUCCUUUUCUCCAUCUUAGAAUAUCAAAACGCAAAUUCAUUUUGGGCUAUUUGGCUUAAAUAUAUUUUUAGUUAAUCUAAGUUAUUAUUUUUUAUUUUUUAUAAGUUUUUUUUUUAAUUUUAAUUUAGGUGAGUUAUCGUUUUUUUAAUUUUGGUUUUAACGAGUUUUUUUUUUCAUUUUUUUUAGUCUUCACAAGUUCAUAAUUUUUAAUUUUAAUCUCUUUAAGAUUUUAAUUUUUUCAUUUAUAAUUCUCCUAAAUUUUCACUUACAGAGACGAAAAUUAGAAAAACUUAAAUUCAUAAGAACUAAAAAAAAAAAAAAAUACAAACUUACAAAUACUAUUGAAAAAUAAACUUACACAAACUAAAAAUGAAAAGAUAUUUACUUAUAGAGGGAAAAACAUGUGUUUUUUAAAACUAAAAUUCUAAUUUGCAAAAAAAAAAUCAAUUUGAAAAUCAACAUAAAAGGGUUAAUUUUGAAAUUAACUAAAAUUACUUGAACUCCAUUUUACCAAACACAUUAUGUUUUAAUAAUUACAUUUUAAAAACCAAAAGGUUGCAACCACUCCAACUGGCCUUGGGGUUUGUUUUUGAAUAUCAAAAUAUGUUUCGAAAGCAAAUUAUAUCCUAAAACUUGUUUUAAAAAAUUAUAUAUACAUUUUUAAUUAGAAAUGUAGUUGCAUUAAUUUAACAAAAAAAAUCAGAAAUUCUUACAAAUUUUAGUAAUUAUAUUAAAAUUUUGGAAUAUUUCUUUGGACCCACUAGAACACUUAGUUUAGGAGAAAAAAAUAUGUGACUUUAUGAUAGUAGAUGAUUACUCUAUAUACACUUUGUUUCUCAGGCAAUGAAAAACUGAUCUACAGGAUACAUGCAUGUUAGCAUAUCUUUUAGGACAAAAUGGAAUCUUUCUUGUUUUAUAAAUUUAUCAUUUAUGGCAGGAUUAUUAUUAUUUUUUAAUUCUUAUAACACUUCUCAUUUUCCCGCGGAAGAUUCUCUAGAUGAUAGAGGUGGGGCAGGAUGAAGAAGACAAGGACAAAGUCAUCAAUUAUUUAAUUUUAAUUUGAACAAUUAAAAUAUUUUAAUAAUAAUCUUUGAGCUAAUAAAGGUGGUUCACACAUGGAUUCUUCGAUGUACUUCUUUACUCAAUUUGCUAAAAUAAUAAAGGUACAAGUACAAAGACAAAUAUUUUAGGAUUAUAAAAUGGUGGGUUUGAAUUUUCACUAACAAUUACAACAUGACGUUGCAAUAAAAAAACACAAAACAAAGUCAAAGACUAACUCUAGCGGCAACCAAUCACUCUAUUUACAAUGAUGUCUUUUUUUUUUUUUUUAAUGAGAACUGCAAUUUGUCAUAGUAUAUGAAAGAAUAUUAUGUACGAAUUCUACAAAGAAAUAACACUUGUAUUCUUUUUAAAAUGUGCAACAAUUAAUUGUUCGUAUUUGACGGAAAUCAAGGGUGGUUAUGUGCUAUACAAAAUGACCAAUCAAAAUAAUUAAACUUUUGAUUAUUAUUGUUUCUGGUCAAGUUUAGAAUUUCCUUUUUUUUUUAAAUAAGACUCUCACCCACUCCCACUAAAAGACAACACGGAUCACGUUGCCCACCAAUUUUAUUUCAUGGGGUCCUUUUCAAUGUUAAUCUAAGUUACUAUUUUUUAUUUUUUACAAGUUUAUCUUCUUAAUUUUAGUUCACCUAAGUUAAUCUUUUUUUUUUAAUUUUUUUUCUAGUAAGUUCUUUUUUUAUUUUAUUUUUAGUAUUCAUAAGUUCAUAUAUAUAUAAUUUUAAUCUCUUUAAAAUUUUAAUUUUUUUAUUUAUAAUUCUCAUGAGUUUAUACUUAUACAAUAAAUUUAUACUUGUAAAGACCAAAAUUUUAAAAAACAACAUAAACUUAUAAAACUAAAAAUAAACAAAAUAUCGCAUAAGAAUCACAAUAGAAAAAACACACAUACACUGCAAUUUAAAAAAUAAACUUACCAAACUAAAAAUGAAAAGACAUUUACUUAUAGAGGAAAUAAAAAAACAUAUUUAAAUGUAGGCAUCACACCCCUAGAUCCAUCGUCCUUAAUUAUCCUUUAACAUAAGAAUACUCACACAUAUACCAUCACGUACUAUCCUCCCUCCCUCAGUUUUGCUCUCAGAUUUGACCUCAAUGCACCACACUGCACGUACGUACUCACUACCUUUGGCUCUUCUUAAUUAUGGUUGAACCUGCAGGCAGCAAACCCUAGCUUGCAUCCCCUCACUCUUCAUUUCACCCGCAAGCCACCAUUCUAUAAUUCAUCUCUUAUAGUUUUACUUCAUCUCCAUUCAUAGCAUAUAUAUUAUUAUGCGUAGGUGAACCAACCACACUGACCUCCUGGAUCAUCUCUGACAAACCCUACUGAAUUAGAAACCACCAGCAGCAGCAGCAGCAGCAGCCUAACCAGUCAGGUAAAUUAUUUUUUUAUUAUUAUUACAAGUGCAAAAAAGACACUCUUACUUAAAAGUUACCUGUAUACGUAGUCGGGUGUAAUUUGUUUUGAAAUAUGUAAUUGCUGUUGGAAGUUAAAAUAAAAUGUUUGUAGCGGUUAUAAUAGUUGAUGGUAAAUACGUUAGAAAAAUGAGCAGUUAAAAGCACUUGAAGGUGUGUGGUAAUCGCUGUUGCACGUGUUUGUGAUCUUUUGUUUAAUUAAGCCAGUGUUUGGAAACAGGUGGAUCAGGAUGUUGAAAAAACUGUGGUGGUCUUCUUAAAACUACUCUCUCUGAAGUAGUACUGAAUAAACAUGUAAGUCGACCGAUCUUUCCCUAUUCCAAAUAUAUCGGACAUGUUGCAGUUUUUUUUAUAUGGCACCUUAGACCAAUAGAACAUCACGAGGGAACUUUGAGCCCCUGAGUUUCUUGUUAUUUUUCAUUUUAUUUUUAAUACCAUUUGAUGUGUUCGUUUCUUUUUUUUAGAUUCCCGCGAAAAGGCUUAAGCUUUGUGAUCUUUUUUUUUAUGACAUGAUUUAUUAGGGAAAAACAAUAAUUAUAUUGGUUGUAUGUGUUUUUUUUUUUAAUUUUAUUUAAGUUGUAUGGGAUUUUUUGUGUUUUUUUUUAUUAAUUUUAGACAAAUUUUAUUAUUGUUCUUGAUUCUGGUUUUCUUAGUUUAAAUUAUGAUUAAUAUUAAAAUAAAAUUGUUUUGUGAACAUCUUUCUAAUUUAAAAAUAAAUAUAUCAAAGAAUAUAUAGGAAGACCUUUUAAUUCAAAUUAAAAGAUUAUUAUUUUUUGUGCUCUCUUUUUUUUGUGAUGUAUAUGACACUCUCUAUCUCAUACAUAUAUGUACUAUAAAAAGAAAAGAAAUCAUAAUUAAUCAAAAGUGUUUAAAACACAUUUAUAAAAAAAAAUCAUUUCAAAGGAUAAAAGACUCACAUUCAUUUUCUUUUACAUCAUAUUUAAACUUGUCCAAAAUAGAUAAUAAAUUCAUCUCGGCUCAAACAAGGUCAUCUAAGACUUCAUAUAAUCAAUAUAAAAGCUUAUAUCCUAAUGUCAUAUACUAUUAGAACAUUGUGUCCCGACGUUCUUCAUCACAAGGUUCCUUAAAACAAUUCACCUAGUCAUCUGUUCCUCCGAACACAAAGUUCAAUAUCAUCACAAGACCCAAAUACAAACAACAUACAAGGAGUGAAUUAUCACAUUCCUAACUAAUAGAGAGAAAUAAGAUAAUAUGUAGGUAUAAACAUUAUAUAAACAAAAUACAGCUUACUUAAGCAUCACUCACAUUAUUUCACAACUUUGUCACACAAAAUCACAUCACAAUACCACACAUCUCAUUUGUUUUCACAGCAUUCACGUACUCAAUGGUCAAACACAAUAUCACUAAAUCAAUCAAUAUCGAAUAAUACACAAGCGUUAUGCAACAGAUAUACUAAGACUCAAUCAUAUAUGCAAUGUGGUAUCAUGUCAGUGAAAAACCUCGUCGGUGCCUAAGAGUACAUUACAAGACAAACCACACACUAGUAAGUCAGAUCACUCUCACUAGGUAAAAUCAUAGGGAAAGCAGUCAGGGUCACGUUGCUUUGUGAGAAUGCUCCAACCAUAUGGGGUCAACAUAGGCUUAAAGGAACACUCAAACUGGGUGUAUUUACCCUUAAGGCUUACACUCUGAAGGGUUUGUCAAGGUCUCUCCCUCCUGAUUCAGGUCCAACCUAGAAAACAUUUUAGCACACAGACUUUAUCUAUGAACUGUACAAAACACACAACUCCUCAAUUAUUCUCAAAAUAGUUUUAACUCGUCCCCCUUAAAGAGUCCUAGCAUUAACUUGUCGCCUUUAAAGGGUCUUAACAUUAACUCGUCGCCCUUAAAGGGUCUUAUAGUCGUGCGAUUGUAUAAUUCAUAGUUCAUAACUCAAUGCACACAACAUUUCAAUGCACACAUCUCAAUCACAUACAUACUUAAUUUAUCACAUAUACUCGAUCUCAAUUACAAUGGUAUAAUUUCAAUUUAACACGUUAUCACACCCCAUGAAUCAUAUACACUUUACCUAUGAACUAUGCGAUACACACAACUACUCAAUUGUUUUCAAAAUCAUUUUGACUCGUCGGGUUCCCACAGUGGAUCACAUCACCAUACUCGUCGCCCUUAAAGGGUCUUACAAUUGUGUGAUUGCACAGUUCAUAGCUCACAACUCAAUACACAUGUAUUUUACCUUUAAUCACAGGUUCAAUUUAUCACAUACUCACGAUUUGAAUCACAAUUUCAUACUCUCAAUAUAAAAAUUUAUACAAAAGGUUUAGCACAACAUAGGGAGUAAAACCCCUCAAAUAAUUUCACACAAUUAUAUCAAAAUCAUAGGUAUGAAAAAAAUGAAAACAUCAAGAGCACUCUAUUUUAUCAACCAAUUUACACCAGGACAUCAAUAUUGUAUUUAUAAUCAUAAAGAAAAAAUUUCAUUUAAUGAACAUCCCAAAAUAAACCAAAUUUAAUCCUUUAAGGAUCACUACAUAUGUUCAUUGUAAUCCCAAUUGCGAUAAACUCAUCCCCUACCUCUAAGCGGGCUCACGUAUGUUCCGGCAAUGAUAUCGGCAUCUCUGGAAAUUUCUUGAUAUUACUCAAGAUUUUCCUCUAAUUGCUCUAAUAGGGUUCUCAAUGUUAGAGAGAAGGAAAAGGGAUUGAAGCCUCCAUUUGUACUAUUUUCGUAUGAUUCCUUUUUAUCUCUUCAUAAAUAUUAUCCCGCGAAUCCCAAUGGUGUAGGUGUGAAGAAUUGAAUCAAAAACCGCAUAUCAAAAUUUCAGGACAAUCCAAUGGUUAACGAGAUCGGGAUCAUAGUUCUACCGAGACAGUUUUGGGUUUCUGUGGAAAAGGAAAAAGUUACAAUGCGAAGGAUAUUUCUCUCGGCUCCAUCAUGAUCUCGUACUUCCCAAUGGUGAGAAUGCUUGAAAUUGAGUUGAGCACCUGGUGCUUAAAAUUCACGAUAAUCCAACGGUAAAUCCAUUUGAGAUCGUCUUUUUUCUAGGAUAAGUUAGGUGGUAUGCGGGAAAAGAGAGUGUUUUGGGAAGAGAAGAGGGAAAAAUGAAAUUGAGAGGAAGAACAGUCGUAAAAGCUAUCGUCAGUCUGAAAACUGACAUAACAUAUCACUAUUUAUACUUAGGGUACUUACAACUUAUUAUCUACUUUAUUUAUUUAUUUUAAUUAUUUUAUAAAAAGGAACUCUAUUUUAUUUCCUAUCAAAUGAAUAAAUCAAAUAUAUAUAUAUAUAUAUAUAUAUAUAUAUAUAUAUAUAUAUAUAUAUAUAUAUAUAUAAUCCUCAAACCAUUAUUUUAUUAUAACUAUUUUUCUUUAUUUAUUUAAUUAUAAAAACCUCACCGCUCUCUAAAACUUUAUUUAUUUAUUUAUUUUUACUAAAAAGUCUUUUUUAUUUUAUUUACAAAAAAUGGGAUGUUACAAUUUCACUCCCCUUAAAAGAAGUUUUCGUCCCCGAACUUUACUGAAGGAUUGAGAAAAAUAUAUUACGCAUAUGGUUCUCAAUAUUGAGUUGUGUUCCCAUUUGAAACUCUUUUUUGUGACUUCGAUCAUAAGACUCAUAUGCACUUAGCAACUAAAUCCGGCUAUCCUUGUUUACUUAAUGAUAGUAUUUCAUAAGUUAAGUCUUCUCACGAGAGUGACAUCUCAACAAUAAUAGAAUGUGAAUGACAUACUAUUUGGAGUAGGGUAAUAUCAUGGGAGACACGAAUGACAAUUUGAAACGAACAAACAUACACAAGAAAAUGCGACUAACCACAUGGUCGACUCUUUUUUGAACAUGAGACGUUAAAAAAAAGAGUUUUGAGACUCUCACACUCUACCAAUUCUAGUCCAAAAAUGACCAUCGAGAAUACAUUAUUUGCCUACCCUCAGGCCUAAGCCUCUUCCUUCAAUGCGAUCUUUCUCACUUUGGUAUACUUGACUCAUAAAUCUCACUUAGGUUCAAGAAUUGUAACGGUUCCACUCUAGGAUUUCCUACCUGAUAUUAACUGGGUGCUAAUUGAAUAAGCAGAACAAAUCACUACUAGAAAAUAUUCUUUUAACAUCGGUUAUUUAGGACUUUCUACAUCGAUUUUUAACCGAUGUUGAAAGUAUUAUGGUUAACAUCGGUUUUCAAAAACCGAUGUUAACGUAAAAUUUACAACAUCGGUUAUCUAAAUAAUCGAUGUUAUAUAAUAAGAAUUACACCAAAAUAAAUGUAUGAAUAUUGACAGUUGACAUCGGGUUUUAUACAAAACCGAUGUUAACUUAUAGAUCAACAUUGGUUUUCUACAAAAACCGAUGUUAAGUUCUAAACGUUAAUAUCGGUUUUUGUAUCGAUAAGUUAACAUCGGUUUUGUUUAAACCCGAUGUUAUAUGUUUUUAGGUUAACCUCGGUUUUUAAACAAAAAUUUAUGUUAAUUUAUAUGUUAACAUUGAUUUUUUUUUACAGAAACUGAUGUUAACGUUUUGGAUAUUAACAUUGGUUUUUACAGAAAUCGAUGUUAACAUAUACCAACAACAUCAGUUUUUUGAAGAACCGAUGUUAAGUUAUAUGUUAACAUCGAUUUUUUCAAAAACCAAUGUUGUUUGCGUAUAUUAACAUCAAUUUUUGUAAAUAACUGAUGUUGUUUUUAUGUUUUUUUUUAAAUAUAGAUUCUGUUAUUACAAAAAACACAAAAUUUAACCUGUAAAAUUGAAAUCAGACCACAGAUCGCAGUAUAUAUCAUUUGUUUUCUGCUUUCAAAUAGUUUUUAAUAGAAAGUUGUAUAGUAAACUAUCAAUUGAUAACUAUAUAUGAAUAAAUGAUUUAUUAAUAACUAUCAAUAAAGAAUAUUCAUUGUUCAAAUGACAUAGCAAUUGGCAAAAAUGUAAAGCAAGGUAUUAUAUCCUAAAAUGAAAUAGUUUCCUAACAUCCUAAGUUCCCUAACAUCCUAACUUUGAUUUCUAACUUUGAGAUAAAAUUGUGCCCACUGGAUGUGAAGGGCCUUCAAUCUCUCUGCCUCCAAUGGUCCAACAUCGUUAAAAUACUCCAUGAUGAAAUAAAACAUAAGCUAAUAAUGUAAUACCAAUGACAAGAAAAUAAACCUUGUUUGAAAUAAACAAUUAACAUUUCUCAGUUAUUCCUGAAAGUUCCUAAGAUUAUGGUGGACAUCCAGUGCAUGACAUAAUAAUCACACUCAGUGCUUCCUUUUUGUCUAUUACACUAAAUACAUAAUGAAAUUUGGAUAUUCAUUAAACGUUAACUACAAUUAGUGUACAGACACAUAAGCAAUAUAUAUAAGUAGAAUUUUUAUUUAAAUCACGUACCUUAACAACAAUCCACCUAGCACCAGCCUUGGAUUUAGGCUAUGGAGUAUCAUUAAGUCUUUUCAAAGCACUAUUGAAUACGGGAAACAUUAAAAUAUAGAUGUUGUUCAGUUAUGCUAAUGCAAAUGUAUUGAAAACAACACUGACUUGUUAAUUAUUCCCUUAAGGUAGUUGUCUGACCUGUUAUGCAAGGAACAAAACUAGACAACAAGGUUUUCCUUAGGCAGAAUGACGACUAUUUGCCAGUGUCCGCUGCAGUGGAGACGAAUAUGGGUUAUUGUAGUAGUAUACAUGAUUAGAAUUAAGUUGUUGUGUUUGACUUACCCAUUCAGGUAGGCUCCAAGGUAGACAUCACAUUUUGAACUUUGCAUCCAACUCUUGAUGUAAGUUUCUGAUUCAAAUUGCAAUUGCCCAGCUCUCUGAAUGGACUGUGGCUCGAGGAAUCCAUAGACAUCGAAAUUCCUUGCUCGCAUACUUGUCUCAGUCAGAUGCCUGUUGUUGUUAAGAAAAAGUAAAUUAUGUAGGAAUUUAAGACAAUAACUUAGGAAACUAAUAGUAAUCUAAAUUAACUUACAGAAUCCAUAACUGUAGAACAGAUAUACUGAGAUGACAUUGACCACCAUGUGCAAUUUCAGAGAGAUCUUCGUGCUUUAUGUACAAGGGGAAGUUUUGAUUAAACACCCCAAACACGGUAGCAUCCCAUAUAACCUGGAGAGGCUUCAAAAACAACUUUGGGAUGGUCAAUGUCAUCAGAUACAGGGGAUCAUCCACCUCAAGAUCCGACCUUCUAGAGGUUUUGGUGGAGACACAACUGCCUGUUGAUCAAACAUAGUUAAUUAACAAGUUUUGAUUACAGUGAAAAAAUCAAAUGAAAAAAAAGCAUAUAAUCAGAGUAAAAUACAUGUUCUGAUAAACGCUUCAUGAGAUGUGUCAGCCAAGCAAGGAAGGUGUUAAGUGCUUGCCCCACUAAGGUAACCUCGUCAAUGGGUACGGGAGCCUCUGCAUCUUUAACCUCCUCAACACAAACCUUCACUUGGCUAGGCAACAAAGGGAUGUUGUGAACCGUUGUGGAUCCCUCAUAAACUCUUCCUAGGGCAACCAGGCGGGAAGAAUUUUCUUCAAGGUACAACCCGCACUUGUCUGAGUCACCCGUCUCUGGAUCGUUCCCUGAGUGAUCAACACAACUCUCCUUUGUGCUAACACGAGGCCUUGAGGGACCAACCUCAGGCUCCGGAGGUAGUGCAAGUCCCUAUGAUUGCAUGUGCGAUUGAAACUGGGACUGCAUCUAGCUGAAGGAUGCCAUCAGCUACCGAGUCACUUUUUCUAUGAUCGACUCCUCCAGUUGGUCCCUGAUUUGUUGGGUCAGCUGUUGUAGGUCUUCAGGAGGGAGGGAGGAAGAACUACGGGAGGUUCGUGGAGCCGAUCCGAAGUAUUGCUUUAUGGUGACACCGACUCCAACAGCAUGGACAUGGUCAGGGUGUUCUGGUCGCCUAAUGGCAGCAGUCAGGACAUCCUGACGUCCAUGGGGGACGAACGAUCCCGGUGAUGUCAACUCCUCCAAAGAAUCUUGUACAAAACACAUAUAUUUGUCCAAGGCAUUCACAGAAUAAACAAAGAUAAUUACAAUUGUUAAUUGAAAAUGACUUACAAUCUUUUCAGCAAUUUCCUUUGUUGCCUCAGACAUCAUCUGCCUCGUUUUCUUGGUGUGAGCCAUCUUCAACUUCACGUGGCGUCUGAUGGGAGAUGGAGGGUCAAUGACAUCGUCAGUGCUUCCAGACUAGGCACCCAAAUUGGUGUUUCAUAUGAUAAAUAAAUAGCUUCCUAUUUGAUUUCCUAUUCUAUUCUUUCUUAUUCCUUUCCAACAUCGCAAAAUAUCUUUCAUUAACAUGUGCUAUAAUCAAAUGCACUAAUGCAGAGUUGAAGUGGCAAAACCUUUGCACAGUUACUUUUGUUAUCUUGUUUCUUAAAAUUAAAAAUAAAACAUAUAAUAUCAUACAUUCUUUCCUUCAUCUCCAUCACAAAUCAGGAUAAGGCCUUUUCCUUAUGAGUGAGGUCAGAUUGCUUCCUAUGGGCAUAAGGUUUUUAAAAUAUGGUGAGACUAUGUUUGUAGCAAAAAAAAAAAUGUUUAUAGCAAUAAUUAAAAGAAUUUUGAAGUAUUUUCUGUAAUUGCAACCACAUUAGUCACAUUUGUCUACGAAUUCAAACUUUAAAAAAAAUAUGGUUUGCAAUUUGCACUUCAUUCAAUAAGAUAUUGCAUAUACUUUUUUCCUUAGUAUAACAUGUAUACUUUCCCUAUUAUCAAGAGUUGGUGGUUGAUCUUGAGCUAAUUCCCAUAAUAAAGCAACCACCUUGGGUAGUGCACAUUCAUGUCAACAUCACAAAUAACACACAAGAUUUCUGAACAAACUAGAAAAAACCUCCCAAAAUUAUGUUUCAACCUACAAACCCAUGUCUCUAAAAAAUUACAAUGAAUGAUAAACACUCCCUCACAACAAUAGUCCCUCUCGAAAGAACCGAAAAUGUGAAACGGGCAAAGCAAAAGAACAAACAGGUCAAACUACUUCUGAUCAACAAGGUAACAGAGACCCCUACCCCAACCAAAAAACAAAGUCCAAUGACCAUAAUGUGGGUCUCUACAACAAUGUCCUUACAAAAAGCAAAGAAAACAGAGUCUAAAUGCAACAAAAACGAAUGAAGACAUGAAGCUUACGUCGAGUGGCAGUGACGAUAGGGUUUCAGCGCGCAGAGUGGGACUAAGAAAGAAGAGUCACGAGGUGAUGUGGUUGCAGUUACAAUAGGGUUUCAGCGAAAGUCAUAGAUUCAGCGACAAUCGUAGCUUCAGGCGAUGUGGUUGCAGUGAUGUAGUUUGCGGCAGUCGGUGCUCAGGCGGAAGCAGAAAGGAGAAAUGAUAGGGUUUUAGCGCGCGGGUGAUGAAAUCAGGUUUUUAAUUUAUCAACAGAACAACAUCGGUUUUUUAAAAAUACCUGAUGUUGACCUCUAUUAGUUAACAUCAGUUUUAUGACUAACUCUACUUAUUUACAAAAAUGCCACCGUAGUUUUCUUAACAUCGGUUUUUUGAAUAACCGAUGUUAAUCGUGCGAUGAUAAAUUUAUAAAUUGUAGUAGUGGAUCACUUCUUACUUUUGUAAACUUGUUCAAACUUAAGGUUUACUCCCUACAGGAAUUUCAUCAGAAUGCUUAAACUUACUCGAGUCAUCUCUAACAAGGGUUAAGGUUAAUUCAAGGAAUCCUAGAAUAACUUUCUGGUUCUACUACUAAUUAAAGGUGUCUUAUCUUAAUCUUAGGUUUUCUCUCAUCUCAAAAAAACUUGUGUUUGAGAAGGAUUUAUAGUUAUUUCUCACUUAGACGUAGCAUACUCUAAGGGUCAUCCUCAUCUAACUAAAAUACAUAGAAACAUGCUUAACAUGAGAGGUGAUUCUCAAAGGUCUAUAACAACUUUAAGAUAGUUCACAUACUCUAACCAAACUCGAAACACACGAAAGCUCCAAUCACUAAAAUCACCAUGAACAUAUAGGGACAUCGAUCUUGUCUAGGCAUGACCAGGUACACGUAGAGGUCACAACAUGUACUAAGGUAGUCAUCAGAGCAUCCUCAAACUUUUCCCAUAUUAAGGUAAAGAAAACUAAGAUUUAUCUUGCUAAUCAUGCAACUAUCAUCAAUAAUCCUUUAGGUCACCUACCUUACGCAAGAGCACUCAUUCUCGAACCCUUCCAUGCUAGGUCAUUAACGUCUUACUAACUAUCUUACACUCUUCUUAAGGUUUCACACUAAACAUCUUAAUUAUUCUUCACAACUUCUCCAACUACUCUAUGUUCUUAAACAAUUGUAUAUCAAAUAUUACCCUAGAACUACAGUUACAAGUUUCUAUAGGUACUACACCUACAAGAUUUUCAAUCUCACACUUAGGUGAUAACUAAGCACAUCCUCAAGGAACACAUGUACAUGACUUACUAAGUUUGACUUUUGUCUACAAGUAACAAGGAUCAUACUCACUCAAAUAUUUUCCUUUCGAAACACCUUAACGUGAUUGGCAAGGGCGAAAUCUUUCACUAUUUGUAACAGAACUAACAACAUGACAGAUUACCAAGCAGUUUAAUAAGACGUGAUUGGAAGAUAAGCAUCCCAUAACAAGAUGAACACUCAAUUGAUUAAGAGACGAUAAUUUUAAAUCGAGGAUGAUCACUUAUUCAUAAUCAACAACAAUAUUCCAAAUGAAUUCUAGAAACAAAAACAUGACCACAAUGUAAACCCAUAUGGAGACGUUAACAAUCGCUUGAUUAUGACAAAAACAUCAGUAACCCAAUUUAAUUGAUGUAGGCUCAUAACACAAAGAAUGAGUUAUAUUAUGGUUUGCAAGUAUAAUCGAGUUACUUGACUUCAGCAGCACACAACACAAGAAAAUGGGUGGCACUAGAACUGGAAGGAUAAUCAAAAUAGUAUUCCUUUUGAAAUAUAUCCCAAUAUGGGUCAUCAAACUAUAAGGUAUUAGCAUCGCUAAAACAAGAAAUCACAAACAACCAUAUUAUCUAUACAAUUAAGGCAAAACACCAUACUACAAGCACACAUAGAAUUAUGAGGUUUAUAUAACAAGUAUAUAGCAUGCAUAUAAGAAGUAAGAAUUAAACAGUCACUAGGAUGUAUGUAUUUAACGAAUCACAAGUUUCAACAAUCACGUUUAUGAUCACCCAUUAAGAAAAGAAGGGAUUAGUCCACACAUGUUAACACAUCGAUUAAACACACUCAUUCACAACACACUUGUAAGUUCAAGGUUCUUGAUGACAUUAAUACACACAUCAAGUUUUCAAGACAACUUGUAUCACUUAAUGGGUUGCCAUGACAUCCUACCGCACUUCACGAAUUAUAGAGAUGACCAGUCUCAUAACUCAUGACUCAACAGUGGAUUUAUGGUAUAACAAACAUUAAGGAUGCAACGCACAUUACAAGCAUCAUUCAAUCUCAUUUAAUCAUGCUAAUGAAAAUACAAUUAAUAAUUCAAGCAUGUUCAACAAAACUACUCAUAAGUAACCACACAGAGUGCACACCAGAAUAUGAUAAGCACAUAACACACUGGUCGAAAGGUUCGACCUGCUCUGAUACCACUAAAUGUGACACUCUCUACCUCAUACAUAUAUGUACUAUAAAAGGAAAAGAAAUCAUAAUUAAUUAAAAGUUUUUAAAACACAUUUAAGCACACAGAAAACAUUUUAGCACCUGGUUACAAUGCGAAGGAUAUUUCUCUCAACUUCGACAUGAUUUUGCAAUUUCCAACGGCGAGAAUGCUUGGAAUUGAGUUGCAAAUCUGGUGCUUAAAUUUCACGAUGAUCCAACGAUAAAUCAUUUCGAGAUCAUCAUUUUUCUAGGACAGGUUUGACGGUAUGCGGAAAAAGAGAGUGUUUUUGGAAGAGAAGAGGGAAAAACGAAAUUGAGAGGAAAAGUGAUCGUAAAACCUAUCGUUCAGUCUGAAAACUAACCUAACAUAUCACUAUUUAUACCUAGGGUACUUAUAACUUAUUAUUUACUUUAUUUAUUUUAUAAAAGAAGCUCUAUUUUAUUUCCUAUCAAAUGAAUAAAUUAUAUAUAUAUAUAUAUAUAUAUAUAUAUAUAUAUAUUCCUCAAACCAUUAUUUUAUUACAACUAUAUUUUUUUAUUUAAUUAUAAAAAUCUCAUCAUUCUCUAAAGCUUUAUUUAUUUAUUUAUUUUUACCAAAACUUUUUUUUAAUUUAUUUAUGAAAAAUAGGAUGUUACAAUGUACACCUGAUUAUAUCCUGACUAUUGCUUUGCAUCACAAAUGAACACAAUUUAUUAUGAUAUAACAAAAAAAUAAAUAUUUAUGAUACAAAAAGAAAAAUUCAUUAAUUUAUCAUAGACUAAAAAUAAAUUAAUUUUAAUCUUUUUAAUAUUAUAUAAAAUAAACUAAGUACUACACUAAGUAAGAUAAAAUUGUAAAUAAAAUAAGUUAGGUGAAAUUUUCAAACUUUAGAUGCGAGACGUAGAGUUGCCAUGAUAGUAUGGACGUUUUCUAUUAUUAAGUCACGUUAGAAUGGAUAUUGCUUAUUAUAUAUUAAGCCACACCAUUCAUUUUAAGCUAUCUGUACGUUUAUAUUGUGAGAUGUUUUUCACAAUUGUUAUAGAUACUUGACAUUAUUAUUAAUUAUAAUUACUUUAAAAACUACUCCUAAUUGACAUUAUUACUACACAUUCUAGGUUUUCUCAGCUUGAAUACAUCAGUAGCGACUAUUUGGAUGAUAACUUAGCUUGGACUCCUUAUAGCUAUAAGGAUAUAUAGUAUUUCUAGAGAAGCUUCUGGGACAACCUAUAUAGUCUGCUGGCUGCUGCUAAACGUUUUUGUUGUGUGGCUGACACCUUAACCUGCCAUCCAUAGCAUAUAUGAAUAGGACUUGUCCGCCAUGAACCGCCAUAGAUGCGUGCACCAACUGCAGUGACAUCCUCUCUAACGAACCCUUGUGAUCUAUAGCAACCAAGUGCAGCAGCGAAUCAGCGAGGUAAAAUGUGUUUUGCUCUCUUUAUUUUAUUUUACUUUUUUGUUAUUAUUAUAAACUUUUGUGCCGAAAUCUCAUUCAUUUGUUCUUGUCAUUUUAUUUUAUAAAAAAAGGAAAGAAAUGAAAGAUAGAUGAAAAGCAGUUUGAGGAUUCAUUUAUCAAAGUAUUACAAAGUUGAUUUAUUUAUACAAAGACAAAAAAUAACUAACUUGAGUAAUUACCAACUAACUUACUCAAAUAACUUCUAGUAACUAACUAAUUAAUUGUCAUAACCAACUAACUACUCAAAUAACUUCUAAUAACUAAUGAAUUGCCAUAACCAAAUAACUUCUAGUAACUAACUACAACGGCUUAAUCGUGAUACCCCUCAAGUUGGCGAAUAGAUGUUAAUCAUUCCCAACUUGACAAUGAAUUUAGUAAAAAUCGGGCCUAAAAGUGUUUUUGUAAAAACAUCUGCAACUUGGUGUUGGCUCUUGACAUGGACUGAAUAUAUUCUCGGAUGAAAUGAUGAUCGAUGUCAAUGUGCUUGGAUCGUUCAUGAUGAGCAGGGUUUGAAGCAAGACAUAUAGCAAAUUUAUUAUCACAAAAUAGCAUCACAGAGGACACAUCAACUUCAAAGUGAAGAAGUAACUUGCUUAACCAAACAACUUCACUAGUAACAGAAGACAAGGCAUGAUAUUCAGCUUCAGUGGAUGAUUUUGAAACAAUGGGUUGUUUCUUAGAACGCCAAGACAGAAGGCUGUUUCCCAGAAAGACACAAAAGCCAGAAGUGGAUCUUCUGGAAUGAACACAGCUGGCCCAAUCAGCAUCAACAAAGGCAGUGAGGUUGAGAGAGUUCUGAGUAAGGAAAAAUAAACCUUGUCCAGGAGCAGAUUUGAUAUACUGCAGAAGAUAAUGAACAACAUGUAGGUGAGGAACUCUAGGUGCUUUCAUAUACUGACUUAAUCGAUUCAUAACAAAGGUGGUAUCAGGUCGUGAGAUGGUCAAAUAAAGCAAUCUACCAAUUGAUCUUUUGUACAUUGAUGGAUGAGGGAGUAAGUCUCCAUCAUGAAGAUUGAAUUUCAGAUUGGGAUCCAUUGGUAUAUUGGAAGGUUUGCAGGCCAAGAAACCUGUAUCUUCCAAAAGAAAUAGAGCAUACUUUCGCUAGAAUAGUGAGAUACCUCUGUUGGAUUUGGCUAUUUCUAAACCAAGAAAAUAUUUCAAAGGGCCAAGGAUCUUCAAUUGAAACAAAGACUGUAAUUUGGUCUGAACAGCUUGUACAGAGGCAACAUUGGGUCCUGACAGGAUGAUGUCAUCUACAUAUACUAAUAAAAUGAUUAAGGAAUUUCCUGAGCCAAUGGUGAAAAGGGAGUAAUCAUGCUUAGAUUGAUGGAAUCCAUGACUAAGAAAAGUAGUGGUGAACUUAUAGAACCAUUGUCUAGAGGCUUGUUUUAGGCCAUAUAAUGAUUUAUUCAAUUUGCAUACCAAUGAAGGAUUGGCUGACUUGUAUCCCUUGGGAAGUUCCAUAUAAACUUCUUCAAACAAAUCUCCAUUCAAAAAAACAUUCUUAACAUCCAACUGGAGGAGGCUCCAAUUUCUAGCAGCAACAACACAAAGCAGAACUCUCACAAUGGUAAGUUUGGCUACUGGAGAGAAUGUAUAAGAGAAAUCGAUCCCAACUUGUUGAGUAUAACCUUUGCCAACCAAUCGAGCUUUUUAUCUAUCUACAGAGCCAUCCAUUUUGUAUUUAACUUUAUACACCCAUCUACAUCUUAUACAUUGCUUAUCAGGUGGUAAUGGAACAAGUGUCCAAGUGGAAUUUGUUUCAAGAGCUUAGAUUUCCUCAUGCAUUGCUCGACGCCAUUCAGGAUAAGGAACAACUUGAUGAUACAACUGAGGUUCAUAGACAGCUGAGAUGUGAUUAAUGAAAGCUCUGUAAGAGGGGCUAAGAGGAAACAGGGAACAAUGAUGUUGGAUGGGAUAUAUAGCUUGAGAUUGUGAGAUUACAUAAUCAAACAAGUAUAAGAGAUGCUUAGAGUGGCAUGUACUCCUUCUUAAGGUGACAGAGGGCAAAGUGUUAGGAUAAUCUGAGCCAGGGAUUGAGGGUGAAUCAGUUGGGUCAUGGUUAAAACUCUUAGUUGGCUGUGGUGAUUGGCUACUAGUUUGGUCAGGGUUAGGUAAGGUAUUAGUGAUGGGAAUGGGGAUAACCAAAACUUCUUAAGGCAUGAUAGUUAGGUUCCUUUUUUAACAGAAUAUUGUAGGGUGAGCAGUGUUGCAGUAAUGGUGAAUGGGUUCUGUUGAUGAAAAAAGCUACAAUGGUAACACAAUCACCCCAAAAUGAGAUAAGAACUUUAGACUGAAAAAACAAAGCUCUUGCUACAUUGAACAAAUGUUGAUGCUUCCUUUAAACUACUGAAUUCUGUUCUGGCCUUUCAACACAGUAAAAUUGAUGAAGAGUUCCCAUGGACGCCAAAAACUGAGUGAGGGCAAGUUCCUUAGCAUUAUCAUACCUAAGGAAUUUGAUAGAUACACCAAACUGAGUCUGAACCAUGGUGAAAAAUUGUUGCACAUAGAUUGAUGCUGCAGAUUUGUGCUUAAGCAGAAAUAGCCAAAUGAAUCUUAAGCAGUCAUCAACCAAUGUAAGGAAAAAUCUCUUUCCCUCAUAGGUAGGGUGAGCAUAGGGACCCUAUAUACAACAGUGAAUUAAGUCAAAUGGUAACUCAGAUAAAUGGUUAGAGUUAGGAAAAAGAUAAUCUUCUAAAUAUAGCAAGAGGACAAACAGAACAAUUAGAAGAAGAGAAAUUGGGAGAAAUGUCCAGACCGAUUUUAUUAUUCAAAUGUUUAAAAACUUUGUCUGAGAUAUGACCAAAUCUAGAAUGCCAAAUAUGAGCAUUUUUACGAGGAAUAUAAUUUGUAUGUGAAUUGAUAAUAGAAAAAGUAAAUUUUCAAUCAAGAGUGUCCUUGAGGUCUAAGACAUAAAGGCCUUGGAUGAGAUCCCCUCUACCAAUCCUCUUGCAAGCUUGCUUUUCUUGAAUAUCAAAUUCAUUUUGGGAAAAAGAAAUGGACAAAUUAGGAUUGGUUAGAAGGGCACUAACUAAAAUUAAAUUGAAUUUGAAUUAAGGAAUGUAGGCAACAUUAUGCAAGAUUAAGGUAUUGGUUAAGAAAACCAAACCAAUGGCAAGGAUAGGUAUAACAUCAUACAUGGGCCAGUUUUUUUGGGCCUUUUUGGAUUAUUUCUCGCGUGGGCCAGGUUGUUUAUCACCUUUAGUUACCAAAAAUUUCCUGCAUCCACCUCGUUUUCCACUAUUCCCUCUUACGGGCCCACCAUGACCCACUACCUUCCUCCUCGGAUGCAUGGCCCCUGCAAGUUAUUGACCACAAACCAGUGAUUUGCUCACUAUCCUUCCUAGACUCCAAGAUCGAUCAUUCUAUGACCCCACCAACUCGUUUAGUUCUGACACAGUGGAUGGGCCAACCCCCGGAAGACACUUCUUGGGAACCUUGGCAUGAGCUCUGUGACACUUACCACAUUAAGGACAAGGUGGUGUUUGAGGACAAGGGUAUUGUUAGCAACAGUUCAGAACAAGAACCCAACACAAUAGGUAUUGUUAGCAAUAAUCCAUAACCCAACGCAGGUAGGCCUAGAAGAAGGAACAUAAGCCCAAAUUACCUACAGGACUACGAUGACUGAAAGCAUCAUCAAGAGUGAACCAACAGAACCAACACUCAGCAGCAAAAGGAAGCACCAAUGGAAAUAGAAAGCAGUUGCAACCAUUAGCAAUAACAAUAAUUAGCAAAUUAUAAGUUGUUAUAAAUUUGUUAGGAAGUUUGUUACAAAGCAAUUACUGAGCUUGUAUAUAAAGAAGGUUGCAGAAAUGAAAUUCAAAGAGAGAAGUUUAUUUCAAAAUUUCUUAUCUUAGGAGGAACCUUGUCCUCGAAACAAGGUGAUAGUACCUAUUUGCUAGGUUUCCGCGAUGCUAAUCAGCAAAUGUACUGAGUCGCACAAGUAAUAUAAAAUGGUAAGAAUCGAGUAUCAAAUUCACGUGGAACUUGUUUCAUUUAGAAAAUAUAUGUUCAAUGAGAAAACAUUUGUAUAAAGCAAGUAAAUAUUAAAUGAGGGGUUUUUGUCUAAAAUUCUAAUUAACUAUAGAUUAAAAUAUCUAAAAGUUGAGAAGUAAAAACAGUCAAGAAAAAAUGUUGGGUCAUUCUACUGAACUCACUUUGAUGUUGCUAAAUAUUUUUCUCUAUUUAACGCUAUUUUAGUGUUCUUAUGCUGAAAAACUACCCAAACCAAGAUCCCUCGAGUGAAUGGGCCUAACUCUAUUUAAACUUUGUCUUUGAUCCCUCAACAAUCUUGGUCUAAACGAGUUGCAAUAAGAUUACAACAUAAUAGAAACUAAAUCACUGCACUCUGUCCCCAGACAUACAGUUCUCUAGCCUGCUCUAUCAAGUUCUAAGGCUUUAAAGCACUUUCUAAUGCUAAAGAAAUAAGCACAAAUAGAAGCAAUGAACACAUAAAGAUAACUUAAAAUAGAUAGUAAGAAAGUAUUACAUCAAAGGUUCAGUAGAACUCCCCAACAAGAGAUUUAGUCUUUCAUUACAAGUUAGCAACUUUCAGCACAAAGGAUAGAUUUUGAGGAAAGAUAAAUGCCACAAAUGGUUGAGGAUGUCUCCUCCAACCUCCAGAUGCUCUGAUGUUCUAGCUUCUUCUUUUGCUCUACUUUUUGUCUCUCCCUUUAUUUUACGCCAACUUUAGUAUUUUAAAGGCUCCUUGACGUUUUAGAUUCUGAAGGCUCGUUUAGCGUGAUUUGCUCGCUAAGCACGAGUUAAUGAAUUCUGACUUAGUGAGCUGGGUGCGCUGAGCGCGAGAAGGGACAAAUAACUCGCUGGGUGAGCUGACGGAACGCUGAGUGCGUAUCUUUCUGACUGAUCCUCUUCUAGGGUUUCCCAACACGCUAAGAGAGUUGUGUGUCUCGCUUAGCGAAUGUCACUUUCUAAGCGCAUAUGCCUCGCUUAGCGAAUGUCACUCGCUAAGCGCAUAUGCCUCACUUAGUGAGACACUAGUUGCUUCACCUUUUUCUUCUUUUAGCCUGAAACUGAAGUUGAUUCAACAUAAUUCACAAAAUUGGGAGUAUCUACUGAGGAAAAUCAAACUAAACAUGAAAAUAUGUACAAUUCCUACAAAAAAGAACCAUAAAUUGGAGGAAAGAUGCGAAUUUCAUGUGACUAUUAAAUACAAAAGUUAGUCAUAAAUAACGACUAACAAACUCCCCCAAAUUUACAGUUUUGUUUGUCCUCAAGCAAAGAAAUAACAGUUUACUUGUUCUCAAGUGACAAAAAUCAUAGUGGUUACUAAAAAAUGUGUUUGUUCCAAAACAUUCAAUCACAUAAACAUAAGUGGCAAUCAAUAUUUCAACCAAUAGCUCUUCAUAAAGAUAUGUAGAAUUUCAAAGAUAUGAACAUAGUCAUUAAGAAACAUAAGUGAAAUAAGCUAGCAAGCAAGAUAGAUAUCAAGGAAGGUUCAUCAAGCCUAAUCCUCACGGUCACUGUUUCACUCAUAAGCACAAGUGUUUAAGGCAAUUCUUCAAUUCAACAACCAACACAAGUCUCAACUUUUGCAUUUCUUCUCAUGUCAUACAAUCACAAAUACACAAAUUGAAUCUAAAGGACUUUCUUGGCUUGUAAUGAGGCUGGGCUGCAAACAAUUCAUGGUUUUUCUAGGAUGCAAACAAAAAUUAGGUUCUAAGAGAGUAUUCAUCCUUAGAUCAACUCUUUUCCUUUUAUUCCCAACUUUUAUUGAGAUGACAACAACAUUUAAGGCACUUAGCUUAAGUAACAACACACACAUACUUUUAUUCUUGAAAUAUUUUUUUAGUAGUUGUUUUACUUGCCGCUUCUUGACACAAUUUCUGUGUGGUUGUUAUUUGUCUUACCACAAUUAUCAUCACCCAAUACCUUCCCCCAAAUUUGGAACAAAUUUGCCUUGAACCAUGAUGCUCUCCUAUAACCUAAAGAAAGGUAGAUGGAGAUUAUAAUUUAACAGGCUCAGGGUUUAACUCAAUCAAUCAUAUAUAGGCUCAACAUGGGUGCAAGAGAUUCAUCAUUCAUGAACAAGGUAAGCUAUUUUGCUAAGUGGCUAAUUCAAUCAAUCGCGGCCUUCAUCAUUUCCAAAAUCAUGCAUUAAUUCAAUAUUCAGAGAUUCAUGCAAAAAUCGAUACUCAAUGCUAGUCGUUCUCUCACAAUUAAGGUUCACACACUUACUGGGUUAUGGCUAAAGACUACCUUCACAACUUACCUGUCAAACAAACUAACAUUUUCACUCAUGUUCCUAAUUCAUGUUUUUUCUCUUCUAAUUACCACAUAUUUAUUCAAAGCACAUGAUCUAACAUCGCAAUUGUUAACUCGUUGGAAAGUGUACCAAAUUGUCACAAGUAGUAAAGUACUCGGAAGUCCGAGUGUCGAAUCCAAAGGGACUCUGUUUGUACUUAGAUUAAUGAAAACCCAAUCUAAAAGCAAUGGAUAAAGAACUUAAAAUAAAGAUAAGAAAAUAUAGUAGAUAAGAUAAAGAUUUAAAGAUCAAAAUAGAAGAAAAUAAAUAAAUAAAUAAAAGAUUUAGAUUAAAAGAUUAUAAAGAUAGAAGAAAAUAAAAGUAAAAAAAUAAAAUAAAAGAUUAAGAUAAAAAAUAAGAAAAGAUAAGAUAAAAAAAAUAAAAGAUAAAAAUAGAUGAUAAAAGAAAUAAAAUCAAGAACGUGAUAAUGUUGGGACCUAGCUUGCCUUGUUUGACUAGGAUGUAUGAGUUUAUGAUUUUUCUUUAUCAAUUUAGGUGAUUCUAUUCUACCCACAUUUGUUCAAUUACUUGGCCCUGAUUCCUCACGAUGACAGACCUAUUUUAUUUAUCUAUCUUCCAAAUUCCUUUGCAAAGACUCAACAAAUAAAAUGCAUGAAGUAUGAAUUCUAGAUGUUUGCAAGAAUGCAUAGGCAUAAAAUAAACAUUAUAUGUCUAGCAAUGACUUUCCUAUGAAAUCCUUUCUUUUUGUUCUAUUAGAAGUUACCCUCUUCCGAGCGUCUAACCCCUAAAACCAAUGCAUGCAUACCUUUUUUAAAUCUUAUUUAGAAGUUACCCUCAGAAAAGAUAAUAGAAUAAAAACACCUUUGCAUUGAUAAAUAGUGAGUACAUCAUACAUCGCUUGGCUUUUAGGCCUGCCAGACCCUAACUAGGGGUUUAGCCACUCAUGGCUAUUGUGGGCUUUACAAUGGAUGGGGUAUAAGAACUGAUGAGAUGAGAUGGGUGAAAGAAAGAUAGUAAAUGAAACCCCUACUAGAGGGGGUUCUGUGGUGUUUCCCUAAGGGAUGGACCCAAUGUGUGGGUUGUCUGUUGUGUCCUUCUUGGCUUGGCUCCUUUCUUAUAGUUGUUGGAGUGGACUUGGGCCUGAUGCUAAUGAAAAUCUUUCUUAUCCAUAUUUUUGAUAUUUUCUCGAUCUUUUUUUCUUUUAAUUCAUCCUUUUCAUAUCUGCAAGCCAUAAAUAACAAAAGUAUCAAUUCUUAUCAUUUAAGCCAAAGAUAACUGCUAAAUAAAUAUUUUUAAAGAUAUUUUCAAUAUAAUUUUAUUAUCAAAAUAACUCAUAUUUAGCAGUUAUCAGCAAUUCACUCAAGUCAUGUAAUCGAUCAAUUUCAAAAUCAUUCACAAACAUAGAAUUUCAACCAAACAACUCACUGCAUAUAUAAAUGUAAAGUGUUUUAAAAACUGUAAAAUUUGCUCAAUAAGUAAAUAAACUAAACUAAAACUAAAAUUAAAAACUGUAUCUAAAAAUUGGAAUAUAAAAAAAGUUCUGUCAUCAAUCAUCUUGCGCUUGUGUGGGCUCAUCGUGAGGUGAGGCUGGAGCAUCCUAGGCUUGUUGAGGUAUAUCUUGUACUGUAGUGGGCCAGGGGUCCCAGUUGCUCUGCGCCGCCGCCAUGUCAGCUGCAUAAUCUGUGUCUCCAGCGCCAUCCUCAUCCUCGGUAAUCUCCACGAGUGGUGUGACAGUAGGUGUGACCUUUGGUGUGUUCUCUGGCUCAGACUGCACCUCUGGCUACGGCUCCUGGGCUGUAGAAGCCUUACCUCCCCCCACAGAAGAAGGUUAGACUCCUAGCCAGGCCACCUGGGCCAUAAAUGCCUCCAUGCUCAUGAUGGGCCAAUGUUGAGCCAAGUUAUGAAUGCUCUGCAUCACUAGGCAUAAGCCAUGGUGAAAGCUCUAUAGCAUCAACACUAGAAUCUCUAUGCUCUAAGCGAAGGUGUCGGAGGGUGCUAAAGGUGCAGGAGUGGAAGCUGGAGCAGCUGGAGCAGAGCAGGAAAGAGCAGAAGUGUUAGGUCCUUUAGCCCAAGUCUUGUGGGUCCCCAGAAAGGUGAUCAUGGGAUCAUCCAGGUUCUAGCUGUUCUUUCUUAUAUAAGCCAAAUUAAUGACGGGGCUAAGGGACUCGAAGGUCAACAAGUCUAGGACCACUCCUCUGGCGAUACAUAAGGCACUGAUCAAGGCUGGGAAGCCGAGCCUAGAGGAGUUGGACUGGGUCAUCUGAGAAAUCUGACCUGAGAUGAAUGAGCUCACGUCCAUGUUCAUCUUGGUCACUAGACCGUACACUAACCUCGCCCUAUCCAUAUUCAAAUCGGAUGUGUGAGAGGUGGGGGCGAGGUUAGAAUAUGAUAAGAUGCUCCAGGUUUGCGCAAGUGUAGUCAAAUCCUUCCUUGGGAGCUUCCAGGGUGCUCCUUCAGCAUUCCAAACAAAAUUGUGCCCUAGAAUACAGAGCUUGGAAGCAAGCUCUUGAGGGUCUGGAUAUGAACUACAAAACCUGGUGUAGGCAGUGUAUCUCUCCCCUGACUCCAAAACCACUGGGGUCUCCAGGAAGGUGUUCAGUGUCUCCCCAUCAAACUUUAAGCUUUCCCUGCACUCGAACCUGCCUGCGGGAUUUAUCUUCAGGAUCAUACAAAUUUGCAUAAAACUCUUUGACCAGGGCCAUAUCUGUGUGACCAUCGGGUUGCCUUGUCAAGGCUUUAUGUUAUCUUCGCCUCUUGAGCUCUUGGUGGAACUUGUACUUUGUGACAAAAAGAUUAGCGUUCCUCUCCAUAAGGAUGUUCCAGGAGUGAACGUUCUACUCAUAUCUCUCCCAGGCGCCCUCGAAAAUGAAUCUGGUCGUGUCAUAGGGCUCUUGGGGUCUGGAGGCAGUUGCCCUUCUCUUCCUAGAAGCCAUUUGCAUCAAAAGAAUCACAUGAAUUGAAAUUAGACAGGUUUUAUUCAAAAACUAAAAACAGAAAAAUAAAAUAGAAAAAUAGAUUCGACGCUUAGUGAGACUAACUCGCUCAACGAGAUUGACUCGCUUAGCGUGCCUUCAAAAAAUAAUAAGAUACGCUAAGUGCACAAGGCACGCUUAGCGCGACAACAUAAAAAUAAAGACUUUGGCUAAGUGAGACACACUCGCUUAGCUUACACAGCACAAUGGCUAAGCGAGCAGGGCUCACUAAGCCUUAUUCUCUAACAAAAAGCUAAUUGCGCUUAGCGAGACAGGCUCGCUUAGCGCGACACACUACACAGGCUUAGCGCCAACAGGCGCUUAGCCCAACUUGACCACUAGAACAUAAUUGGCUUAGCGAGUAGGCUCGCUAAGACUUAUUCCAAAACAAAGAAGAAAUUGUGCUUAGCGGGACAGGCUCGCUUAGCCCAAUUCAAAAAUUAGAAAACAUGAGAGGGAUUUAGGCUUAGCACACAGUUGCGGGCUUAGCGAGUUUUGCAGCCUUGAUUGGUCUGCAACUUUCGCUUAGCGGGACAUGACCGACUUAGCGAAUUAAAUGCCUCCAGAUGCAGUAGGGGGGUCACGCUUAGCGAGAUGGUCUCGCUUAGUAAGGAUUAAUUUCGCUCCAAAUGUUGUAAUGGCCACCCUUCAUGAUCUUUCCAAGCUUGUGCAAAGAGGUCAUGGUCAAGCCAUAUUAUAACCAUUGGUAUAUGGUAGUUGCAAAUGCCAUGUUGAUACCCAUGCAUAUUGCCUUAUGUAGGCUCUAUUGGAAUUGUCUACUGACUUUGUCAGGGUAAACCAGUGGAGUCUACUAAAUGAGCUGAGAAAAGAAUUAUUCUACAUUAGAUAAGAAUAUAUACCCUCAAAUAAAAAAAUAGCAAUGUUUGUUAUGUUGGAAUGAAAUUUUACUAAUGAAGGAAAUAUUUGAGAGUGAGAGAGAUUAGAAAAUUUGGAAGAAGGUUACUUGUACAAAAUGAACACUUCUUGAUUUAUGCCUUGAUUUGACUUCAUACAAAUUUUAAUACAAUACCCCUAUUUAUAUUGGUUCCUCCCAAACUAAUGGUUAGAAUUUUAUCAACACACUUAAUCUAGAAUAUUCUAUAAGCUACUCUAAAACUUUCUUCAUACAUAUAAAGUUACUUACACAUUCUAAAAUAUUUUAUAAAUUACUCUAAAAUUAUGUUUUACAAAAGAUUUUUCUAGAAUAUUCUUCUAGAAUUUUAGCUUAACAUGUUUUCUAGAACUUGGGAUUUUUCAUAAGGCCCAAAAUCAAGUUCGUAUUUCAACAUGUUAUUCUGUAAAAUUGAUUUUUCUUAAUUAAUGUUUUAUUUAAAAAAAAUACACAAGUGAGAAAAAAGGAAAAGAAAAAAUAUGUAAAACUUGGUAAACUAGGGGACACAAUAGUUUUUGAUAACCUACAUAAACAGGUGACAAGAAGCAAGUGGGAGAGGUUAAGAUAUUUUUUAGAACAUGAGAAAAAGGACAAAGAGGAAAAAUAAAACUUAGUAAAAUAACUACGGGACACAAGUGUGUUUGAAAACCUGCAUAAAUAUGUGAUAGCUAGGAAGCAUACAUCACAUAUUGAUGAUUGGAAAUGUAUGGAAAAAAAGGUGAUGGGAGGGGUUAAUUAAGAUCCUAUUCAAGAUGAUAAAUAAUUAGGGAAGACACGUCUGGGGGAUGUAUCGACAAAAAUAUAAUCAACUCUCCCACUAACAUCAGUCAAAUUCUAAUUUGUUUUGAUUGUUGUAUGUUUUCUGAAUGUAUCCUUUUGUUUAAUAAUUUUUUAUAUUUUGCAUAUGUAACAUUCAGGAAAAAGUGGUAGUCAUAGCAGGAACCAAAGAAACAAGAAGAACGUGCCAAUUGCCAAGGGAGAAUGGACCCAAUUACUUCUGCCACUGCCCAAAGUGCACUGCAAAUUGCAGAACAUGUGGUCAAACGACAAUUGGGUUACAUAUUUAAUUACAAAGACAAAUUUAAAGAGGUGGAACAAUACAUUGAGAGGAUGGAUGAUAAUAGGAAGAGGGUUCAAAAUAAAGUUGAUGAUGCAGAGAAGAACGGAGAAGAAAUUGAAGAUGAUGUUCAACAUUGGUUAAAACAGGUUGAUGAGAAGAUAAAAAAAUAUGAGUGUUUUAUCAAUGAUGAACGCCAUGCACAGACAAGGUGUUCCAUUAGAGUGAUCUUUCCAAAUAACUUGUGGUUGAGGUAUCGGUUAGGCAGAAAUGCUACAAAGAUGGUAGAGGAAAUCAAAGCGGAUGGACAUUCAAAUAAAGAGUUUGAUAAAGUUUCAUAUCGGUUGGGCCCAUCCUUCGAUGCUGCUUUGUUAAACACUGGUUAUGUGAGCUUUGGGUCGAGAAAUGAAACUAUGGAGAAGAUUAUGAAAGCGCUGGAAGACUCGACAGUUAAUAUUGUUGGAGUUUAUGGGGCUGGUGGUGUGGGUAAGACUACUUUAGUCAAAGAAGUUGCUGACAAAGCUCGAGAAAAGAAGUUGUUCAAUAUGGUGGUCAUGGCAAAUGUAACAAGAAUUCCUGACAUAGAACGAAUUCAAGGACAAAUUGCUGAGAUGUUGGGAAUGAGAUUGGAAGAGGAAAGUGAAAUUGUAAGAGCAGAUCGCAUUCGAAAGAGGUUAAUGAAAGAAAAGGAGAACACCCUUAUAAUCCUAGAUGAUCUCUGGGAUGGAUUGAACUUGAAUAUACUGGGGAUUCCACGUAGUGAGGAUGACGAUGGGAGCCAACAAGAUGUCAAUGAUUUAUCUGAUUUUGGUUACAAUAAGAUGGAAAAAGAAGUGUUUUCUGCCGAUUUCAAUACAAUGAAAAAAGACAAGUUAGCUGUCGAUUUCAGUAUGACGAAAAAAGGCAAGUUAUCUGUUGAUUCCAAUAUGAUAAAAAAAGAAAAGUUAUCAGGUGAUCACAAGGGAUGCAAAAUUCUUCUAACAUCCAGAAGUAAAGAAGUAAUAUGUAAUAAAAUGGAUGUGCAGGAGAGAUCAACUUUCUCGGUAGGAGUCCUUGAUGAAAACGAGGCAAAGACUUUGCUUAAGAAAUUGGCGGGAAUACGUGCCCAAAGUUCAGAGUUUGAUGAGAAAGUCAUUGAAAUUGCCAAAAUGUGCGAUGGAUUGCCUAUGGCAUUAGUUUCCAUAGGAAGGGCACUAAAGAAUAAAAGCUCCUUUGUAUGGCAGGAUGUCUGUCAACAAAUUAAAAGACAAAGUUUUACAGAAGGGCACGAAUCUAUGGAGUUCACUGUAAAGUUGAGCUAUGAUCAUCUAAAAAAUGAGCAGCUGAAACAUAUUUUUUUACUGUGUGCUAGAAUGGGAAAUGAUGCUUUGAUUAUGAACUUAGUGAUGCUCUGUAUUGGGUUGGGUUUGCUUCAAGGGGUCCACACAAUUAGAGAAGCGAGAAACAAAGUAAAUAUACUGAUAGAGGAGUUAAAAGAAUCAACUUUGUUGGGGGAAAGUUACUCUCGUGACCGCUUCAACAUGCAUGACAUUGUGCGGGAUGUUGCUCUUUCAAUAUCAUCCAAAGAAAAACAUGUAUUUUUUAUGAAAAAUGGCAUACUAGAUGAGUGGCCUCACAAAGAUGAACUUGAAAGGUACACUGCUAUAUGUUUACACUUUUGUGAUAUCAAUGAUGGGCUUCCCGAGAGUAUACACUGUCCUAGACUUGAAGUCUUACAUAUUGACAGUAAAGAUGAUUUUUUGAAAAUACCAGAUGACUUUUUUAAAGAUAUGAUUGAACUCAGAGUCUUGAUAUUGACUGGUGUUAAUCUUUCAUGCUUACCUUCUUCUAUUAAAUGCCUAAAAAAACUGAGAAUGCUUAGUUUGGAGAGAUGCACUCUAGGAGAGAACUUAUCAAUUGUUGGAGAGUUAAAGAAAUUACGAAUUCUUACUCUUUCAGGAUCUAACAUUGAAAGUUUGCCUCUUGAAUUUGGGCAAUUGGAUAAGCUGCAACUUUUUGACUUAAGCAAUUGCUCAAAACUAAGAGUAAUACCUUCCAAUAUCAUAUCAAAGAUGAACAGUUUGGAAGAGUUUUACUUGAGAGACAGUUUGAUUCUGUGGGAGGCUGAGGAGAAUAUCCAAAGUCAAAAUGCUAGUCUUUCUGAGUUGAGGCACUUGAAUCAGUUGCAAAAUCUAGACGUACACAUUCAGAGUGUUUCCCAUUUUCCGCAGAACUUGUUUUUGGACAUGCUGGAUAGUUACAAGAUUGUCAUUGGUGAAUUCAACAUGCUUACAGAGGGAGAAUUCAAAAUCCCUGACAUGUAUGACAAAGCGAAAUUCUUGGCAUUGAACCUAAAAGAAGAUAUUGACAUUCAUUCUGAAACAUGGGUUAAAAUGUUGUUCAAGAGUGUUGAAUAUUUGCUGCUAGGAGAACUCAAUGAUGUUUAUGAUGUUUUAUAUGAAUUAAAUGUUGAAGGAUUUCCAUAUUUGAAACAUUUAUCCAUUGUGAACAACUUUUGUAUUCAAUAUAUUAUUAACUCAGUGGAGCGGUUUCACCCUUUACUGGCUUUUCCGAAAUUGGAGUCCAUGUGUCUUUACAAACUGGAUAAUUUGGAGAAAAUAUGUGGCAAUAAUCAUCUUGAAGAGGCCUCCUUUUGCAGAUUAAAAGUCAUCAAGAUUAAAACAUGUGAUAAAUUGGAAUACAUUUUCCCAUUUUUCAUGGUCGGACUUCUCACCAUGCUUGAAACGAUUGAAGUGUGUGACUGUGAUUCUCUGAAGGAGAUAGUUUCUAUUGAAAGACAAACGCAUACUAUCAAUGAUGACAAGAUUGAGUUCCCUAAAUUACGAGUUUUAACAUUGAAAUCUUUACCAGCAUUUGCUUGUUUAUAUACCAACGACAAGAUGCCUUGUAGUGCACAAUCAUUGGAAGUCCAAGUGCAAAACAGAAACAAAGAUAUUAUCACUGAAGUUGAGCAAGGUGCCACUAGUUCUUGCAUAUCACUCUUCAAUGAAAAGGUAUGAAAAAACAUUAUCAUAAAUAUGUGUCCUUUAUAAUCUCUAAUGUUUAAUUUGUAUGUUAUUCAUCUAAAAGAAGUAAAAAGUUGUGAUCGUUUAAGUUUUAAUUUGUCAUUUCUCUUGGGUGUAUCAAUUUUUAAAAUCAAAAUCUUAUAGUUGAGACAUUAAUUAUAUAUGUUCUUACAGGUUUCAAUUCCCAAAUUAGAAUGGUUGGAGUUAUCCUCAAUCAACAUCCAGAAGAUAUGGAGUGACCAAUCUCAGCAUUGUUUUCAAAAUUUGCUUACAUUGAAUGUGACAGAUUGUGGUGAUUUAAAAUAUUUACUGUCAUUCUCCAUGGCUGGAAGUUUGAUGAAUCUACAAAGCCUUUUUGUAAGUGCAUGUGAAAUGAUGGAGGAUAUAUUUUGUCCAGAACAUGCAGAGGUGUGUGGAGUCAUUUAAUAUUGACUUUGAUUAUUACUAUCAUUUGUUGUUUAAUUGCAUUAAUUGUUGAGGUCAUAUAUCUGCUCACCUAACAUUCACUUUUUUCUGCAGCAGAAUAUUGAUGUUUUUCCUAAGUUGAAGAAAAUGGAGAUCAUCUGCAUGGAGAAACUUAAUACCAUUUGGCAACCCCAUAUUGGUCUUCAUUCGUUUCACAGUUUGGACUCUUUGAUAAUAGGAGAGUGCCACAAACUUGUUACGAUUUUUCCUAGUUAUAUGGGGCAAAGAUUUCAGAGCCUUCAAAGCUUGACAAUUACAAAUUGCCAGUUAGUGGAAAACAUAUUUGACUUUGAAAAUAUUCCACAAACUGGUGUUAGGAAUGAAACAAACUUGCAAAAUGUAUUUCUGAAGGCCUUGCCAAAUUUGGUGCACAUAUGGAAGGAGGACAGCAGUGAAAUACUUAAAUAUAAUAAUCUGAAAAGCAUAAGCAUUAAUGAGAGUCCAAAUUUAAAACAUCUCUUUCCACUUUCUGUUGCCACUGACUUAGAAAAACUAGAAAUCCUUGAUGUAUACAAUUGCAGGGCAAUGAAGGAGAUUGUUGCUUGGGGCAAUGGUUCAAAUGAAAAUGCUAUCACGUUUAAGUUUCCUCAGCUAAACACUGUAUCAUUACAAAAUUCAGUUGAACUUGUGAGUUUCUACAGAGGAACUCACGCUUUAGAGUGGCCAUCGUUGAAGAAAUUGUCCAUACUCAAUUGUUUCAAGCUGGAAGGGCUCACUAAAGACAUCACAAACUCACAAGGGAAGCCAAUUGUGUCGGCUACAGAAAAGGUACAUAACAAAAAGAAUGAAUUAAGACUCUCUCACUGAAUGAUGUGAGAAUAUGCCAUUUAUUUCUUAUAAAAAAAAUAACACAUUAUAAAUAUCUUGUUGAGUGGUUCCAAGUAUGCUUCAAUAUUGAUAAGUCUUUUUUAUUUAUAUAUUUUAGGUGAUAUACAACUUAGAAUCUAUGGAAAUCAGCUUGAAGGAAGCAGAGUGGUUGCAGAAAUACAUUGUUAGUGUUCACAGAAUGCACAAACUACAAAGACUUGUCUUGAAUGGAUUGGAGAAUACUGAAAUUCCCUUUUGGUUUCUUCAUAGACUUCCCAAUUUGAAAAGCUUAACAUUGGGGAGUUGUCAAUUGAAAAGUAUUUGGGCUCCUGCAAGCCUCAUUUCACGUGAUAAAAUAGGUGUUGUUAUGCAACUUAAGGAGUUGGAAUUAAAGAGUUUGUUGUCUUUAGAAGAGAUAGGAUUGGAGCAUGACCCACUUCUUCAGAGGAUAGAGCGCUUAGUCAUUAGUCGAUGUAUGAAAUUGACAAAUUUAGCAUCAUCCAUAGCAUCUUACAAUUACAUAACACAUUUGGAAGUGAGAAAUUGUAGAUCGCUGAGGAAUUUAAUGACAUCCUCAACUGCUAAAAGCUUGGUUCAACUCACAACCAUGAAGGUAUUCUUAUGUGAAAUGAUUGUGGAAAUCGUUGCAGAAAAUGGAGAGGAAAAAGUACAAGAGAUUGAGUUUAGACAAUUAAAAUCUUUAGAAUUGGUGUCUCUAAAAAAUCUCACAAGUUUUAGCAGUUCCGAGAAGUGUGACUUCAAAUUCCCAUUACUGGAAAGUUUAGUAGUGAGUGAAUGCCCUCAAAUGAAAAAAUUCUCUAAAGUCCAAAGUGCUCCAAACCUUAAAAAAGUACAUGUUGUAGCUGGAGAAAAAGACAAAUGGUAUUGGGAAGGUGAUUUGAAUGACACUCUACAAAAGCAUUUCACACAUCAGGUACGUAUUAGAUAGAGUAUUUAAUUUGUUAACCAUCACAAAAUUUCAUCUACCUACACAUAUAAAUUAUUUUUCAUUUCAUUGAAAAUUUUCCUAAGUCAAUAUUCUACAAUUGGAUAAUUAUGUCACCAUGAUAAAACAUAUAUAAUUGUAGCUUAAAUAUAUUUUUGUUCAAUUUAAGUUUAUGUUUUUUUUUAAUUUUGGUCCCUUUAAGAUAUCCUGCUCAAUUUUUUUUGUUUCAGUAAGUUUGCAUUUUUUUUUCAAUCUUGAUCCUUGUAAGCGUAAACUUAUGGGGACUAUAAAUAAAUAAAAAAUCAAACCUUAAAGGAACUAAAAUUAAAAAAUACAAACAUAUAAGAAUUAAAAAUAAAAAUAAAAACUUACACAAACCAAAAUUGAAAAGAACAUCAACUUACAGAAAUUAAAAUUAAGAAAAAAUGAACUUCCAAAAAUCAAAAAUAAAAAAGCGUUGAGGCCAAAGAACAUAUUUAGACCUAUAAUUGUAUGUUGUCCCAUAUGUAAAAUAUGAAGCAAGCUUAUUAUGUACUUUUGUAAUUUGUACAGACUCAAUUAGAUUUAUUUAUUGGUCAAGGUUUCCUUAUUUGUAGUAAUCAAGUCUGAUUUUAUUUCCAAAAUUCUUGCAUAGUUUUAUCAAGAAAGCUGCACAAAUCAACUACUGAUCUUUAUUAUACUCUUUGAAUUAUGAGAAAAUAAUAUUCACUUUUCAUAUUCCUAAUUUGUAUUAUAACUAAUUUACUGAAGUGGGAGUACAGUAUAAGAAUUUAAAUAGAAGAAUGCACUCACAAUUAACGUAAUUUUUUAGAUUGUUAUCCAAUUAUUGAUUGUCAUGAAAUAAUUAUAUUAAAAUUUAAUUAGAAUGUGUUAAAUGUAUAAAAUAUUUUUUAUUACACUGUUAUCAAGAGUUUAUCAACUUAUCAUCUUAUUUGUACUAAAAAAAAAAGCUUAUAAUCUUACCUAUAGCUUAAAAGUCAUAUCCCAAAUGAUUUUUAUUUGAUUGAUAAUAUAAAAUUAUUUUUUUAUAUCAAGAAAAAAAAGGUAUACAACAAUUGAUGUAUCAUGUUCAAUUAAUUGAGCUAUUUAAAAUUGUUCACUUUAAUUAUAUAUAUCAAAAUAGAAGUCAGAACAUGAAUGGAAAAUAAAAAAGAAAAUUGAAUUUUAAUGUGAUGGCUGGAGAUAUCUCAGCAGAGAGGCACAUAUAUAGUUUUCUACAUCAAUAGUAAACCUAAGUCGUACAUAAGCAACAAUUUUUUUUUUUUACAAUAGAAUUUUUUAAGUUUAUAUACUCUACAAUCAAGACAUUUAACUUGGUUAAAAUUUGAAAAUGAUAGUAUAAUUACAACAAUAAUAUUUUAAAGAAAAUAGAACUGGUUAGAACUUAUAAUGAAAUAGGAUUUUAUUUGAAUAUGAAGAUAAUAGCAUAUCCACAGUAACAAUAAUUAAUACAAUUAACUUAAAUAUAAAAAAAUAAUAUUCAUAUUUUAAAAUAAAAUAUUAUUUAAAGCGUAGUUUCCAGAGUUUCCAUACAUACACUCCUAACGUUGAGUUUCAAUGCUUUGAAGGUUUCUUUCGAAUAUUCAAAGCAUAAGAGACUUGUUGAUUAUCCUGAGACCAAGGCUUUUCGGCACGGCAAACCUGCUUUUCCGGAGAACUUCUUUGGCUGUUUGAAGAAAUUGGAAUUUGAUGGAGAAAGUAUAAGACAGAUUGUUAUUCCAUCUCAUGUACUUCCUUACUUGAAGACCUUAGAAGAAUUGUAUGUACAUAACUCCGAUGCAGUGCAGAUAAUAUUUGACAUGGAUCACAGUGAGGCAAAGACCAAGGGUAUAGUCUCUCGUUUGAAAAAACUUACUCUAGAAGACUUGUCAAAUUUGGAAUGUGUAUGGAACAAAAACCCACGAGGAACUCUCAGCUUUCCCCAUCUGCAAGAAGUGGUCGUUUUUAAAUGUAGAACCUUGGCAAGACUGUUCCCUUUGUCCCUUGCCCGAAAUCUUGGGAAACUUAAGACCCUUGAAAUACAGAUCUGUGACAAGUUGGUAGAAAUUGUUGGAAAGGAAGAUGUGACGGAACAUGGAACAACUGAAAUGUUUGAAUUCCCUUGUUUGUGGAAGUUGAUUCUUUAUAAGCUGUCACUGCUUAGUUGCUUUUAUCCUGGGAAACACCAUCUGGAAUGCCCCUUAUUAGAAAGGUUGGAUGUGUCCUAUUGUCCUAAGUUGAAGCUAUUCACAUCAGAAUUUGGAGAUAGUCCCAAACAAGCAGUUAUAGAGGCUCCAAUUAGCCAACUACAACAACAACCUCUGUUCUCGAUUGAAAAGGUGACAAAACAUUAUCAGUUAAGCUUCUUUUUUUUUUUUAAUUUCAUAUUAUAUUUUCCUCCUUCUAACUACCACCGUGCAUUUUCUUUUGAAUUUGUUUGGCCUUGCUAGAUUGUUCCCAAUCUGGAGGAAUUGACACUCAAUGAGGAAGACAUUAUGCUGUUGAGCGAUGCACAUUUGCCACAAGACUUCCUUUUCAAAUUAACUGAUCUUGAUCUAUCCUUUGAGAAUGAUGACAAUAAGAAAGAGACUUUGCCUUUUGAUUUCCUUCAGAAGGUACCCAGCUUAGAUUAUCUUCGAGUGGAAAGGUGCUAUGGUCUGAAGGAGAUAUUUCCCUCUCAGAAAUUCCAAGUUCAUGACCGUUCACUUCCCGGAUUGAAACAAUUAAGACUGUAUGAUCUUGGAGAGCUGGAGUCGAUAGGGUUAGAGCACCCAUGGGUUAAGCCAUACUCUCAAAAGCUUCAAUUAUUAAAGCUUUGGGGGUGCCCUCAGUUAGAAGAAUUAGUGAGCUGUGCAGUGUCUUUCAUCAAUCUAAAAGAGUUGGAAGUGACGAACUGUAAUAGGAUGGAGUAUUUAUUGAAAUGCUCAACUGCCAAAAGUUUGUUGCAACUUGAGAGCCUAUCUAUAAGUGAAUGUGAAUCAAUGAAGGAAAUAGUAAAAAAAGAAGAAGAAGAUGCUUCUGAUGAGAUCACAUUUGGAAGCCUCAGAAGAAUAAUGUUGGAUUCAUUACCAAGGCUAGUAAGGUUUUAUUCAGGGAAUGCCACUUUGCAUUUCAAGUGUUUGGAAGAAGCCACGAUUGCAGAAUGCCAGAAUAUGAAAACAUUCUCAGAAGGAAUAAUAGAUGCGCCAUUAUUAGAGGGGAUUAAAACUUCAACAGAGGAUACUGAUCACUUAACCUCCCACCAUGAUCUCAACACCACAAUCGAGACCUUGUUUCACCAACAGGUAAGGAAUUCAUUAUCCAAACUCAAUUCUUAUUUAUUUAUAACCAAGUACUGGAUCAUGAUAAUUAAUCAAUGUCUCAACAACAUUGAUUAAAAAAAUUGAAGUUAAAAUAUAUUUGUCAUUUUUAAUAAAUAUUUGAAUUUUAUAUUUAUUUUCUAAUCAUUUUUUUUUAUUUUUUUCUCUUACAAAACAAAAAUUUGUUCUCUUAUAAAAAAAAUUGAAUCGUUAUUUUUACCUUUGAAAAAACAGUAAUAACAAAUACAAAUAAUUUUUUGGGAGCAAACAAUUUUUUUAAAUUUAUAAGAGAUUAAAAAAGUGUCAAUAUGACAAAAAUAAAAAAAAAUUCUAUUAGAGACUAAUUUAAAAAAAAAUUAUGAAAGAACAAAAAAAAUCAUAUAUUUAUUAGAGAUUAAAAAUAUAUUUUAUCCAAAAUUUUAAAAUAAUUUUUUUAAAAAAAUUACUUUGAAAAUGAUUUGGAAAUUAGAAUAGGGAUGUACCCACUCUGUUAUAUAAAAUAAUAGUAUUUUAAGAAACAUUUAAUUAAUAUAAAUUUAGACAAAAUACCCUUAGUCUUCCAACCACUUUUGCCAUAAGUUAUCCUACUAGCAAUCCAAUUUAUUUUUAUGGUUGAUAUCUUCUUUUAAUGCAACUGAACUUAUUGUUGUGGUUGACGUCUCUUUUUAAGGCAAGUAUAAAUUUAACCUCCUAAUUAUAUAUAAGAGUCUUGUUGAAAAACAAUUUAAAAAGCUAAAGGACUAUUAUUUUGAAGAAGAAAAAAGCUAACAAGAUCUUUUAUUGUAACAAAUGGAAUAUUAAUAAUACUUAUUAAUUAAUUAAAAAAAAUUCUAUUUUAAAUUCUUUAACGGGUGUCCUUAGGACAUUUAUUAACAUUCGCCAUAAAUUUAAUUUUCAAGACACAAAUUGAUUCUAGAGUAGUAGUUCUCUUUCCUUAUAUUUUAAGACAAUGUUAAAUAAUAUUCUUAGGGUAGUGAUUAAAAAAGUAAAAGAUAAAAAUUUAUUGGAAUGCUUUAAAAUGCUCUCACCUAUGAUUUUAAAAUGUGUUUUCAUAUGAUUUUUAACAAAAUAUUUUUCCUUUUGGUUCUUUAAAUAAUGUCUUAAAGACACUAGUUAAUUAGACCUUUAUUUUGGAAUAUGUACUUCCCCCUCUGUUGAGUUUCACUUUAAGUAAUUUUCAAUGUAGACAAUAUCUUAAUAGUUGUGAAUAAAUAUAAAUUAAUGUGUCCCUGAGUGUUAUAUUAUCUUUUGCUAUAACUCUUCAUGUCACCACCAACUUAUUUUGAUAAUCUUAUAAAUUGUUUAUCAUAGAUUUUUAUAUCCACUUAGUUAUUAUAAAGACUCCACUUAGUUUAUAUCCAUUCAUUCACCAACAAAGUUAUCAUCACCUCUUUGUACUCUCCAACACUUCAUUUUGUAGUAAUUUAUAGGAUUAAUCCAGUAAAAAAUUAGUCUUCAAGUAUAUAAAGCACCGAUAUCAUAAGUGAAUAAAUAUAACAUAAAUGAAAGAUUUAUAAUAAAAUGAAGUAUAAAAUAUGUUUUAGAUUUGCUGAUAAAUUAACAAAUUUUGUAUUUGUUUCCUAAUAAAUUUUUUCUUUGUAUUGAAUCACCUAUAAAAUAAUAAUUUUAUUUUUUAUUCUUGACAUCAUUUUUUAUUCACUAAUAAAUUAGCGAUUUUUUUUGUACCCUAGUCAUUUUUUUUCAAGUGUUAUUAGUCUUUUUAAGGAACUUAUAACAAAUGAAAAAAAAAAAUUAUUACAAAGAAAACACAAAAUUCACAAUUUAUGAGGGACUGAAAAAGGAAUCAUGGAUAAAAAAAAUAUUUUAUUAGGGACUCAAUACAAAAAAAAAAGUUUGUUAGAGAACAAAUAUAAAAUUUAAGUAUUUAUUAGAAAUCGAAAACAUAUUUUAACCUAAAAUAAAUAUAAAAAAAAGAGCUACUUAUAAAAAGAAAUGGCAAAAUUGGUUCCCCACUUUAUCUCCAAUUUUAAAUUUGGUCCCCCUAUAAUUUAAUUCACAAAUUUGGUCUCUCAGUUUUCUAAAUCCUUGCAAAAUUUGUCCUAGAAGCCCAAUUUGGACGUUGACCAUUAACCUCAGACGUUCACAAUCACGUGUCAAUGCCACGUGUCAACGUCUGAGUGGUUCCCUGUAAAAGCUUCAUUUUUUGGAGGUAAAAUUGCACUUUUGGUCCCAAAAUUUUACUCCAAUUUCGAUUUUGGUCCCCUAUAAUUUAAUUUAUACAUUGGGUCCCCCAGUUUUAUAAAUCCAUUUAUAAAUUGUUCCUGCGAAAUUAGUCUUUUGAAUGGUUUAGCCAUUGGUGUUAGAGACAUGGUAGGUCUUGAUAAAUCUCGCACUUCUUUUUCAUUGCAAGUUUUUCACUCACUUGGAACCCAAAGAAAAAUCACUAUUUGUCUCUCUCCCACUUCUGGGGUUGUUCAACUUGAAAAAAAAGGGAAGUGUGUGUUUGGGAGGGUAGUUUAGAGAAAAAAAAAUAGAGGAAAACCAAGAAAAUAUUGUACUAGUAAUAAAGGCGAGUAGAAAUAACAGUUUUCUUAUUUUUUUUAUAAGAAGACUAAUGUGAGUCCAAAACAUUCUAUCAGACUUCUUUUCUCUUCUCUUCUGUCUACUUUUAGUUUUUUUUUUUUUUUUUGGGCAUGCAUGGGCCGAAAAGGUCUUUCAUCUUUUUCUCCUUAUAUUUUUAUUUCAUUAUCAUUUUUUUAUUUAUAUUUUUUGCAUUCUUUAGACACCUGGAUCAAAGACCUUAGCCACUAUUUUAUUCCUAUUUUGCUCUUACUACAAUUUAGACCAUUGGAAUCCACUCUAAAAAAUAAUAAAUAAAAUUGUGAAUAAAAUAAUAUUUAAAUUGUGGGCUUCUGACCGAAUAACUCUUCUAUAUUUGCACCGUUAUUGGAUAUGCUCUUAUUUUACCUGACUUGAAUAACUGAUUUCUACUUGACAAUGUAAAAAUGAUACAAAAAUAAUAUAUAUCAAAAUAAAGCUCUUGAUUUAAUUAGAAAAGCAAGAAUGAGAAUCGAAAUUUAACACGAGUUAAUCGCAGAUUUCAAUUAAUGAGGCACAUGUAUAUAUAGUUUUCUACAAUCAAAUGUAAAUCCAAGAGGUACACAUGAGACUUGUCAAGUAUCUGAUGUUUAGUUUCUCUCGCUUUUAAGGUUUUCUUCGAAUACUCAAAGCAUAUGAUCCUUGUCGAUUACCUUGAGACAGCGGGUGUUACGCACGGCAAACCUGCUUUUCUGAAGAAUUUCUUUGGCAGUUUAAAGAAAUUAGAAUUUGAUGGAGCCAUUAAAAGAGAGAUUGUAAUUCCAUCUGAUGUACUUCCUUACUUGAAUACCUUAGAAGAAUUGAAUGUACAUAGCUCCGAUGCAGUGCAGAUAAUAUUUGACAUGGAUGACACUGAUGCCAACACCAAGGGAAUAGUCCUUCCAUUGAAAAAGCUUACUCUAGAGGACUUGUCAAAUUUGAAAUGUUUAUGGAACAAAAACCCACCAGGAACUCUCAGCUUUCCCAAUCUGCAACAAGUGUCCGUUUUUAGUUGUAGAAGCUUGGCAACACUGUUCCCUUUGUCCCUUGCCCGAAAUCUUGGGAAGCUUCAGACCCUUAAAAUACAGAUCUGUCACAAGUUGGUAGAAAUUGUUGGAAAGGAAGAUGAAAUGGAACAUGGAACAACUGAAAUGUUUGAAUUCCCUUAUUUGAGGAAUUUGCUUCUUUAUGAGCUGUCACUGCUUAGUUGCUUUUAUCCUGGGAAACACCAUCUGGAAUGCCCCUUAUUAGAAAGGUUGGAUGUGUCCUAUUGUCCUAAGUUGAAGCUAUUCACAUCAGAAUUUGGAGAUAGUCCCAAACAAGCAGUUAUAGAGGCUCCAAUUAGCCAACUACAACAACAACCUCUGUUCUCGAUUGAAAAGGUGACAAAACAUUAUCAGUUAAGCUUCUUUUUUUUUUUUAAUUUCAUAUUAUAUUUUCCUCCUUCUAACUACCACCGUGCAUUUUCUUUUGAAUUUGUUUGGCCUUGCUAGAUUGUUCCCAAUCUGAAGGGAUUAACACUCAAUGAGGAAGACAUUAUGCUGUUGAGCGAUGCACAUUUGCCACAAGACUUCCUUUUCAAAUUAACUGAUCUUGAUCUAUCCUUUGAGAAUGAUGACAAUAAGAAAGAGACUUUGCCUUUUGAUUUCCUUCAGAAGGUACCCAGCUUAGAUUAUCUUCGAGUGGAAAGGUGCUAUGGUCUGAAGGAGAUAUUUCCCUCUCAGAAAUUCCAAGUUCAUGACCGUUCACUUCCCGGAUUGAAACAAUUAAGACUGUAUGAUCUUGGAGAGCUGGAGUCGAUAGGGUUAGAGCACCCAUGGGUUAAGCCAUACUCUCAAAAGCUUCAAUUAUUAAAGCUUUGGGGGUGCCCUCAGUUAGAAGAAUUAGUGAGCUGUGCAGUGUCUUUCAUCAAUCUAAAAGAGUUGGAAGUGACGAACUGUAAUAGGAUGGAGUAUUUAUUGAAAUGCUCAACUGCCAAAAGUUUGUUGCAACUUGAGAGCCUAUCUAUAAGUGAAUGUGAAUCAAUGAAGGAAAUAGUAAAAAAAGAAGAAGAAGAUGCUUCUGAUGAGAUCACAUUUGGAAGCCUCAGAAGAAUAAUGUUGGAUUCAUUACCAAGGCUAGUAAGGUUUUAUUCAGGGAAUGCCACUUUGCAUUUCAAGUGUUUGGAAGAAGCCACGAUUGCUGAAUGCCAGAAUAUGAAAACAUUCUCAGAAGGAAUAAUAGAUGCGCCAUUAUUAGAGGGGAUUAAAACUUCAACAGAGGAUACUGAUCACUUAACCUCCCACCAUGAUCUCAACACCACAAUCGAGACCUUGUUUCACCAACAGGUAAGGAAUUCAUUAUCCAAAUUCAAUUGUUAUUUGUUUAUAUAUCUAAACAUAGGGGGCAUGCUAAUUAACCAAUGUCUCAACAACAUUGAUUAAAAAUUUCAAGUUAAAAUAUUAUUGUAACUUUAAAUAAAUAUCUAAAAUUUGUGUUUGGUUCUUAAUAAUAUUUUCUUUUUUUGUGUGUCAUAAGUUUUUUUUUUGUUAUUAUUGGUCCUUCAUAUUUUUUAUAAUUCUUAAUAAAUUAAUAAAUUUUAUAUUUAUUUGUUUAUUAUUUUUUAUUUUAAUAUUUUUUUUUAAAAUGACUAAUAAGAAAUACAAUUAAUUUAUUUGGGAGCAAACAAAAAUAAAUUUCUUAAUUUAUAAGACACUAAAAAAGUAUCAUUGACCAAAAAUAAGAUUGUUAUUUUAUUAAAAAUUCAAUAUAAUUUUAUUUUCCUUUUAAUUCCUUAAAUAAUAUCCUAAAAACACUAGUUAACCAAACCUUUAUUUUAAAAUGUACACUCUCCUUCUUUCCCUUGCACUUUAGGUAAUUUUUAAUGUAUAUAAUAUCUUAAUAGUUGUGAAUAAAUAUGAAUUAGUGUGUCUCCCAAUUAUAUAUUAUCUUUUUCUACCACUUUUAAUGUGACCACCAACUAAUUUUUAAAAACCUAUAUAUUGUUGAUCAUAAUUUUUUUAUAAAGUAGAAUGAAGCUUUAAAUAUCUUUAUUAUCACCAAUGAAUUAGGGUCUAAUAAAAGAGGUUAAUCGAUGUAAUAAAUUAAUUAUAUAUGUUUCAAAUUAUUGAUAAAAUAGAUGUUCACAUUUAUUAUCUGACUUAGUUUUAAAUAGAAUUGUCUCUAAAUUAAAAACUAAAAAAUAUCUCUUUAAUUGCUUAUGAAAUUUCAUCUUCUAAUCAAAGUCACAAAAUUCAUAUCAGUUCGAAAUUUGUAAAUCAUGGUGAGGAUCACUGCAAGAGAAUUAUUAUUUAGAAAAAAACUCAUUUACAUGAUAUAGACUGAAUUAUAAUACUUAUUUAUCUUUCAAGGAAGAAGAGUGUAUAUUUUAAAAUAAGAGUGAAAGUGAAUAUAAUUUAAGCUUCUCUAGGAUAGCAGAAGGAGAUUUACUCUAAAAUAUUUCUUACGGCAUACAUUACUUAUUACAUUAAAAACUUGUCAUGAUAUCUUUGUUUGCUUUUACCAACACUUGUUUGAUCUUUUACCAAUAGGUUGUGUCAUAAAUCAAUAUCUCAAAAGUUUAUUUGUUUUGGACAAAGACAUACAUAUGGUUUUAUAUAUUAUAUCUCUAAUUUGUCUUUGAAUCCCUUUGAUUAGCUUGAAAUGUGGAUAAUACAAUCCAUCUACCUUUAGACUCUAAUACGUACUUACAAUAUAUAUCAUGAACCAAUAAUUAAUGUCACAAGAUUAAGCUGUUACGUAAAGGCACAUGAAUGAUUUUAAUUAAUAAUAUAUCUCAUAUAUUAAAUUUCAAAUACAUUUUCAUUAUUACAAUGGCUAUUGUGAGAACAACAUAUUUAUAAUGUUCUUAUUAAGUUUUAUUUGACUUAUUAUAAUUGAUAAAUUUUGUGUUUGUUAUUUUAUAAUAAUUUUUUUUCAUUGGCUCUCCUAUAAAAUAAUUUUAUUUCUAUUCUUGGUAUCGUUUUUUAAUCACUAAUAAAUUAGUGAACUUUUUUUUGUAACCUGAUAUUUUUUCAUGUUAUUAAACAAAAAAUUCAUAAUUUAUUAUCAACUAAAAAAAGUGUCAUAAACCAAAAAUAAAACUUUUAUUUUAUUAGGAAUUCAAUACAAAAGAAAAAUAUUUAUUAAAAAAUAAAUACAAAAUUUAAAUAUUUAUUAAGGAUCUUAAACAUAUUUUACCCUAAUAUAAAUGUGAGAAGAAAGGAAAAGAGAGCUACCUUAUAGAAAGAAAUUAAGUAUCUAAUGGACCAAAAAGAUACAGCAGUCAAAUUUGUUGUAUUUAACCCGUGUAACAAGACAAAAGAUAAGGUUCAUAAUCUCCACUAUGGAUAACACAUGUUUUGAGACUUCAAACACAUUUUUUGGAAGCUUCAAACAAAAGAAUACAUUUUCAUCCUACUUAAAUUGUAAAGAAAAAAUGAAAACCUAAAUUAGAGUAAGAUCAACUUCUAUGAAUAUUCAUUUUUAUCCUCUAACUUUUUAUCUUUAUCUAUAUUUUAAUUUUUUAAUCCAUGUUUUUUUGUUAUUGCUAAUACCUUGAAGAUAGUUUAGACCAUGUCUAUUAGGACAAAACUCAUUCUUUUUACUCUUUUUUUUUUUUUUAUCGUAGGCUAGUUGAGUUCAAUUUCAAUUUUAUUUUGUUUCCUCUUCACCUUCCAUUAUUUUAUUUAUAACUCAACACAAUUUUUCUUGCCUUUUUCUUUUUAUUUAUAUAUUAUUUUAUUUUUGUCUUCUUAAACCAAAAUUUAACCACAAUUGUUAUUUUCACUCAUCUUUACACUAUGACACUUCCUUUCUUAUUUUAUACCAAAAUUACCUUGCUAAACACAAUAUCAUCCACUUUCUCUUCUCUUUCUUCCGAAAAGAAAAGAAAAGAAAAAGAAAAAUGACACUCCCGCUCCACAACUCUAGUAACACAUUUGACAAAUGUGAAUGAUCUUAUUAUAAUUUGCUUAUUUUUUUUAAAACAAAAUACUUAUGAGAGUAGUACAAAAUAAAGAAAUAAAUUUUGAAGCAAAUUUGUUCAUGCGCGUGCAUGUGGAUAACAAAACAACUCUAACUCAACCAUUUUUGGAUGUCUUGAAUUUUUAUAUAUAGAAUAUUUCACUAAAGCAUGGAUGUAUUCAACCUUAUUUUUGCGUGGAUGUUUAAUGCUUAAUCUUGUUAUAUGAUAUUAUUAAGAGAAAACAAAAGGACACCAUAAGGAAUGUCCCUUCUAGAACAUACAAUGCAUGUACACAACCCACGAUAACAUACACUUACAAAAAGAUGCUAAUUAAAAUAAGUUGCACUAAAAGAACACAAUUUUACAAAUAAAAAAAUGCUACAUAAAUGAAAAAAUUGAUAUACUAUUUAUAACAAAAAAUACCGAUAAUUUUUGGUAUUUUAGAAAUCUACCGGAGGUCCCAAACAACUCCCUUAAUUUUACUCAACCUUUUCAUACUAAUUGGGCAUAUUAACCCAAAAUAUUAUGUUAAAGUAUAAUUGGAUAUCUAAAGCCUUAUGUUUUUUUAUUUUUUAUAAGAGGAGCACAAAACAUUCUAUCAACCUUCUUUUCCUUUCUCUUCUCUUCUAUUUUUUUUUUAAUAUUUUGGGCGGGCAUGAGCUGUUAUAUUUUGGGCUUGCAUGAGCUGAAAAGCUCUGUCAUCUUUUCUCCUUAUCUUUUCGUUUCAUUACAAUUUUCUUACCAUGUGGGUCAUAGACCUUUAGUCACUAUUUUAUUCCCAUUUUGCUCUUUCUACAUUUUAGACCAUUGGAAUCCAUUCUAAAAAUAAUAAAGAAAAUUAUGAAUUAUAAUAAUAAUUUUUUUUGGGAUUCUAACCAAAAAUGACUUAAAUAACUCCUCUAUCCCAAAUAUUAAAAGAUGCUCUUACUUUAAAUUACACGUAUAAACUUAUUUCUUUUAGACUCGUACAAAAAUAAUAUAUCAAAAUAAAGCGCAAAAUUUAAUUAAAAAAAAUGAGAAUUUGAAAUUUAACAAGAGAUAAUUGUAGAUAUCUCAAUUAAGGAGGCACAUGCAUAUAUAGUUUUCUACAAUCAAAUGUAAAUCCAAGUGGUACACAUUGUCAAGUAUCUGACGUUGAGUUUCUCUGGCUUUGAAGGUAUUUUUUGAAUAUUCCAAGCAAAUGAUCCUUGUCGAUUACCUUGAGACAACGGGUGUUAGGCGCGGCAAACCUGCUUUUCUGAAGAAUUUCUUUGGCAGUUUAAAGAAAUUAGAAUUUGAUGGAGCCAUUAAAAGAGAGAUUGUAAUUCCAUCUCAUAUACUUCCUUACUUGAAGACCUUAGAAGAAUUGAAUGUACAUAGCUCCGAUGCUGUGCAGGUAAUAUUUGACGUAGAUGACACUGAUGCCAACACCAAGGGAAUGCUCCUUCCAUUGAAAUAUCUUACUUUAAAAGACUUGCCAAAUUUGAAAUGUGUAUGGAACAAAACCCCCCGAGGAAUUCUCAGCUUUCCCAAUUUGCUAGUAGUGUUUGUUACUAAAUGUAGAAGCUUGGCAACACUGUUCCCUUUGUCCCUUGCCAACAAUCUUGUAAAUCUUCAGACACUUACAGUACGGAGGUGUGACAAGUUGGUAGAAAUUGUUGGAAAUGAAGAUGCAAUGGAACAUGGAACAACUGAAAGAUUUGAAUUCCCUUCUUUGUGGAAUUUGCUUCUUUAUAAGCUGUCACUGCUUAGUUGCUUUUAUCCUGGAAAACACCAUCUGGAAUGCCCCCGUAUUAGAAUGCUUGGAUGUGUCCUACUGUCCUAAGUUGAAGCUAUUCACAUCAGAAUUUCAUAAUAGUCACAAAGAAGCAGUUAUAGAGCAACCUCUUUUCGUGGUUGAAAAGGUGACAAAUUAAAGCAAUAUCACUUUAACCUUUUUUGUUUUCUUUUCAUUAUAUAUAUUUUCCUUCUUCUGAGUUCUAACUGCCACCAUGCAUUUUCUUUUGAAUAAUUGAAAGGUUGAUCCCAAACUGAAGGAAUUGACACUCAAUGAAGAAAACAUCAUCUUGUUGAGGGAUGCACAUUUGCCGCAAGACUUCCUUUGCAAAUUAAAUAUUCUUGAUCUGUCCUUUGAUGAUUAUGAGAAUAAGAAAGAUACUUUGCCUUUUGAUUUCCUUCACAAGGUACCCAGUGUAGAAUGUCUUCGAGUGCAAAGAUGCUAUGGUCUCAAGGAGAUAUUUCCCUCUCAAAAGCUCCAAGUUCAUCACGGAAUACUUGCGCGAUUGAAUCAAUUAGAGUUAAACAAACUAAAAGAGUUGGAGUCGAUAGGGUUGGAGCACCCAUGGGUAAAGCCAUACUCUGCAAAGCUUGAAAUAUUAAAUAUUCGCAAAUGCUCUCGGUUAGAAAAAGUAGUGUCUUGUGCAGUAUCUUUCAUUAGUCUCAAAAAGUUGUAUUUGAGUGACUGUGAAAGGAUGGAGUAUUUAUUCACAUCUUCAACGGCCAAAAGUUUGGUGCAACUUAAGAUCCUAUAUAUAGAAAAAUGUGAAUCAAUAAAAGAAAUAGUAAGAAAAGAAGAUGAAAGCGAUGCUUCGGAAGAGAUCAUAUUUGGACGGCUCACAAAAUUAAGGUUGGAGUCCUUAGGAAGGCUAGUAAGGUUUUAUUCAGGGGAUGGCACCUUGCAAUUCUCAUGUUUGGAAGAAGCCACCAUAGCUGAAUGCCCCAAUAUGAAUACUUUCUCUGAAGGAUUCGUAAAUGCGCCAAUGUUUGAGGGGAUUAAAACUUCAACGGAGGAUUCUGAUUUAACAUUCCACCAUGAUCUCAACUCCACAAUCAAGAUGUUGUUUCACCAACAUGUAAGGAAUUCAUUAUCCAAAUUCAAUUGCUAUUUACUUGUUAUAAGUAAAUUAGUAUUUUAACACGUGCACUAUAUAAUUAAAAUAAUAAUUUUUUACAUAUAAAAAUUAUAUUAUAAUUAAAAUUUAUAUAAAAAUAUUUUAUACCUAAAAAUUAUAUUUUAAAUUUAUGAUAAAUAGUCUAUAUUUUAAUAUAUUUUUAUUAUUGAUUAUUGAAAAUUUUAAAAAAUAUAUUCAAAUAAAUUUAGAACUAAAGAUUUGGUCAAUUUCUUUUUGUUUGUCAUUACUUUUAGUUUCUAAAAAGAUUAAAAAUAAGAAAAAAGUUAAGGAACUAAAAUCAAUUAAAAAAAUUUAGAAAUUAAAAACAAAAACAUUAAAAAACAAAAUUUAGAAAUUUAGUUUGUCAUUACUUUUUGUAAGCUCAUCUUUUGCAUGUGUGUUUGACUGCUAUCAUCAUGAGAGCAGAGAUGUUGAUGCAUCAUGGGACGGAAUCUUCCACCUUAGGCUUUGUUGGGAAGGACUACUCUGAUGGAUCAUGCUGCUACUCUUCUCUUUCAUCUCAUCCCAGUGGUAUUGUCGUAGUAAUUAAUAGUUAUGGCCAGCCUGGGCAGUGGUUUAUGUUGUUAGCCCCACUCCUUGUUUUGGAUGUUUACAUGGAUUUUUAUGUAUUAUUUUUGGGCAGGCACAUAUAUUUUAUUUGCUAGUUUUCGUUCUUAUGUUUAGAGUUUGAAUCAUGUUGUUGGUUUUAUAUUGGUCAUGAAACUUAUGGCAUAUGUGUAGACUUACUUUAUGUACGUUUGAGGUUUAUUUGCAGAUGUGUAUGCAGUUGCUUCCUUAUGCGUAGGUAGUGUUCAUAUUUAAUUUAUACAGAAGCAAAAAAACUACCCAACUAUUUAUUAAAUAAAUUAGUUCAAAGAUUGUCCUUAAAAUUAAACCAUUCCAUUUUGAAAAUAGUUGUUGACGUGUUGCAAUAGUCAUCGGGUUGUUAAUUUAGGUUGUUAUAUACUAAACUACAUGAUUAGAAGGGAGGAUUUUAUUAAAAAUAAAAAAUUAUAUUUAUAAAAUUUUAAGAGAGAUUAAUCACCAGGAUGCAACACAUUUAUAACAUGAUCACCCCAAAAGUAUGCAGACUUCAUAAAAGUUUUUUCAAUAUUCUCUCUCAGAGUCACAAUUUUAUGUCUUAAAAUAUAUUUGUGAGGGUGGUUAAUUCGCUUUGUUUAGGUGAGCUUCAUCUAAAUAUGAUUGUUAACCGGAAAAUGAUCAAGUGUGACAAAACUUACUACUAAUCACGCUUCAUAAUUAAUUAAUUAUCUGCAUAAAAGGAUAGUGUUCCCUGAAAUCAUUUUUUUAGAGUAAAAACUUCAAUGUAUGGAAGGUUUGUUUUUCGACAAAGUCAAUUUUCAAUAGAAAAUGUUAUCCUCUAGAAAGAAAUCUGUUAAAAAUAAUAAAGGAGCCUUUUAAUGAAUUGAUCUUAUCCAAAUAUAUUUUGGAUUGAAUUUUAUCGAAUACAAAAGAUAGAAAAUUUUGCUAAGUGUUUCCAGAAAGAACUUUUCAACAAAAAUUGUUUACAAAGAACUUUUAAACAAGUGGCGCACACUUUUAAUAAGAAAUUGGAAGUUUAUAAACUUUUUCCAUUUAUCGCUCAUGUUGUUACACCUAUAUAUUGUUAUUGGUUUCAAAGUCACACCAUAUGUAUUCGUUUCACUCUUAAAGAAAUGUAUUUCUUUUUGUUUAAUUUACUGCACUUUUCCUCUUAAUCCUUAAACUUUUUAAAUUGUCAAAAUGAUAAAAAAAAAUGUUUUGUUUGAUAUAAACAUUCGCUUAAGCUGAAAAACUAUAAUUGUUUGUUCGAUGAAAAGAAACUUACAAUCGAAUUUUGGAUGUCUCACAAAUAAAUAAAAAAGUUAUUUAUUAAUACAAUCCAACGUGAAAGUUAUUAUAGUCAUAUAUAUAGGAAAUCUUUUCGAAAACAUUUUUAUGAUUUUCACGGUUAACAUCUUAUAAUAUAUUUAUUAUAGUAUUUGUUAAUUAUUAAAUAUAAUCUACAAUAAUAAGGAUAAAUAGUAUUAUUAAAUCUUAUAUUCUUUAAAACUAAUAAACAUGAUAUAUUAUAUUUGAACGCGUGACUUUUCAUAUAAAUCUAUAUAUACUAAAAAUCUAUCAUUAGAUAAAAAGUAAAUUUUAAAAUAAUUAAAAGAAAUUAUAUAUAAUAGGUUAAAGUAUUCUUUAAAAUUUUACUAUCUGCAUUAUUUUUUUAAAUACUUUUAAAGACUAUUAUUAAAUAUAUAAUUAAAAUAAAUCAAUUAUUUUUUAUAUUUAAAUUAAAAUAAAUAUUUUGAUAUAGAGCUUUAAAUUUUCAGAACAAUUCUUCAGUGAGAGUUGUUUUAGAAAUUUUUCUUCAACGAGGACGUUUUUAUGGAUUUUUUUAACCUCUUAUCAUUUAAACAUAUUCUUUCAUAUUUAUUUCAACAUUAAAUUUUAAUUUUUAAUUAAAGAUAUUAUUAGUAAAAAAAUAAUUUUGUAUUGCAAUUUAAAUGAUUUAUUAUACAAAUUUAAAAUAUAAUUUAUAUGUUCAAAAAUAUUUAUUCAUUAUGUCUUUAAUGAUAAGAUUUUUUAUAAAUUAUAAAAUUUAUUUAUUAUAAAUUUUAAUUAGAUAAAGAACAUAUUUUAUCAUGUGAAUUGCACAGGGAGUAUCUUAUUUUUAAUUUCUACUCUUAAUCAUUUGACAAAUUAUUAUAUUUAAUAAACACAGUACUUAAUGUUAUUGAAAAUUUAGAUUUAAUUUAAUAUAUUAAAAUGUAUCACAGAAUGAUUUUAGCUUUAAAAUGUAUCAUAAAGCCAUGUAGUAGACCUUGCAUUUUAUUCUUUCAGUCGUUUCCUUAUAUAUAUUCAAUGCUCAUCUACCUUGAGUCAGCCAUCAAUCUUUCGAAGACAAAAUCCAAGACUAUUGAUCCACUCAAACUAAGAGUAAGAGAAUCCUUCAAUAAAAUUAUAUAAUGAUAAUCACCUUAUAACAUUACCUUAUAAAACGUUUUGGGUGCACCUUUGUUGUGCGACGUAAAAACAAUAGACCGAAUUCUAUGCUCUAAUCACACUAAUUGUAUCACAAUUGUUCCAGUAUAGCUUCCAUGCUAGGUUUUUCGACAAUGUGUUUUUGGUUGGAACAAAUUGUCAGGAGGUUGAGUGGUGUGGGAGGAGAGUGGUUUUCGAAAUGUAGAAGCGUGUAUUUUUUCGAAAAAGAUUUAAAUUGGGGAAGAAAGAGAAAAUGAGAGUGUGUUUUAUAAGGUAGUUUGAGGUGGAGUGUCUUUUUUCUUUUUCCGAGAAGAAAUAGAAGAGAGAGAUGAGAUAAUGUGUUUAAUGGGUAGUUUCAGUAUAAAAAAUGAGAAAGAAAGUGGAUUAAUAUAAAAGGGGAGUGAAAAUAGCAAUUACCAACUUAACAAAUCUUUUAGGCUUUUUUUUUCUUUUAUUUCUAUUCUUUAAUUUUAUUCUACCUUUUCAUACUGAUUGCGCAUAUUAGCCCAAAAUAUUAGUUGAAUAUCCAUACCCUUAUGUAUUUUAUUCUUUAUAAGAGGAUCCCAAAACAUUCUAUCAGCCUGCUAUUCCAUCUUUUCUUUUCUCUCUUCUAUUUUUUUGGGGGGAUUGCAUGAGCUGAAAAAGCUCUGUCAACUUUUCUCCUGAUCUUUACAAUUCAUUAUCAUUUUCUUUUUUUCUUUUUUUCAUUCUUGAGCCAUAUGGGUCAAAGACCUUUAGCCACUAUUUUAUUCCUAUUAGCUCUUUCUACAUUUUACACCAUUGGAAUCCAUUCUAAAAAUAAUAAAGAAAAUUAUGAAUUAUAAUAAUAAAAUUUUUGGGAUUCUAACCAAAAAUGACUUAAAUAACUCCUCUACCACAAAUAUUAAAAGAUGCUCUUACUUUAAAUUACAUGUAUAAACUGAUUUCGAUUAGACUGGUACAAGAACAAUAUAUCAAACUAAAGCGCAAAAUUUAAUUAAAAAACAAAAAUGAGAUAAAUAAAUUGUAAAUUGUUUGUUUUGCAAAAAAAAAUGGAAUACUUUUGUGGGGAGUCACCCCAACAUUUAUUCAAGGAAAACGUCGAAAAAAUAAAAAAAAAAAGAUAAGGAAUGGUCUACGGUUUAAGAAAAAGGAUUCGAGAGUUGUUUACGCAUAGAGAAAAUGUUCAGCCGCUUGUCAUGAAAACGACAUCCUUUAUUCGAAUGCGCUACAAAAUAAAGUGACUUUUAAUUAUUUAUCUUCCCUUGAAAACAUAAAUUAUAUUUUUUUUUCAUUUAGAAAAGGAAAUCAAAUUUUUAUUAUUAAAAAGUUAUUUUUUUAGUUUUUUUUGUCGAUAAGGGAUUUGACCUCGCUCUUACGUAUCCCGAGGUGCAAUAAGGAAAUCAGACUUACAUAGUUCUUUGUAUUGUGAAAGAUUUUGAUUUUGUGGUAAACUUUGUGAACUCAAACAAGUCGAAGACCCAACAUGUCAUCCACAAAAUUUACUCACACUCUAUUGAAACACUACCAAGCAAGUCAGAGAUCCAGCAUGAAGUGCAUAUAACAUGGAAGGAUUAUUUAUUUGAGAAUGUUACCAUUUUUUUUGAAAAUAUUUUAGUUUUGUGGUAAAAUUUGCGAACUCAAGCAAUUCAGAGACCCACCAUAUCAUCCACAAAAUUUACGUACACGUUAUUGAAAUACUGCCAAGCAAGUCGGAGACCCAGCAUGGAGCGCAUGGAACGUAAACAAGUACUAAAUAAUACUAAUGCGGAUUUACAAAAAUAAAUAAAUAUUUUGACAUAGUACUACGAAAUUAGGUAAAUAUAAUGGAAAUGAAUUGAAUAGAAAUGGGGAGUAUAUUUAAGGGUGUGGGGUUGAAACAUGGGAAAAAUAAGAUGAAUAACAAGAUAUUUAUAAUAUAAAUAUUAAUUAAACUAACUAACAAAUUAUGAUAAAAAACAUUGAAGAAUAAACGAUAGAGACAAUAAAAAAAAUAAAACAAAAGCUAUUUACUAAUAUGUAUAAUUAUUUUUAUUUUUUGUUUUUUUAUCAAAUUCAAAGGGUUGACUUAGACUUAGGCAACACUAAUGAAGUGUUGACAUGACAGGGCUAGUCACCAUCCUAGGUGGCAUGAGUGCACAUAUAAAACAAGGGGUAUAACCAUUAAUUUUAUUUUAUUUCAGACAUCACAAAAAAAAGGACUAGCCCAAAACGAAAAAACGAAUAUGUUAGAAAAGAGGUGUAAAUAGUAAAGUUCAUUUUAUGCCAAACUUCACAAGAAAUGGGCUAGGCCCAAAACCAGAAUGGUGCAUGUAUUAAAUACAGAGUGUGAAUAACGUUUUCAUUUUAUUUCAUAUUAUUCACAAAAAUGGACUAGGCCCAAAAUAAAAAAAGGGGUGCAUUAAAAAAAAGUGGUCUAAACAAUGUUUAUAUUUUAUUUCAGGUUUUGCAAAAGUGGGUUGGGCCCAAAAUGGAAAAAAAAACAUGCAGGUAUGAAUAACGAGGUCUAAAUAACGUUUGUAUUUCAUUUCAGGUUUUCCAAAAGUGGGCUAGGACCAAAAUGUAAAGAAGAGGUGCUUCUCUAAAAUACAAGGUGUAAAUAGUAUCUCUAUUUUAUUUUCAGGUAUUGCAUAAGUGGGCUAGGCCCAAAACGCAAAGAAGAGGUGCAUCUGUGAAGAACGGGGUGUAAAUAACAUUUCUAUUUUAUUUCAGGUUUUGCAAAAAUGGGCUAGACCUAAAAAGGACAUAGAAAUUGUUUUUUUUUUACGUUUUUAUUUUUUUAAAGGGUUGGGUUGAAAGUGGGUCGGGGCGACCCGACCCAACCCGCAAUUAAGCAAUUGGGUUACAAAAUCCUAAUUGCCUCGUGCAAAAAAUGGCACGGCUAACACGAAAGCCACCACGGAGGGUGGCGCAUUGUCCAUGGCACCACUGGUGCAAAGUCCAGUGGUGCGAGGCUGCUGCAGGGCCGACAGUGGCAAGACAACGAUGGUGGUGGAAAUCUCACAAUGGUCCAAACAAAUAAUAAAAAAGAAAAAGAAACCAAAAUGCAAGUGAUAGGGCCCUUAACACCAUUGGCAAAGGACCCAUAGGCACGAAGCUACCACAUGAUAGUGGCAUAGACAAAGUCAUUGCAGCUUCACCACAUUUGGAAAUAAAAAAAGAAAAAUAAAAAAAUAAUAAGCAACUGAACAGUCAAACCAAAUAAAAGGGUAAGAAGAAAAUAAACAAAACAGUAUGCAUAAACCUUGUCAGAGGCCAUGGUAAGGUCACCGUGGAAGGUGACGUAGUGCUGUGAUAUGAAAGAAGAAGAAGAAGAAAGAAAGAAAGAAAGCAAGAAAGAGACUCAAAAUGCGUAAAGUGGGGAAGAAUGAGGGGUUAUCUGAUGACCCUUCUUCUUGUCAAAUGGCACCACCAGAUAGGUCUUUUUUUCCUUCUCGCGAUCCGCACUGCUAUCCUUUGGAGUUUCAUUCUUUUCCUUUUUAGGUUGAGUACCUUCUUCUUGAUCUAAUGGGCUCUCCAUGAAAGCCUAGGUCACAAAAAGUUUUUUUUUUUAAUUUUACUUUUCUCACUCUUUUCUUUUUUGUUUUUUUAUCAUGUUUUCUUCUCUUUUUUUCUUAUUUUUUUAGGAUUCAUUUUUUUUCUUUUUUUUCUUCUUUUUUUUUCAUUUUUAUAGUUUUUUUCAUCAUUCAUUUUUUUUACAUUGUCUUCUUCUUUUUUUUUUUUUUACUUUUUUUGCUUUUCUCUAUUUUUUCUUUCUUUUUUUAUCUCUUUUUUUUCUGCCCAUUCAUUAUUUUGUUAUUUUCUUUUUCUUUUUCUUAUUUUUAUUUUUUAAAUGUUUUCUUCCUUUUUUUUUCAACUUUAUUAUUUUUCUUUUUCUUUUCUUUUUUUCUUUUGAACCCAAACAAAAUUAGGGUCGGUCGAGUUCAAAUUGAUAUUAAAUGUCCAAAAUAACUGAUGUUAAAAACAAUUUUUCUAGUAGUAAAGAGCAAAAAUUAGUUGAGUUUGUGUAAUAAAAAUAAAAGUGUUGAUUAGUGUGGUGAAUUAACGUUGAGGAUCUACAUGAGAGCAAAAGUGAGGAUCACCAAUGUGAUGCAAUGAUAGAGGACUAUCCAAGGAGGAAGAGUUUGACUUGGGUGGGGCUCAACAUGGAUGGAUGAAUCACUUGAGCAAGGAAUAAGAGAUUUCAAAAAGAGUUUGACAAAAUACUAAAUUCUCCCUAUUAAAUUAUAUUUUGGGCCCUGCUUUCACAACAAGCUCCAAAGACUAAUUGAAGGAAAUAUGAGUGUGCAUGAAUAUUACAAAGAGAUGGAGAUUUCCUUAAUUAGGGCUCAAAUUGAGGAGUCUCAAGAGGACAUCAUGGCAAGGUUUCUGCAUGGUCUUAAUAGGGAGAUCCAAGACAUUGUAGAAUUGCACCAUUAUGCCUCUUUGGAGGAUCUCAUUCAUCAAACUAUCAAAGUGAAGUAGCAAUUAAAGAGGAAGCAAAUACACAAGAAGUCUCCUUAUGGCUCUUCAAUUUAGAAGGAUAAGGAGACAUUCAAGAAGGAAGGAGGGUCUUCAUUCAUAUAUCAUGAGAAAAUUGUUUCACUUAGUAUAAAUAAUUCUAACCCUACUCUCACUUCUUCAAAAACGAGUUAUAUUAAAUGUUUUAUGUGUUUGGGAAAGGGUCACAUUGUUUCACAAUGUCCUAACAAAAGGACUAUGGUUGUGUUAGGUAAUGGGAAUAUCAUCAGCGCAUCUUCUUCUAGCUCUUCUAGUUCUUAUAGUGAGAGUGAAAGUGAAUGUGAUGUAUAACCCCUGGAAGGUGAUCUUUUGAUGGUUAGGAGGUUAAUGGGUAGUGUGUGUAAGGAUAGAGAUGAAACUCGAAAGGAGAACAUUUUUCAUACUAGGUGCAUGGUCAUGGGGAAAAUAUGCUCUUUGAUUAUUGAUGGGGUAGUUGCACUAAUGCAGCUACCCAAAGAUUGAUUGAAAAUCUUGCUUUGAAAAUAUCCAUUCACCCUAGGCCUUACAAACUACAAUGGUUGAGUUAGAAUAGGGAGCUAGUUGUAGACAUACAAGUUUUGAUAUGCUUCUCCAUUGAAAAAUAUGUUGAUGAGAUAUUGUUUGAUGUUGUCCCUAUGGAGGCUAACCAUCUUUUACUUGGAAGGUCUUGGCAGUAUGAUAGAGAUGUUGUCCAUAAUGGUGUCACAAACAAAUUUUCAUUUGUGCACAAAGGGAAAAAGGUUACGACACACCUUUGUUUCUAAGUGAGGUUUAUGAGGAUCAAAUAAAAAUAAGAGUGAAAAAAGAACAAGAAAGAGAAGAAGAGAAAAAUUUGUAAAAAAAGAUGAAAAUAAAAAAGAAAGAAAAAUACAGGUUUUGUUCAUGAGUGAAAAAAGAGAUGAAGAGAGUGAUGCUAGCCAGACAACCUAUGUAUUUACUAAUGCCUCAUGAUUAUUGUUGGUAUUCUAUUGCUAGUUCUUUGCCUAUAGGCAUGGAAGAAUUACUGAAGGAGUUUAAGGAUGUCUUCCCCAAAUACACCCCUUUUGAUUUGUUACCUUUUCUUAACACUUCUGCUAUGAUGAAUAGGGAUGGGCUUUCUAAAGUCAAUUUUGUUAAGAGUUUGCAUGAGAAGGUGAAAGCACAAAUUGAGAAAAGGUUGAACAUAUGUGCUAAGUAUGCCAAUACAAGGAGAAAGAAAAUGGUUUUCAAACUUGGUGAUUGGGUUUGGAUUCACUUAAGGAAGAAUAAGUUUACUUCCAAAAAAAAAUCUACACUUCAAGAAAGGAGAGAUGGUCAUUUUUAAGUUUUUGAAUGCAUAAACUAUAAUGCAUAAAAAAAUUAGUUUACUAAUAGACUGUGGGGUGAGCAAUACUUUUAAUGUUAGUGACCUGACUCUUUGUGAUGUAGGUACCUUUGACAACAAAUCUAGGCAAAUUUUUUGUAAUAAGGGAAUGAUAGAGGAUUAUCCAAGGAGGAAAAGUUUGACUUGAGUGGGCUCAACAUGGAUGGAUCAAUAACUUAAGCAAGGAGUAAGAGAUUUCAAGAAGAACUUAACGAGAGAAUAAAUUCUUUCGUAAAAUUUAGCCAACUUUUAGGAUAUUAUUUUAUUUUUGUUUUGAAUUGUAUUUUGAGUUGUAAUGGGUUGUCACAACCUUUUAUUGUUAUUUUUAAAUCUUUUAAUUAUUAGAUUGGUCAUUGGACCUUGAACCUAAUUUAGGGUUAUUAGUAGGAGUGUAAAUAGACUCCUUAAAACAAUUUGUUAGUGGCUUUCAAUGAAAUUUCAUAUUAGAUACAUUUAAGAGAGUGUACUCUUAGCUCUUGUGUGAAAUCGUAGGUUAUCAUAUAAUUUUAUUCUUUAUGAGAAUUAUUCUCAAUUUAUCAAUGUUACAAUAUUGUGGCGUUAUUUUUUCUAUCUUUUUUUUUAAUUCUAUUUUUUUUUCUCUUUAUUCUCUCAAAUUUUAGAAAAUAUCAAAUAAAUUUUUUAAUUUAUUGAUGUUAAAAAUUAGAUCCAUAAAAUUAGGAUUCCAUCAAUGCACUGCAAAUAAAGAAACGAAAUAAUGAGAAAGGAAGGUUCAAUGGAAUGGGAGUUGUGAUAUUCAAAAGAGAGAAAAAAAUAUCCAUGGAAAGUGAUUGUGUACACAACGUGAAUCAUGCUGUGGUUCGAUGGAUGAGGUUUUUGUUUUUUUUUUUUCAAAGACAAACGAACAAAGAGUUAGUGCUUGUGAGGUAAUAAGUGUGUGUUUUUGGGAGGAGUGAUAAUGUGAGUGUAAUCGUUGCACGCGGAAAAUAAUGUUCCUGGGCCCUAGAGUAGAUUAAAGUAAGUGUAUUAUGGGAAAGAGAGAGUGGUUGCAGCGUGGUGGUAAGAUAUGCGGCAAAAACACUAAAAGGAGGCACUUUUACAAAUUAUUUACCAAAAAGGGGCUCUUUUGCAAUUAUUUACCUAGGGGGGUCUGUCUUUUUAUUACAAAGCGUCCCCCAGCCAGGCGCUUCCAUGGAUUACGCGACACGUGGCACCGGCACGGCGCACGAGGGAGCAGCAGGGUAGCGCCCCUGACGCGGGCGCGUCUAGUAGCGCCCUGCCACUGGGCGCGACUGGUGGCGCCCCUGCUGCAGGCGCAACCCCAGGCGCCUAGGGAACAGGCUCAUGCCCCCCCCACACCCCCCAGCCUCUUCCCACACCCCCUGGUCUGUUUUUGUCACACCCCUCAGUCUCUUCUUCUCACACCCCCCAGCCUCUUCCCACACCCCCAUCCCAAAAUUGUAUAUUUUUUAAUUUGUUUAUCAAAAUUUUAAAUUUUGUUUCAUUUUUGUUAUUAGUAUUAUUUGUUAUUUUUUUAUAUUCCCACACCCCCACACCCCCACCCCAAAAUUUCAAUAAGAUUAUUUUUUAUACACUCUAAAUUGUAUAUUUUUCAAUAAUCCUGAUAGGGCAGCUAGAAAUUGGAAUCGGCCAUGUGGGACUUCGUCGCGGCAUCACAGACAUAGUGAUGAUCGAUUAAUAAUGAGUUUACAUUUUUUCCGCAUGGUUUAACAUUUUCAUGUACUUUGUAUUAUUUUUUUUCAUGUGUUUCAUAUUGUCAUAUACUUUGUAUGAUUUUUUUUCAUGUUAAUUUUAUAUUAUUGUCACUACAACAUUUCAAUCUUAUUGUGCAAUACUUUUAAAAUAAAUAAAAAUAAAUAACUAUAAUGUUAAUGACACAUAAUGACGCGACUAGGUUCAAUUACAUAUUGGGUAGUUAAGUGUUUCACUAAUGUGUAUCACAUUACGUGCUGCUUUUGAGGUUAGUGUUAUGGCUUUUGGGUGUCUUGGACUAUAUGACAGGUGCUGAAGGUUGGUUUUGUUUUCACUAUACAGAGCUUAUACAUAUUGCUGAUUUCUCAUGUUUUUGUGUUAGGCAUGAGCAUUCUUUGUACUUGAGUCUAGUGUCCUGUAUCCUUAAUGAAUUAAUUGGCUUAUAUAAAAUAAUUUAAUAGAAAUGAUGAUAAAAAGAGAAGAAAAAAAAAUGGAGGACAAUUUUAUAAAUUUUAGAUCAAAAGAAAUUUAUGUAUGUAUGAUCAUUAUAUACACAGGGUCAUCGUAUUCAAUAACGGUCAUUUGUAUACAAAGUGAAGAUUCACCCUGUCCUUCUCAUUUUUUCUGCUCUGUCUGCUCAUCACACACGCUAUCUCUUAAUUUUCCUCUUCUCUCUCCUUUCACACGUUGUCUUUUUUCUUUUUUUUUUUUUCUCCCUCUCACAUGUUUUUUCUUUUUUUCUUCUUCUUCUGCCGCGGCCCACCUCCUUUCCCUCCGCUGCAACCCACUCCCUUCCUCAAAUCUUGGCAAACAUUUUUAGUGAGAAAUAUAAUGAAAAUCUGAUUUUGAACUCAAAAUUCUUAUUCAAAAUCAAACACUAACGAAGCUCUUAUUAGCUUGAGGGAAGGAAAAAUUAGCAAAAAAAGUACUUACUGUUGCGAUAAGUUAGACGCAUUUUAAGCAGAGUGGGUCAUUUUGUGUCUCGCAAAUAUCACCGGAUGGUGAUGAAUAGUCUCCAUCAAUGGUGUCCUGUCAGUUCUGUAGCCAAAAGCAGUCAGACAAAGGCUAUUAGACGAGAAGGAGCUAUCAUUCUUCGUCUAAAGCUUCAAAAGGACACUGAUGCAUUCAGACUAGAGAGAGAGAAGGAAGCGACCAAAAGGGUAUAUAUGGUGAAAGGUAACUUGCUUGGGGGCUUCAAGGCCUUUGUCAGUUUUAACUUUUACUUAAAACAUUGUUUUUCCUUCAAAGUGGAUGAAGUUUAUUUAAAAAUUGAAUUAUAUAAUCUCUAUAUAGUUGCAAUUUAAAUACGCAGCAUUACAUUAUACCUUUCAUCUGACAAACCAGAUGCAAAACUUUGUUAUCUCGUUGGUCGGAAUAAUACUAGAAUAAUGUGAGAAUAAUCAUCCGUGCAAUCCAUUUGUUUAUGGGAUGUUGUAUUGGUCGGGUAAAUGGCUUAAAAAAAUGAAAAACAUGCGCGAUUUCGUCAUCACGAGAAAAAAAAAAGAAUUUUGGUGAUAUAUAUAUAUAUAUAUAAACAAUUUAAGUAUUUUCGAAAUUUAAUACAAAAUUUAUUAAUAACCUAUAUUUAUUAUAACGAUAUGUGUGUUUUGCAGCUGUUUGAUUUUGCUGACAAGUAUAGGGUUCUUACUCGGUUCUUGUCCAUAUAUUCUAUUGCUACUCAGGUUACCAGGUAAUAGACAAAGAUACUGUUCCUGCUUAAACAUUUAAACCCUAAUUAAAUAUUUUUUCAUAGAUCAUUAAUUCACUAGCUAAGGCCUAUAUUUCGAAUUUUAUGCACAAAAGGAUGAACUGUUAUGGGCUGCUUCUUGGCUAUAUAAGGCUAGUGGAGAAAGCAAGUACUUGAGUUAAAUUAAUACCCAGUUAACUAUAUACAGUGUAACAAAAUUCUUUUAUUUAUAUAUCUUUAGUUUGAAGGUUAUAAUUCUAAUCCGUUUCUAUUUCUUUUCUCCAGGAAUAUUCUAUGGAGGGAAGAAAGAUUUAAGAGUGACAUUGAAUCAUUUAUGUGUUCAAUGAUGUAAACAAGCAGCUCUCUACAUAUUAAAACAACUCCUGAUAUAUAUAUAUGUAUAUGUAUUAUUAACUAACAAUUUUAUUAUUUUUUAUUAUAUAUUAAUAUUAAUUAGAGAUACAUGCAUGGUAUUAUUGGUGGAAAAGAUAAAUAUUUUUUUUAUCGAUAAAUAAACUGAUUUGUUAGUUUUAUUUGUUUUAUAAGAGAUUAAAUCCGUGAUAUUUUUUUAAAAGAGAGAGAAAAAUAAUCCAUGAAAAGUGAUUGUGACUGCAACGUGAAUCAUGCUUUGGUUCAAUGGAUGAGGUUUUAUUCCCCCCCCCUAAAAAACAAACAAAGAGUUAGUGCUUGCGAGGUACUUAGUGGGUGUUUUUGGGAUGAGUGAUAAUGUGACUGUGAUCAUUGCACGUGGAGAAUAAUUGUACCUGGGCCCUAUAGUAGAUGACAAGAAAGAUUAAAAUAAGUGUAUUAUUGGAAAGAGAGAGAGUGGCUGCAGCGUGGUUGAAUGAUGAUAUUUUAAAUUAAUAAAGGCAUUGAUUUUUCUUUUAUUAUUUUAAUUUAAUUACAUUUUAGAUUUUUUAGAUAUCUUAAUUGUACUAUUUUAAUUACCUCUUAUUAUCAUAAUUAUGCAAUUUUGAUAUCUUUGUCGACUUUUUUUAUAUCUAAUAAUUUUUAUUGAAAUAUAUCAAUAUGAUAAUGAUGUGAUUAACAAGUGAUAGAUCUAACAUAUAUCAGGAUGUGGUGACUUAAUUUUACUUUUCUUCCAUUUACUAAAAGUUUAAUUAAUGUGAGUACAUGUUUACCUUAGACAUCAACACGUUAUAUAUAACACCCCUUGUCACACUUACUACUAAAAUGAUAAGUUAAUUGCACUUUUAUGUUACUACUAAUUCAUUUUGUAGGCUUGUUAGACUAACGUGUGAGCUCACUUUUUUGUGGACCAUUUUUCCUACAAAAAGUUAUGUAGGAAAUUAUAACUUUAAUGAGAAAAAUUACUUUGUCAAAAGAAAUUAAUUUAUAUUUUUAAAGAAACUUAAAAAAACCAAUCUAUUGAUUAAUGUAGAGCUGAAAAUUAUAUUAAUGAACAUAUUUUAGGAAAUAAUAUAUAAAAAAAUUCAAAUAAAAAAUAUUAAACUCAAUUAUAUAUUGUAAAUAUUUUUGCUUAAACAUUUUAUAAGAAUCAGAAAUUUACUGUCAUGUGCGUACAUAGCAAUAAUAUUAUGUAAGAUCAAGUGCAGCAUACUCGUAACCGUACCACGCCGAAGCAUAAUGUGAGUUAUGCGAUUAGAUUCAAUUUCAUAUUGGGUAGUUAAGUGUUUCACUAAUGUGUAUCACGUUACGUGCUGCUUUUGAGGUUAGUGUUAUGGCUUUUGGGUGUCUUGGACUAUAUGAUAUGUGCUGAAGGUUGGUUUUGUUUUCACUAUAUAUGUAGAGCUUUUAUAUAUUGCUGAUUUCUCAUGUUUUUGUGUUAGGCAUGAGCAAUCUUGGUACUUGAGAUAUAGUGUCUUUUAUCCUUAAUGAAUAUUAAUUGGCUUAUAAAAAAAAGAGAGAGGAUGAAGAACGUAUAUUAUUACAGAAGUAAAACUGUAGAGAUCGAAUCUAUAACUAACUAAAAAUGACCCCAAACAAUGAGGAAUACAAAAUUUAGGUCAACUUAACUGGACAGAACAGCUUAAAAAAAAAUACUAAAACCUAAAUUUAUACAUUAUAUGCAGUUAGUACCAUAUAUAGCACUGUUCCCUCCAUCUGUUAUUUCGAUGUUGUGGAAUCCCACUUAACCUAAAAACAAAUUAAAAGAAUAAUUACGUAAGUUUAACUAUUCUGUUUUGUUACAAGUAAAUAAAAGGACAUGAAAUCCGUAUAAAAAGACUGCUAUAUAGUCCUUCUAUUAGUAUAUAUACUAAGCUUUUUAUUUAUUUAUGACAGUUUUACGAUUGGGGAAUUGUCUCCCUUUGGUAUGCAAAAUACAGAAGUAUCCUUUCAACAUAUUUUUGAAAUGGAUACAUUGUUAGUUUUAUUUUUAUUUUAUAUCUUGUGAAUUGGAGUAAACUUUUCAUUUUUGUAGUGUUCCAUUUAAUCAACGUUUUUAACAUCAAUCUCAAGCAGUGUUUCAUAUAAAUGGAAAGGGGAAAUUACGCAAGCGAAAAUAUCAAACACGAUCAAUAUUUAUGCAAUGAUAGUGUUUGUUGGGACUUACCAAACAGGAAUGAGGAAGUGCCCAUGUUACAGUCAGUAAGACUAUAAUUGAACAGUCCAUGAGUACUUCACAAUAAAUUCCUGAAACAAAUAAGAGUGACUUGAGAAUAACUGAAACUACAUAUAAAGAUUCAGGUAGGUAAAAUAUAUAUUUAAUACUUUAUUUGCAUGCAAUUAGAGAAAGUUCAAUGCUAACUUGCUUGAUAAAUCUCAUUAAUUAGUUGGGAGACAAUUCGAAUUAUCAUGUAAUGACUGUAAUAUUGUUGAUUUGGACUUUUAAUAUUGAUAUUGAAACGUUAACGUUAAAAGUAAUAAUUAAUAUAAGUUUUAUUAAAAUUGAUGUAAAGAUAAAUCAUAUCAUAUUGAUUUUUAGAAAACUAAUAUCUUAUAAAAAAAUAACUAAAAAAUAUAAAAUAUGUAUAAAAUAAUAUUAAUUUCAUGAAAAAUCGAUAUUGCGUUUAAUUUACAACAUUAUUUUUUCUAAAAUUCUAUGUUGUUUUCUACUAUCCAGCACUCCGUUUCUAGAAAAAUUGAUGUUAGGUGAGCGAAAACAUCAGUUUUUAUAAUAAUUUCGAUGUUGUUGUUUGGAUUUUUUUUUAAAUAUCAUAUCUAUUUUUUUAUUACCCUAAAUUAACCUGUAAAUUAAAAAAUAAAACUAAUCAAGAUAAUUUUUAUGCAUUUUUCAGACAGAUCAUAAUAAUUGAAUAUUACCAUGAAUUAAAAGAAAUACUUAAAAUAAUAAAAGUCAAUACAUAAAAAUCAAUUUUGUAACCUAAUCUUAAUUAGCAACCAUUCUAAAAUACUUAAACACAUGGUUCAAUUUUAACUUUAAAAUAAUGGAUGAUAUAAUAAAAUAUAAGUUAAUUAAUAAGUAUAAAUAAUAAUAAUUAUAAAAAACUGAAUUACGUAAACAAUUAUCAAAACUUCUAACACUAUCAUUAAUUAAUGUGAAAAACAAGCUUCUGAUCUUCCCCAACUGCGAGAACUUGUUUAGUAUUAAUGUGCUAGCUUCUUUUUUUUUUUUUUUUUAUUGGAUUAAUUGAAUUCUUUGCUAGAAGAAUAACCUACCAAAUUGAUUUGAUUGAUAACUGAUUCCACAUUUCCCCCCUCAUGUUGUGUUUCGAAAAUUCCCAAAUUUUCCUAUUUAAUUCUUAAAAACUAAUGUAAUGUUAAAAAAUAUGAAAUUGCAAUUAGGUAUUUUUAAGAAAAAUAUGAAAAAGUUUUGAUAACAAUAAAAGUUUAAAGAUUGUAAUAAAGAAAAAGGUGCUGAUCUUUACAAAUAAUGAAGUUAAAAAUAUAUAUAAUUAAUUAAUGAUGUUUAAAGAUAGCAAAUCUAACAUUGAAACGUGCAGAAGAAAUUUAUUGAAUAAGUGUGCAAAAUUUAAAAAACUAAUAUCAAGUGUAAUUCAUGUUUUUUUAAAGGUAAAUGGAUAUUAUUAAUGGGAAUCAAUAUAAGAUAUAUAUCAAAUGAAAUGAUUUGGUACAACGGUCAAAGACUCCCCAAUCUAACAAUUAUCUGAAUAAGUAAAAGACAAAAACAACUAAAUAAUGAGCAAUUUUAUUGCCCCUUCUCUUAGGUAAUAGUAACAAACUAUCCACAUAAGACUUGGCAUCAACCUGCAACAAUCCUCCACCAGACCAUGAAACUAACUAUAUAUCCACAUAAGGCUCCUGCAUAUGCUAACUUGGUGCCAACAAAACAUCAACAUAUUUCGUAGCUGAAGCUAGGACAUUUCCUUGAGCAUCAUAGAGAAUUAAAUCCAAUCCAGUAUCCUUUCUAAUUGCAGCAUCAAAUUUGAUUUAAAUUUCCAUUUCAAUUUGAGGUUAAACUGUAACAAACAUUUCAAAAAUUGCAUCACUUCCUUCUUGUUCUUUAAUUACUUCAUUUCCUUUUUAGAUAAUCAACAUUUUAAUUUUCCCCAUCAAGUAAAGUGUAAAACUAAAUUCAUAAAAACAAACUCAAAAGAAAGAGACACAGAAAACAAAAUUCGCGUGACCAAAGGUUCUAGGUAUCUAGCUCAAUUUUCGCGUGACCAAAUCUUUUUUUAUAAAUGAAAGAUAUAUCAAUAAUUAGAAAAUUUAUAAAAUCCGCAUUACAAUCCGCACAACUACAACCACAAUUUAGAAUCAUGCACAACUACAAUUUCUUAAUUAAUUUCAAAACUAAUGAAUGUUAGAGAUGCCUAAGAAGAUAAUGUAGUGAUGAUAGUGAGGGAUCAUAUAGCCAAUCCAAUAUGGUCCUAUUCCUAUGAUCUCUUAUUUUACUUGGUCCUUAAUUUCUCUCCUUAUUUUGUUGGAUUUUCAUUAUGAUUGCUAUCUUUGGUUUUUUUUUUUUUUUUUUUUUUUCUGGUUUUCCCCCCUUCGAUCUGUUUUUAUUAAAUUUAUUGGCUCAUUUCAUAAUGUAAGUUGUUGUUUCGGUCAUAUAUAUAUAUAUAUAUAUAUAUAUAUAUAUAUAUAUAUAUAUAUAUAUAUAUAUAUAUAUACUUUUUUUACUUUUACUACUGUUGGACUUUAAAGAUGCAUAAUAAUUAAUUCCAAUUGCUUCCCAACUAAAGAAAUUUAUCGUGAUAGUAGUUUAUAUUUGUCUGAUUGCAUAUUUAAAAGAAGUAUUUAUAUUCUAACUGAAUCUUUUAUCAACUCACAUUUUUCUGUUUGUUCUGGGAAUCCAUCAGGCAGCACUCAUUAUUAUACAAUCAUAUAGACGACAAUAAACAUUGGGAAUUCUUCUUAGCAUCAUAUGGUAAGUUACAAUAUAUGCAUUAUUGCUUUCAUGCAUACUAUAAUUUUCACAAACCACCGUGUGUAAUAGAUAUUAUGAGUAAUACUGAUUAUGAAAGUUAAUUAAUUUAUUAUAUAUGAUGAUUUAUAUUAAAUAAUAUUAUAAAAUUAUUUUAUAACUUUUUUUCUUAUAAUAUUUCCAUUCUUAAAUAUGUAAUAAAUCCUCAUUUUUAAUUAGAAUUCUAUUGCAAUUUAAAUUAAUUUCAGUUUUUCUGAACUCAUUUUUUCUUAUUUUUUUUCAGGAAUUCAUUAUCUAGUACUCACGAACUGUUCAUUGUUUGGUAAGUUAUUACUAGAUUACCUGUUGCUGCAAAGCUGCAUUUUUAACGGCUUUCCUAUCAUUGCGAAAAUUAAUCGUGUUUGAAUCACUGCUUGAAAUUGAUGUAAAAAACGAUGCUUAAUUAUAAUGAAAUAAAAAAUGAUAAGUUAAUUUCCAAUAAUGCACAAAGUUCAAAGCUAACAAUGCAAUCUGUUUUUUAAAAUAUAUUUAAAAGAUACUUAUGCAUCUUGCAUAUCAAAAGGAGGAAAUGUCUCCCCAAUCGUGAAACUAUGUCAUCUUUCACUUUUCCAGUUAGAAAUGUUUUCUUAUUAAAAGAUAAAAAAGCCUUAGUAUAUAUUACAAGAAGCACUAUAUAUAUGGCAGCAGUCAUUUUUCUUUAUGGAUUAAUGUUCUUGUAUUUAUCGUAACAAAACAGAAUACUCAAAGUUACAUAAUUAUUCUUUGAUUUUGUUUUUAGGUUGAAUGGAACUCCAACAUCGAAAUAUUGGAUGGGGGAAACAAUCAUGGCAAUAUUAUGAAAUAAAGGUUUAUGUCAAGUCUUUUUUUUCAAGUGUUUUUGUGGAGUAAUGGUGACCUACAUUGUGAUGUAUAUUUUCUCUAUUAUUUGGUAUGACUUUUAGUCAGUUACAGAUCUUCUGUAGUUUUAUUUAAUUACAGAUACCAUGAAUAUAUAAUAUAAAUAAAUACAUAAAGCAUACGGGUAUAAAAUUGUAUAUUAAAUAGAAUGUUACAAUUUAAUAUUCAAAUAAUUAAAAAUAGUAUUUAGUUACCAAAAUUAUAUAUAAAUAGCAUUAAAAUUAAUAAUUCAGUUAUUCAUUAAAAAACAAUUAAGACUAUUAAAUUCAAUUGCCUCCAACAAGUAUUAUAAAGUGAAAAUUUCAAUCAAUGACUAGAAUAGAAUAACUUCAACUCCCCUGACUACAAGAAACAAAAAAACCAAAAGAACUCGAACUCUCCUUACAUAGAUAUAUACAUUUUUCAGACAGGAUGUGCUGAUCAUAUCAUUAAGAGAUGAAUACUAAAGAUCUUUCGGAGGUCAAUUUCUCAGAGCCGAAGAGCAGUUGUAGAGUUGGGGACCAACGUUCUAAUCAAUUCAUAGAACAAAAGAAUUAAAUACUGCUACAUAACCAUCCAAUUCCCUUAAACAUUACAAUUUCACACACCAAAAUAUUGCAGGAUUGCUUUACACUGCCCCUAAUCAGUUAUUAACACCCAUAAAGUUUAGGCUUUAAUUUCUUCCUUAAUUUGGCUUGUUCAGGCAGUUAACAUCUACCUAUUUUCUUUUCCAUCACCUUUCUACUUCAUUCUCUUCUCAUUCCUUUGUUUCUUUCCCAUCAUAUUAUUAUUAUAUGUCUUUCUCACUUUCUUUAUCUUCCUUUUCUUUUUUCUUUCUGUGCCUUAUUUUCUUCCUUCCCAGUAAACCCCAAAAUGGAAUGCAUCUUUGGCAUUUCCAAUUCCACAAUAAGUGGGAUAGGCUCCUUGUGAAAGCAGCUUCGUUGGAUGUCAAAGAAGCCAUCAAUAGGUUUAGUGCCUGACCAAAAUAGACAUAAGGAACGUCACCUCUAAAUUGACAAAAUGAAGACAAAGAUUGUUAAAUUAGACCAUUGAUAUGAAUCAAAAUUUCUUAAUCCAAUAUUGUGGCAGUGCAAAAGAACAAGUCGUUGGGAGUACUGAAUUGUGAAUAUUACCUGUGACUUCCUGAUUUCCACCAAAUGUUCCUCCAAAUCAUCCAACAACCGGUCAUUCUCCAUAAAUGGACAUGGAAUGCUUGAAGAAGUUGUCAUCGCUUUCACUUCCAGAUUAUCGCUAACAACAAAUAGACAUGGCCUCUUCAUAAAUCCCACAUCGGAUUUUCUUGCUCCAUCUGAAGAUCUUGGGUCCAAAAGUUUGAUAUCUUUUGGAUCUUUUAGCAUAUCUUUUUUCUUUGAAAUCAUAUUCUUUUCACAGAUGAUACGUCCCCUAUUAUCUUUCACUAUUCCAGUGCCAUACCAAUACUUGCCAGUGUCUUCUUCUGAAGCAUUUAUUGGAUUGCUCCCACAACCAAAAUGAAGAGCAACCUUUGGAUUAAGUAAGGAUUUGGUUGACGACGCUAUGAACCAUGAUGGAUCGAGAUUCUUCACACUUGUGUACAACUUAUCAAUGCUUCCCAAUGAUAACUUGCCAUUCACAAGGUACAUAAUAGAUCCAAGUGGCAUCGUGAGGAAGCUGACUAGAAAAUCGACAAAGUCUCCAUCUGCUUCAACAAACAGAAUCUUGUUCUGUGAUUUGCUCACUAUUACCUUGAUUUUUAUGGAAUCUUUCCAUCGACUUGGGCCAAUAUCUGGUAAGAAAGAGGACGAUGGCUCAGAUUUUCCGUUUUCCAAUGUGACACUUAGAGCAGAUUUGGAGGUUAAUGCUUGGUUUAGUAUGCUAAAUACCUGAGAAAAAGAAAACAGAAAACAAUUCAAAUUCUGAAGUUAUAAUUCAUUAAACAAGGAAGAUUAUCAGUUUUACAAGCUAAGGAACUCGAGGAAGCUAGGUUAUCAGUUUCACACAGUGGUAAAUGCAGGUCAGAAAAAUGUCUUGAAUUCAAUGUAUCUGAACUUUCUAGCACAAAACACUCAUUAUAGUCCCCUAAUGUUUUUUUCCCAUUGGCAUAAACUUAUGACUCUUAUAACUAUUUGUUUCACAAUAUAUAUUCAUGCUGAAGUCUAACUUACUAUUUUGUAAAAAUCUUUAUUUGACGAGAAAAAAUAAGGCAAAAUCUCCGUUCCCUAACUUCUGUCGGCCCAACUAAAAUAAUAUUGGGAGGAAUUUAUAUUUUCCAUUUCCAUCCUUCUAACCAAACAACUCGCAAGUACCACCUCAAAUGAAUAAAAAGAAAUAUUACCUUAUUUGUGUCAACAUCUAGAGAUUUUUCUUCCACCUUUCUGAAUUCUUUGUGUCCGAGUUGGAGUGGUGGUUUGAAGGAGACACUGGGAGAGCUACGGAGCACUGUCAAGUCAUCGAAGAUCAAGAACAUGGCGUCCCCUUUAACAAAAACACCAUUGCCACCAGCAGGCUCUACCAGCAUAUCUAGUUGUCUUUUCAUCAAGUUCCCACAGUGGCACUUUACCUCAUCAAAAGUACUCAGCGAGAAAUCACUGCCCUUUGAACAGAUGUGACACACGAAAUACUUUGUGGGCUGCGUAUCAUCCACCUUCAGUUUUAGUCUCUGGUAAGAGAAUUGUAACGGGUUGCGCGGAGAAAGCAACAUUCGCUUGCAGAUGUCGUUCCAGAAAACAUCUGGGUUCAGAGCUUCCACACUCUUGAAUAGAUUGUUAAUGCAACCAAUCUCUAUUGGUUGCCCAAAUGUGUUCCCAAGCCGGAUGAUAGUUCCCAAUGGAAGGGUUAGGAAACUAAAGAGAACAUCUACAAAGUGUCCACUUGCUUCCGCCAUAACUACACGCUUUCGUUCAUUGUCCACCCAAUAUCUCAAAGGGGCUGUUAUUUCUUGGUUGGAAGCCAUAACUGAAAACUUAAAUUAAAGAACUUUUAAUAUCAAAGAAGUAAAAUAACAUACACGGGUUUUAGUGAAAUUUCUGGCAUCUCAACCUCAAUUAUUGCUCGGGAUAAGGCACUUCCUAACUUUAUAUUUAUAGAAUUACUUGCGAGUCUAAUUUUAAGGGAUAGGCUAACAUGCUGAGAGAAGGGUUGUGCAAGUCCAUGGAAAUAAAGAAGCAGUAAAAAGAAAGGCAUGUUAGAUAUUAAUUAGAAAAAUAAUAAUAACAAGUUUUAUGAGGCUUAAAUUGUGGAAGAUGAAAGUUGUAAGGUUGUGAGUUACAAAGUCUUGAAUAAGCAAUUAUGUGAGCAUUUAGUAUUCUUGAAUAAGCAAAUUAUGUGAGUGGUCACUCUAUUUUAGUAUAAAUAGGGAUCAUACUCUUGUAUUUGGUGUGCCAAAUGAAAUAAAAUCUUCUUCUUCUUCCAACAAAGUAGCAUCAGAGCUUGAGUUCUAGAGUGUUGAGAGAGAAACACUUUGUGAGUUGAGAGAUGGCAAGCAAUGGCUUGAGUAUGUUUCAAUUCCCUCGUCUUACCAAAGAGAAUUAUGAUAAUUGGUGUCGUCGCAUGAAAGCCUUGUUAGGUUCUCAAGAUGCAUGGGAGAUUGUAGAGAAAGGUUAUGCCCAACCUCAAAAUGAGACUAUUUUGUCACCAAAUGAGAAGGAGACUUUGUUGAAGUCGAAGAAGAAGGAUUAACAAGCACUUACUUUCAUUCAUCAAGGUUUGGAUGAAGCUAUGUUCGAGUUGGUGUCAAAUGCAACCACAUCCAAAGAAGCAUGGGAGAUUUUGAAAACCUCCCUUGAAGGUGUUGAUAAGGUAAAAAAGGUGCGCCUACAAACUCUACGUAGAGAGUUUGAAUCAUUGCAUAUGAAGGAAUCUGAAUCUAUCUCAGAUUUUGGCAACAAGGUGUUGGCUAUUGUGAACCAAAUGAAGCGUUAUGGAGAAAAUAUGGAAGAUGUUCGUGUGGUGGAAAAGAUCCUUCGCUCCUUAAUCGCUAAAUUUGAUUAUGUGGUUUGUGCUAUUGAAGAGUCUAAGGAUUUAGACUCAAUAACCAUAGACCAAUUGAUGGGUUCUCUUCAAGCUUAUGAAGAAGGGUUCAAUAGAAGACAUGAUGAGCCAUUGGAGCAAGUCCUCAAAGCCAAAGCUUCUUUGAAAGAAAAUGGAGGAGAAAGUAGUCAAAAAGCACGUGGACGUGGAAGAGGACGUUGUCGUGGACGUGGUCAUGGCCAAGGAUGAGGAGGAAGAGGAGAUCGUGAUAAUUUUGACAAUAAUGAAUGGAGGAGCCAUCAAUCCACUAGAAGUCGUGGAAGAGGAAGAGGAAGAGGUAGAAACAAUUAUGAAAAAGCAUAUGAAAGGAGGUAUGAUAAAUCUAAUGUUGAAUGUUUUAAUUGUCAUAAAUAUGGCCAUUACUCUUGGGAGUGUAGAACAAAUGUUGAAGAGAAGGUCAAUCUUGUUGAUGAUAAAGAAGAAGUUGAAGAGUCAACACUACUACUAUCACUUAAUAAUGGUGAGAAGGAAGACAAAUGCUUAUGGUAUCUUGACAAUGGAGCAAGCAAUCACAUGUGUGUGUAACAUCCCAAUUUUUCGUAAAUAAAUUUAAAAAGUUUUUUAGUAAAAAAUAAAUAAAUAUAGAGCAAAUAAUAGGCUGAGUACCCUAGGUAUAAAUAGUUAUGUUAAGUCAGCUGCCUCCUUUUGGCCUCAUUUUCGUUUUUCCCCUUCUCCUCUCAAAACCCUUUCUUUUUCCCGCAGCCCACCAAAUCAGUCUCAGAAAAACGACGAUCUCGAACCCGUUCACCGUUGGAUCGUCGUGAAAUUUGAGUAUCAUGUUAGCAAUACAAUUCCGAGCAUUCUCACCGUUGGGAAUUUAGAUAUCAUGUCUGAACUGAGAGAAACACCCUUCGCAUUGUAGCCUUUUUCUUUCCCGCAGAAACCCAGAGCUGUCUUGGUAAAACUACGAUCCCGGUUUCGUUAACCGUUGGAUUAUUGUGAAAUUUGGAUAUGUUGUUCGAAAUUCAAUUCCGCACGCUUCCACCGUUGGGAUUUGCGAGAUAAUAUUCGUGGAGGGAGAAAAAGGAAUCGUAUGAAGACAGUACAAGUGGAGGUUUCAAUCUCUUCUCCGUCUCUCUGACGUUUGGGAAUUCUAUCGGAGCAGUUGGAUGAAUAAUUGAAAGAAUUUCCGGGAACCGCUAGAGAUGUUGCUAUCGCUGGCUGAAGACACGUGAGCCCGCUUAGAGGUAAGGGAUGAGUUAUUCACAAUUGGGGGUUACUGAGAACAUGUGUAGGGAUCCUUAGAGGAUUAAAUUGGGGUUUUAUUUUGAGAUGUUUAUUAAAUUACAAAUUUUCCUUUAUGAUUAUAAAUAAAAUAUUGAUGUCCUAAUGAAAAUUGUUUGAUAAAUUGUGCUCUUGAUAUUUAUAUAUUUUGACCUAUGAUUUUGAUAUAAGUGUGUAAUAUUAUUUGAGGGGUUUUAGUUCUCAUGUUGUGAUAGUCUUUUGUAUAAAUUGCUAUAUUGAGGAUAUGAAAUGAUGAUUCAAAUUGUGAGUAUGUGAUGAAUUGUGGAAUAACAUGUGCUUUGAGAUUAUAAUAUUGUUAUUGAGAUUGAGUAUAAGUGUAAAGUUGAACAUGUGUUAAUUUGUGAGAUACGUGAAAACAUGUGAUGGUGGAUUGUGACACUAUGAGAUGUGAAAUUGUGAAUGAGUUUUAGUUGUGGAUAAGUGUGUAGUUAACACUUGAUGUGAAAUUACUUGUGUUGUAAGCUAUGAAUUGUACAAUAACCCGACCAGUGUUAUCUUGAGAAAAGUGUAAAUGCGCAGUGUUAAAGAGAAAGUGUAGGUUUCCUAUUUAGGAACCAGUGUUAAAGAGAAAGUGUAGGUUCCUAUUUAGGAACCAGUGUUAAAUUGUAGCGCAAUAUGUUGUACGUGUUUAAGGCACGAGUGUGAGGUCGUGGGUAUUGCAUAAUUCACUAGCAGUGUCUGUGUGCUAAAAUGAUUUUAGGGGUUGGACCUGAAUCAGGAGGGAGAGGCCCUGACGGACUCUUCGGAGUAUAGGCCUUGGGGGUCAUCGGGUUUGAGUGCUCCUUUAAGCCUAUGCUGAUCCCAUAUGGUUGGAGCAUUCUCGCAAAACAUCGUGACCCUGACUGGUCUCCCUAUGAUCUUACUUAGUGAGAGUGACCUGACAAACUCAUUGUGUGGUGUGUCUUGUUAUGUACUCCUAAGCGCCCCAGGGUGGUUUUUCACUGACAUGGUAUCACAUUGCAUAUAGGCUUGAGUCUUAGCAUAACUGUCACAUACGCUUGCUAAUUGUUUAUUAUUAAAUUAAUGUGUUAUUAUGUCUUGAUCGGAGUGUGUGAUUCCUGUGUAUAAUGAUUGAUGAUUGAAAGGUGUGAUUGAUGAAUGACAAAGUGAUGAAAUAAUGUGAGAUAUGCUAAGUAAAUUGUAUUUGGCUACUAUAUGUUGUGUUGUUUCUCUCUAGUAGUUAGCAAUGUGAUAACUCACUCCCGGUUUGCUGUUUGUGUUUGGAUCCUGUGAUGAUCUUGAACUUUGUGUUCGGGGGAGCAGAUGAAUAGGUGGAUGACUAUGAAGAACCUCAUGCUAGAGGACACGGGAACAUCAUGCUCUGAUAGGAUGUGACAUUAGGAUAUAGGUUCUAUAUUAAUUGUAUGAGACUUAUAUGACUUUCUUUGAGUUGAGAUGACUUUAUUAUUUAUUUGGACAAGUUUGAAUAUGAUGUAGAAGAAAGUGAAUGUGAGCCUUUUACCCCUUUGAAAAGCUUGUAUUUAAAAAUGUUUUAAAAAUACUUUUAAUUAAUAUUUGAAUUUUCAUUCCUUUAUUAAUAUAUAUGUGAGGGGUAGAGGGUGUCACAUGUGGAUGCAAAGAGAAAUUUGUGGAACUUGAUAAGAAGGUGAAAGGAAAUGUUUCUUUUGGAGAUUCUUCCAAGGUGCAAAUCCAAGGAAAAGGUACCAUUUUAAUUUCUUUAAAAGAUGGUGCUCACAAAUUAAUCACGGAUGUUUACUAUGUUCCUAAACUAAAAAGCAAUAUUUUGAGUUUGGGACAACUUGUUGAAAAGGGGUAUGAAAUUCAUAUGAAAGAUUGUUGUUUAUGGCUUCGAGAUAAAAAUUCUAAUUUGAUUGCCAAGGUGUUUAUGUCAAGAAAUAGAAUGUUCACUUUGAACAUUAAAACCAAUGAAGCAAAAUGUUUGAAGGCUAGCAUAAAAGAUGAAUCAUGGUGUUGGCAUAUGAGAUUUGGGCACUUGAAUUUUGGAGCACUAAAAUCCUUAGGAGAGGAGAAGAUGGUGAAAGGGAUGCCUCAAAUCAACCAUCCUAAUCAAUUGUGUGAAGCAUGUCUCCUUGGAAAGCAUGCAAGAAGGAGUUUUCCAAAAGAAGCUAAUUCAAGAGCAAAGGAGCCUCUCCAACUUGUUUACACCGAUGUGUGUGGCCCAAUCAAUCCUCCUUCAUGUGGUAACAAUAAAUAUUUCUUGCUUUUUAUUGAUGAUUAUAGUAGAAAAACUUGGGUUUAUUUUCUAAAGCAAAAAUCUGAGGCAUUUGUAGCUUUUAAAAAUUUUAAAGCUCUUGUGGAAAAGGAGAGUGGUUAUGUAAUCAAAGCUUUAAGAUCCGAUAGAGGUGGCGAAUUCACAUCAAAAGAAUUUAAUGAAUUUUGUGAAAAAUAUGGGAUUCGUCGCCCUCUAACGGUUCCUAGAUCUCCACAACAAAAUGGGGUAGCUGAGAGAAAAAAUAGAACUAUUCUUAAUAUGACUAGAUGUAUGUUGAAGGCUAAAAAUAUGCCAAAGGAAUUUUGGGCCGAAGCUGUUGCAUGUGCCGUUUAUUUGUCCAAUCGCUCCCCAACAAAGAAUGUCAAAGAUCAAACACCACAAGAAGCAUGGAGUGGAGUGAAGCCAAGAGUUGAUCACUUGAGAGUAUUUGGGAGCAUUGCAUAUGCUCAUGUACCCGACCAAGGAAGAUUCAAGCUUGAUGAUCGGAGUGAGAAACAUGUGUUCAUUGGCUAUGAUGCAAGCUCAAAAGGCUACAAAUUGUACAAUCCAAACAAUGGAAAGACAAUUGUGAGCCGAGAUGUCGAGUUCUAUGAAGAAGGCACAUGGAAUUGGGAGGAGAAAGAAGACACUUAUGAUUUUUUCCCGUACUUUGAAGAAAUAGAUGAAGAAGCCUUGACUCCAAAUGAUUCAACUCCAGCACUUUCACCAACUCCUUCAACCAAUGAAGCCUCAUCAUCUUCCGAAGGGAGUUCAAGUGAAAGGCCAAGAAGAAUGAGAAAUAUUCAAGAAUUAUAUGAUGAAACUGAAGUUAUAAAUGAUUUGUUUUGUCUUUUUGUUGACAGUAAACCCUUAAACUUUGAUGAAGCAAUGAAAGACAAAAGGUGGAGACAAGCCAUGGAAGAAGAAAUCAAAGCCAUUGAGAAGAACAACACUUGGGAGUUAUCAAGCCUUCCCAAAGGUCAUGAAGCAAUUGGAGUCAAAUGGGUGUUCAAAAUCAAGAAGAAUGCAAAAGGAGAGGUUGAGAGACACAAAGCAAGACUUGUAGCUAAAGGUUAUAAGCAACAAUAUGAAGUUGAUUAUGAUGAAGUGUUUGCACCGGUUGCCCGCAUGGAAACCAUUCGUCUUCUUAUUUCCUUGGCAGCUCAAAUGAAGUGGAGAAUUUUUCAGUUUGAUGUAAAAUCGGCAUUUCUAAAUGGCUAUCUUGAAGAAGAUGUCUAUGUUGAACAACCAAUGGGUUUUGUCAUCGAAGGUCAAGAAGGAAAAGUCUUGAAAUUGAACAAGGCGUUGUAUGGUCUAAAGCAAGCACCGAGGGCAUGGAAUACCCACAUUGACAAGUACUUCCAAGACAAUGGGUUUGUUCAUUGUCAAAAUGAGUAUGCUCUUUAUGUUAAAACUUUUAAUAAUGGUGAUGUCUUAUUUAUUUGUCUUUAUGUGGAUGACCUUAUCUUUACCGGCAAUAACCCAAAUUUGUUUGAAGACUUCAAGGAGUCCAUGUCUCGUGAAUUUGAUAUGACAGAUAUGGGACUCAUGUCAUAUUACUUGGGAAUGGAAGUGAAGCAAACGCAGAAUGGUAUCUUUGUCUCACAAGAAAGGUACACAAAAGAAGUGUUGAAGAAAUUUAAUAUGCUUGAUUGCAAUCCUGUGAACACACCUAUGGAAGGUGGCUUGAAGUUAUCAAAGUUUGAUGAAGGAGAGAAGGUAGACUCCACGAUCUUCAAGAGUCUUGUGGGGAGUUUAAGGUAUCUAACCAAUACAAGGCCCGAUAUUCUAUAUGCGGUGGGAGUUGUGUGUCGCUUUAUGGAGGCUCCUACCUCUCCUCAUCUAAAAGCCGCAAAAAGAAUUCUUUGUUACUUGAAAGGUACAAUUGAUUUUGGAUUGUUUUAUUCUCCCUCCAAUAACUAUAAGCUUGUGGGAUUUUGUGAUAGUGAUUUUGCCGGAGAUGUUGAUGAUAGAAAAAGUACUACCGGAUUUGUAUUUUUUAUGGGUGAUUGUGUUUUUACAUGGAGUUCUAAGAAGCAAGGCAUUGUGACACUUUCUACUUGUGAAGCCGAGUAUGUAGCUGCAACUUCUUGCACAUGUCAUGCCAUUUGGCUAAGAAGAUUGUUGGAGGAACUUCAGUUGUUGCAAAAGGAAAGCACAAAGAUCUAUGUUGAUAAUAGAUCUGCACAAGAGCUUGCCAAGAAUCCGGUGUUCCAUGAACGAAGUAAGCAUAUAGAUACAAGGUAUCAUUUCAUUAGAGAGUGCAUUACCAAGAAAGAAGUAGAAUUGACUCAUGUGAAAACUCAAGAUCAAGUUGCGGAUAUUUUCACCAAGCCUCUCAAAUUUGAAGAUUUUCGAAGAUUGCGAGCAAGACUUGGUGUGCAGAAGAAUUUUCCAAUUAAGGGAGGAUGUUAGAUAUUAAUUAGAAAAAUAAUAAUAACAAGUUUUAUGAGGCUUAAAUUGUGGAAGAUGAAAGUUGUAAGGUUGUGAGUUACAAAGUCUUGAAUAAACAAUUAUGUGAGCAUUUAGUAUUCUUGAAUAAGCAAAUUAUGUGAGUGGUCACUCUAUUUUAGUAUAAAUAGGGGAUCAUACUCUUGUAUUUGGUGUGCCAAAUGAAAUAAAAUCUUCUUCUUCUUCCAACAAGGCAUGGUUUGAUUUUUUUAAAGAUUUAAACCAAAACAACUUAAUACUCGAUUGAUUAUCUAAAAAUAAUAUUUUUUGGAAGAUCAGUUUGAAAUUUUUACAAGUUACUUCUAAAUUGAUUUUGAAUUACAGAACAAUUUAGGGUGCAUUCGUGAUGAUUUUUAGUUCUUUUAACUCACUUUGAAAGUCUCUUAUUCUAUUAAAUUAGGUUAAGAGUGUAUUUAUAUCUUAGUGACAACAAUUGUAGUGAAGCUUAAUGAUGUAGAUUAUUUAUGAAAGUAAAAAGAUAUCCUUUCAGCACUUCUACAUAUUUAAUCUUACUUUGGAAUUAUUGAAGAAAUUUGAGAGUUUAAUUUAUGUUAAAUUCAUUGUGUAUAUUUGUAAGAGCACUUGGGUUGAUAAAAAGUAAUAAUAAUUUUAUAUUUACUUUGGUAGAUUUGAAGAAGUUAGCUUAUCAGAUCGAGUCUUUCAUUAUGGAAGAACAAGCUAAAUAUAUGUUUUAUGUUCAAGAUUUUUGUGAUGAAAAAUGAUAAGUGAUUUUGCCCAAAAUUGAUGUUGUAAGUACUAUUCAAUAUCCAUUUUGGCAUAAACUAAUAUUGUUUAUGCUUUUCUUUUUUGCUACUUGCUACUACUAUAUCACAUUCAUUUUUGGGAGAAUUGAUGUUAUAUAAUGAAUUUCAACAAUGAUUUUUACAAUUGAUGUUAAAAAUGAUCUACUUUUAACAUUGAUAGUUUCAACAUCAAUUUUGAAUUGAUGUUGAACAUUCAAAAUCACCUUUGUUAACAACAUUUCUUUUCUAGUAGUGCUUACUAAUUAUUUUAGGAGCUUAAAAGUUUAAUUUUUUAAUUUUAAUUUAUGCGAGUCAAUGUUUUUUUAAUUUUGGUUUGUGUAUAUUUUUUUUGUUUAUUUCUAAUACUUAAAAAUUUAUAUUUUUAAUUUUAAUCUCUUUAAGAUUAUAAUUUUUUUAUACUUAUAAUCCUAAAAAAUUUAAGAUUAAAAAAUUAAAAUUGAAAAAACAUAAAUUAAUAUAAAUUAAAAAUAAACAAAAUAUUUACCGGAACUAAAAUUAAAUACAAACUUACAUUACAUACUGUCAACUUUUUAUUGGUGAUUGGGAUAAGAAGUGUGUGGUGAUUUAAAUCCGACCCAUAGAUCGAUCCAUCGUCCUUAAUUAUCCUUAACAUAAGAAUACUCACAUAUAUACCAUCACGUACUAUCCUCCCUCUCACUCACUUUUGCUCUCUGAUUUCACCUCAAUGCACCACACUGCACGUAAGUACUCACUACCUUUGGCUCUUCUUUACUAUGGAUGAAGCUGCAGGCAGCCAACCCUAGCUUGCAUAUCCCCUCACUCUCCAUUUCAGCCGCAAGCCACGCACCAUUCUUCAUCUCUUAUAGUUUUACUUCAUCUCCGUUCAUAGCAUAUAUAUUAUUAUGCGUAAGUGAACCAACCACUCACCUCCUCAUCUCCGACCACCACCAGCAGCCUAACCAGUCAGGUAAAUUAUGCUAUUUAUUUAUUUAUUUAUUUAUUAUUAGUAUUAUUAUUAGUGCAAAAAAGACACUCCGACAUUAAAAAAAAUGUUUGUAGCGGCCGGUUAUAAUAAUUGACGGUAAAAAUGUCAAAAAAAUGACCAGUUAAAAGCACUUGAACGUGUGUGGUAAUCGCUGUUGUACAUUUACUUGUUUCUGAUCUUUUGUUUAAGCCUGUGUUUGGAAACAGGUGGAUCUGGAUGUUGAAAAAACUGUGCUAGUCGGUUUCAAGCUUUAGGGAAAAAAUAAUUAUUUAAUUUGUAUGUGUUUCUUUUAAUAUUAUUUAAGUUGUAUAUGGGAUUUUUGUACAUUUUUUUUUAUUAAUUUGAGUCAAAUUUUAUUAUUUUUCUUAGUUUAAAUUAUAAUUGAUAUUAAAAUAAUUUUUUUUAACAUCUUUCUAAUUUAAAAAUAAAUAUGUCAAAGAAUAUAUAGGAUGAUCUUUUAAUUUGAUUAUAUCCCAAAUGUUGCUUUGCAUCACAAAUGAACAAAAUUUAUUAGGAUAUAACAAACAAAUAAACAUUUAGGAUAUAGAAUUUUUUUUUAUUAAUUUAUGAUUAAAAAUAAAUUAAUUUUACUAUUUUUAAUAUUAUAUAAAAUAAACUAAGUACUACACUAAUUAAUAUAAAAUUAUAGUAUUUCUGGGACAACCUGUAGUCUGCUGGCUGCUGCUAAACGUUUUUGUUGUGUGGCUGACACUUUAAGCUGCCAUACAUAACAUAUAUGAACAGGACUUGCCCGCCAUGAACCACCAUACAUGCGUGAACCAACUGCAGUGACUUCCUCUUUAACCAACCCUUGUGAACUAUAGGAACCACGUGCAGUAGCGAAUCAGCGAGGUAAAAUGUGCUAUGCUCACUUUAUUAUUAUUUUUUUGUUAUUAUUAUCAACUUUUGUGCCAAAAUCUCAUUCAUUUGUUCUUACCGUUUUAUUUGUUAUAAUAAUACUGACAGUAUGCAAGGUUGGAAUCUAAAUUUUGUAUAUACUAGUCAAACUUCUUGUCUAUUUAGGUCGAUCCUGAUCGAUAAUCUUUCUCGAUCUAUUUUUUUUAGAUGGACCAAGGGACAGAUCCAAAGGGGGUGAUAGCGUUUGGUAUUCGAGGCCCAAACAAUCCUCCAGAGAAAGGGAGAGAGAGAGAGAGAGAGAAAACUUGAGAACGAGAGAGAGAGGAGAUCUUUUUCUUAAUUACAUUCCUCAAAACUUGUUCGUACAUUUAUAGCCACUAGUGGUGGUUACAAUAGAAAACUAACUUCCUAACAGAAAUCCUAACCUACUGAUUUAUUCUUCUUUAUUCCUUCUAGAAUAUUCAAGCGCGCUCCUACGCACAUUCAUGCCUUCAUGGUUUGUUUAUUACGUAGUCUUUCAGAUGCAUGAGCGUGCUACUGUGCCAUUUGGGCCUUGCUGCUUGCACCCCUACUCUAUUAUUCGUAUCAUUCCCGCUUGCUUCGAAUAACACCUUGUCCUCGAGGUGAUGUAUUGCUUGGAGGGUCGUCCACUCUUCCCACGACGUUUUGUUAGGGUGCAGGCCUCUUCAUUGAACCAGCACAAGGUGCUUCGGCCCUAUAUCCGAAGGAAUGGUUUUGUGAGCUAGAAUAGCUAAUGGGGUCAGAACUGGUUGAUUAUCCACGGCUAAUGGGGGAAGCUCCUCCAUUUUUGCUGAUGCGGGAGUCCCUACAAAGGGUUUUAAGUUUGAACAAUGGAACAUUGGGUGGAUUCGUGAGGUUUCAGGUAAGGCUAGCUUAUAAGCAACUGGUCCCAUCCUUUCGGUGAUCCGGAAUGGCCCAUAAAAACGCCUUGCGAGCAUAGAAUGAACUGCACCUGAGGCUGUGGACUGACGAUAUGGCCGUAGUUUAACUAAAACCCAUUCACCAACUUGAAACUCGUGAUCCCUUCGAUGCCCAUCUGCAAUAGCUUUCAUAUGCGUUUGGGCCUUAAGUAACUUCUGACGGAGUAAGGUGAAUAUGGCCUCUCAUUGACUGAGCAAGUCAUCAACUACUUCCACCUUGGCCGUGCCUGUUAGAUAUUGAGGGAAGGAGGGAGGUUUGCGUCCAAACGUUACUUCGAAGGGUGUCAUUCCCGUAGAGGAAUGGACGGAAGUGUUAUAAGACCACUUAGCCCAUAACAAGAAGCGACCCCAGGAGUUUGGUUUAUGGUGAAUGAAAGCUCUUAAGUAUUGUUCAAUGAUCCUAUUUGCCACCUCCGUUUGGCCAUCUGUUUGGGGAUGGUAGGCAGAACUCAUUGAGUUUAGUGCCACUCAAAUGAAACAAAGCUUGUCAAAAUUUGCUGACGAACAACGGGUCACGAUCAGAGACAAUACUUCUGGGCAUGCCAUGGAGUUUGCCUACUAAUUCAAUGAAGAGCUGAGCAACGCUUUGUGCCGUAUGAUGGGAAGGAAGCAUACUGAGGUGUAGCCCUUUCGAAAAGCGAUCAACAAUCACAAAGACAUAAGUGUUGUUGCGAUAAGCUGGAAGUCCCAUGAUGAAGUCCAUGGAGAGGUCCUCCCAUGGCUGCGAAGGAACUGGUAACGGGCAUAAUAAACCCCGAGAUUUUGCAGGUUCAUACUUCACGAGUUGACAAUCCACACACUGGGCCACAAAUUUACGAGUGUCACUACUCAUUGUCUGCCACAUGAAAUUUUCUGCUACACGAUUCAAGGUUUUUCGAUAACCCAUAUGGCCUCCUGUUGGUGUUUGAUGAAAUUUCGUGAGCAAAGCUUUGAUGAAAGUACAGUCUGAGGGUAACCAAAUACGCCCUCGAUACAAAACAAAGUUGGGUGUUAACACAUGGUCAGGGUAGGUGGCUGGGUCUGCGUGAACCUUCUCCCUUAAGGUUAUAAAUUCAUUAUGCGACUGCAAUUCCUUAGACAGAUCUUCAAGAAACACAAAGUGAGGCAUUGAGAGGAUGAAAAGCGAGGCACUUGGUACCUCUGAACAUCGUAAUAGCGCGUCUGCAACCACGUUAGUUUUGCCCGUUCUAUAUUGUAUAGAGUAAUCAAAACCCAACAAACGUGCCAAAUAUCGGUGUUGCUCCGGCAUUUGAACAACCUGGUUCAUUAAUUCUUUUAAGCUUCUAUGAUCCGUCAAAAUUACAAAGUGGUGCCCCAAAAGGUAUUGCCUCCACUUCUUAACAGCAGUGGUAAUGGCAGCUAGUUCACGAACAUAGGUGGAGGAGCUAAGCAACUUAGGGUAAAACUAUUUUCUAAAGAAGGCUAUUGGGUGUCUUCCUUGUGACAACACUACGCCCAUUCCCGAGCCGGAGGCGUCUGUUUCCACCACAAAGGGUUUUGUGAAAUCAGGAAGUGCUAAUACUGGGAAAUUAGUCACGACAUUCUUCAAGUUUUGGAAGGCAACUGUAGCUUCAGGAGUCCAUGCAAACCCUUCCUUAGUUAAAAGUCACGAGAAUGGUGCUGCUAAAGUAGCGUGUUGCAUUCCUUGGUCGGAGACCACAUGACCCAGAUACUCGAUCUGUUGUUGAGCGAAGGAACAUUUGGAAAAUUUUAGUGUAAACUUACCUUCCAUUAAGACCUAAAAUGCAACCUCCAAGUGAUCCCUGAAGGAACGACUAUAAAUCAAGAUAUCAUCGAAGAAGACGAUGAUAUACUUGCGUAGAUGCGGCUGGAACAAGCGGUUCAUUGUUGCCUGAAACAAAGAAGGUGCAUUACAAAGUCCAAAGGGCAUUACAUGAAACUCAUAGUGUCCAUGGUGAGUGCGGAAGGCUGUCUUGCUUGUAUCGGAUUCUUUCAUCAAAAUCUGAUGAUAUCCUUGCAUUAGAUCGAGCUUAGAAAACCACGUUGCUCCCCCUAGUUCAUCUAAUAAUUCAUCCACCGUAGGUAUAGGAAAGCGAUCACGCACUGUGAUAGCAUUCAAUGCCCUAUAAUCCAUGCAAAAUCGCCAUGUUCUGUCGCGUUUCUUGACUAAUAAAACUGGUGACGAGAAGGGACUUGAGCUAUGUUGUAUGUGACCAUUGCGAAGCAUCAAAGCCACUUGUCUUUCAAUCUCUUGUUUUUGAAAGUAUGGGUAGCGGUAGGGUCUUACGUUUAUGGGUGUUGAGUUAGGAAGGAGGUUGAUCGAGUGGUCUGUGGCUCGUGAUGGGGGAAGGUUCGUUAAUGGUUGGAAGAGGGAGGAAUAUUUAGUGAGUAAGGUUUGAAUUGCCGGUAUCGAGUGAGUCAAUGGUAAGGGUUCGGGAUGAUGAGAGUCAAGUUGAAUGUGAAAAUAGGUACUAGUGUUACCUGUGUUCAUAAGGCGUCGUAGCUGUGAUGGUGAUAUCUGAUCAAUAUUUGCAUCACGAUCACCCUUGAGCUCAAUCAAUUUAUCAUUAUAAAUGAAUUUCAUGGUGAGAGUUGCGUAGUCUGUUAGGACAGGUCCCAGUGACUUUAGCCAUUGUACUCCUAGCACUACGUCAGCUCCGCAAAUUGGAAGAAUAUGGAAAUCAACCAAGAAAGUGUGUGCCUGAAUAUGUACCGCAACUUCCGGGCAAACUUGGUUGCACUGCAGCUCCUCGCCAUUACCUACUGUUACUCGAAGAGUAGAAGUUGUUUGUGGUUGCAAGCUUAAUGUUGUAACCAACUCUUGCUAUAGGAAGUUGUGUGUGCUUCCUCCAUCAAUGAGAAUCUGAACACGGUGGUUUCCAAUGAGGCCCGUGACUCACAAGGUUUCCGGGGCUCCGUGACCGGAAAGCGCAUGAAGACUUAUCUGAGCUGGUGAUGUCUCCUGUGAAGCUACAAGAGCUGUUGGAGACGAUGGGUUGGAAUCAGAAUCCUGCAGGCACUCCUCAUCCUCUGUAACAAAUAGGAACAAGGACGGGGUGCACUUAUGGCCCCGUGAGUACUUUUCGUCAUAAUUAAAACAUAAUCCCUUCUCCCUUCGAAUAGCUAAUUCUUCUGGGGAAAGGCAUUUAAAGGGAAUAGUGGUUGUGGCAGGUUUAGUUGGUGAAGGAGUUAAGAGCGACUCAACUGGUUUAGUGACAACCGGCGGUGAUAAUCGUGAAGGAAAACUAUACGACAGACUAGGGGAGGUUCGAACAGAAGAUCGUCGCCCAUCUAGCUGUUGAGACUUUGGCAAGUGUACCAAAUCGCUCUUAAGUAGUAAACCUCGGAAGUCCGAGUAUCGUGUCCGCAGGGAUUUUAUUGCACUUGUUAAAUACUUCUCAAUUUGUAAGUAAGAAUAAAAAAAACAGGAAUAAGUGUAGGAAUAGAGUGCGAUUACUAAAUCAAAUAGUUUAAAAAAGGAAAGACAAUUAAUAAAGAUGCCAAGACCAGACAAACCCAAUUGGCCUACGAUGCAUGUAAAUAUGAUAUUCAUUACCAAUGCACUGGUAUUAGUUAUACCCACAUCUGUUAACUACUUGCCCCUGAUGCCUCACGUUGGCAAGCCUAUUUUAACUACCUAUCUCCCAAAUGCCUUUGCGAAGAUUCAAUAAUUAAAAUGCAUUAAGAUUAAGUUCUAGAUGUUGCUUAAAUGCAUGGGCAGUGGGUUAUCACUCUAUGCCUAGCAAUGGUAACCCAAGAAUUCUUUUCUUAAGAUGUUCUGUUAGGCGUUACCCUUUUCCAAGUGUAUAACCCCUAAAACUAAUGCAUGCAUUGAAUCUUAAAUAUUUAUUGGGAAAUACCCUCUCCCGAGCGAAUAAAACCCAAAAGAAGUUUAAGAACAAAUGCAAGAUAACAAGAAAAGAAUUAGAACAGAAAAACCUGGAAUCAAUUCCUUUUGCAUUGAUAACUCUUGAAGCUCAUCGUACAUCGUUGGCUUUUUAGGCCUGCCAGGCCCUAGCUAGGGGAUUAGCCACUCAUGGUCAUUGAGGUCUUACAAUUAGGGGUGAAGGAAAGAAUGGGGAUAAUAAAAACAAAGAAUAAUAAGAGAAAGGAAAACUCAAGCUUGAAGUACUGAGAACUGUGCUCUGAGACGAGGUGAGUUUUCCUUGGGACUGACUCUCUAUUUAUAGUUGCUGAAGUGGGCUUGUGGGCUACGUAGUCGCGCUCAGCGCCACACCUCGUGCUUAGCGCGUACAGAUCGCGCGCUGGGCGCGCCAUGCAGGCUUAGCCUGUGCUUCUGUUGGAUCGCGCGCUGGGCGCCUAGCUGGGCUUAGCGCGCGUAACGGUUGCUCCUUCGUGCUUAACGCCACGCUUAGCGCCUGCAAUUAAUUGCUCACUUAGCACGUGAUGCGCGCUUAGCGCCACUGUUGGGCUGGGCCUGCUUCAGAAUUUCUUCUUUUUCUUCCUUUCUGUUGCCAUUUUUGCUUAAUGUACCCUCAUUUUUCGUAUCUGCAACCAGAAAUUCAAUUUAAUUAAUUUUUUCAACUUUUAAUCAUAAAUAACUACUAAAUAAUUAAUUUUAAGUAAAAAUUUGACUAUUUAACUACGAUUAAUUCACAAUUAUUUAGCAGUUAUCACUAGCAUCCUUUCCUCAUGCAGCCUAGCAAAGGAGAUUGCCUGAACCAACGAGUGAGGCUGCAUAACUUGCACCUCCCGUUGAAUCACUGGAUUUAGUCCUGACACAAAACAACUUAGCACAAACGGUGCCAGCAAACCAAUUAUACGGUUAGCAAGAGCUUCAAACUCCGAGAGGUAAGCGGAGACAAUUGAUCGCUGUGUCAACUUACAGAGCAAACCUGUUGGAUCUUCAUAGGUUGAAGAUAAGAAUCGUGCGUGGAUGGCGUGUAAAAAAGUGGACCACGAAGACAAUUGACCAUUCCUAUGCAUCCAUUGAAACCAGGCUAAUGCUAAGCCUUCCAUGUAAAAAGAUGCUAUGGUGAGUCUUUCGUGAUCUGGAGUUGCAUGAUAUUCGAAGAACUGCGUGAUCUUGAAUAUCCAGCCUUCUGGAUCAGAGCCAUUGAAGCGCGAAACUUCGAGCUUCAUACGGUAAGUCGGAUUCGUGGUCGUUGCACCUGGAGAUGGCGAUGGCACUCGCGGAGAUGCGUGCUCUGUCUCUAACUGAGUCAUACGAUGCAGAAGCUCGUCGAACUUGGAAGACGAAAGUCUCGCAAAUGCCUCUUCCCAGUGAUCAGCACUUGUUUUUGAUCGAGUAGCUUCAGCCAUGGUGUGAGCAAUGAAAGCACCAAUGAUAGCGUUUGGUAUUCGAGGCCCAAACAAUCCUCCAGAGAAAGGGAGAGAGAGAGAGAGAAAACUUGAGAACGAGAGAGAAAGGAGAUCUUUUUCUUACAUUCCUCAAAGCUGGUUCAUACAUAUAUAGCCACUAGUGGUGGUUACAACAGAAAAUUAACUUCCUAAUAGAAAUCCUAACCUACUGAUUUAUUCUUCUUUAUUCCAUCUAGAAUAUUCGAGCGCCCUCCUACGCACGUUCAUGCCUUCAUGGUCUAUUUAUUAUGUAGUCUUUCAGAUGCAUAGGCGUGCUAUUGUGCCUUUUGGGUCUUGCUGCUAGCACCCCUACUCUAUUCGUAUCACGGAUCCAAAGGGGGCCUCUUAUGACCCUUUGUGUAUAUAUAUAUAAGAAAAAAAAAGAAAAAUUAAAAUAUAAAAAUACUAAUAACAUCAAUUUUUCCAUGUGAUCGCUGCAACUGCUCUUUAAGUACCAAUUUCCUCUUGUCUCAUCACUAGAAUCUCGGGUAGCAUAGUAAAGAUGUCACUGUCAUGCUCUUUAAUGAAAUUUGCUUGAUGCUUGUUUUUAUUAUCAAUUCUUCUCCACAUGUCCAAAAUUUUCACAAUAGUGACAUUGUGGUUUUCCAAGAUGCCAACAAUCCUUCUAUAUUUUUCUUGAUUGGUCUUAGAGAAAUUUCUAGAAUUUUGUGUAUUUCUAGAAACUUCUCCAUCUUUCUUUCCACCAUUUUUUUUAAUUGAGACCGUAAUUUAAACUUUGAUUGGAAGGCAUUCUCGACAAAGUCUUCAUUAUGCCGUUUCAAUCUUUGCACAUACACAAUCCAUAAGUUAUAUCCCUGAUAAAGUAGACAAAUCUUUGUUUUGUCCUCCUUAAAUUCAAGAAGAAAUUUCCGUAAGAACCCAAGUGUCACACUUUGUUUCUUUCUCUUUCCUUCGUACCAAGUGUUUCCCUCUCUUAAGUUUCUCACAACAAUCUUAGUACUUCUCACACUUCUGAUUAUAGUUAGUUGCACAUACAUAAAGAUCCCAUGACCUCUAUUUAUAGGCCCCAAGCCACUAAAACACAACAACAUAAGCCUAAUAAAAAACACUCAAUAGUCUUAUGCGUAUCAGAUUAAUAUAUGAAUUAAACAAAUUGUCCCAUCUAACUGAGCAUCAGACUAUCCUCAAUCUCAUCACAAUAGACGAUCCUCAUAAGAUCGAACGUCCAUCAGAAUGAACAAUAUAUUUUGAGUUACAGACCACAAUUCUCCACCUUGACUCUAAAUUUGAGCCAGACGAUUCCUUCCACCAUAGUGUUACUCUCCCACUUUUGAAACUAUAUUUCAAGAGAAAUUAAUCAAGUCUAAGGUUGAACUUUGACCUUGGUAGAGAUUUUGUGAACAUAGAUGCAAUUUUCACAAUCCUAACUCCUUCAAAUUCAACCACAUCUCUUAUGAAGUGAAGCCUAACAUCAAUAUUCUUUCUCCUCUCAUGGUAAACUUGACCGAUUUGUAAGGUGGAUAGCACUUUGGCUAUCAUAGUGAAUUAUCACAUAGUUUUGUACAAUUUCUAGUUCACCAAUCAUCCCUUUUAACCAUACUCAUUUUGCAAUAGCAAUAUACUCUUGAUUCAGUUGUAGAUAGAUCUACCAUGGGCUGUAAGUUUCCUUUCCAACAAAUAGUAGCCCCAAACAAUGUAAAUGCAUAUCUAAAUAAGGACUUCAUAGUAUCCACAUGCUCUACAUACUUUGCAUCAACAUGCCCCAUAAUAGCAUCUCCACCUUGAGCUACCUUCUUAUACUUUAGACCAGAUUCCAAAGAUCCAUUCACAUAUCUCAAUACCUACUUCAAAGCCUCCCAAUGAGCUUGACCUGAAUCGGCCCUAAACCUUUUUACAAUGUGAAUAGCAUGGGCCAAGUUUGGCCUACUACAAACCAUACCAUACAUGAUGCUUCCUACUCUACUAGCAUAUGGAACAAUAUCCAUCUUCUUCCUUUCCUCUUCAAUAUUAGGAGCUUGAGUAAUUGAGAGCUUAGUGUGAUGUCUCAAAGGUGUGCUUACAAAUUUAGAUUGAUGCAUCCUAAACCUUUCUACUACCUUCUUCAAAUAGCCCGCUAAGAUAAGAACAAUUUUCUCUUCAUCUGAUCUAUAACAAUAUCAAUCCUAAGUAUCCUCCUUGCAAUACCAAAAUCCUUCAUGAUCAUCUCAAAUUCUGAACUUAAUCUCUCCUUGAGCAUACUAAUCUCAUCCUAGCUUGUUUGAGGUAGCUAUAAGAAUAUCAUCUACAUACAAAAGCAAGAAAAUGUGACAUUGUUAUUCUCUUUUCAAGAUUUAGACAUAACUACUCCUUAGAAAACCUUCAUUUGAUCUUCUGCAAACCCCUUAGGUUGUUGCAUAUAAAUGGUCUCCUCAAGGUCUCCAUGUAAAAAAAGUUGUCUUGGCAACCAAUUAUGGUAACUCCAGAUCAUACUGAUUUACAAUUGCCAUCAAGAUCCUUAUAGAAUAAUGUUUUACCACAGGUGAGAAAAUUUCAUUAUAAUUAACUCUGUCCACUUGUGUAAAACCCUUAGCCACAAGUCUUGCCUUGUACCUCGACUUCUUCACACUUGGAAUGUUUUUCUUUUUCUUGAAGACCUACUUGCAUCCAACUAGUGUUAACUCGUUGGCAAGUGCACCAAAUUCGUCACAAGUAGUAAAAUACUCGAAAGUCCGAGUGUCGAAUCCACAUGAACUUUGUUUGUACUUAGAUUAAAGCAAAUCCAAUUUACAAGCAAGAGAUAAGAAAUUUAAGAUAAAAGAGGCAGAAAGAUAAAAGAUAUAAGAUAAAGAUUUAAAAAGGAAAGAUAAGAGAUAAAAUAUUUAAAUUAAAAGAUGAUAAAGAUAAAAAAUAGAAGAUAAAAAAAUAAGAUAAGAAACAAAAAAUAAAAGAUAAAGAAAGAUAAGAAAAAAAAGAUAAGAUGAAUAAAAGAUAAGUUCUCAAAAUGUGAUAAUGUUGUUGGGACCUUGCAUGCCCUCUUUGCCUUGGAUCUGUUCUACCCACACCUAUCCAUUUACUCGCCCCUAAUGUCUCACGAUGACAAGCUUAUUUUAUUUACCUAUCUCUCAAAUGCCUUUGAAAAGACUCAAUAAAUAAAAUGCAUGAAGACUAGAUUCUAGAUGUUUGCUAAAUGCAUGGGCAAUAAGUCACCAUUCUAUUCCUAGCAAUGAUGACCUUAUGAUUUCUUGCCUUAUCUGUUCUGUUAGGAGUUACCCUCUCCCGAGCAACUUACCCCAAAAGAAAAUAAAGAUGAAAAUGCAAGAUAAAGUAGAGAAGAAAAUAGGUGUCUUGUUUGACAUGUGCAAAUGCCAAAGCACUAAACACCCUCAAGUUGGAAUAGUUUAUUGGUUUCUCACUCCAUACUUUCAUAGGUGUCUUAGAGUCUAGAGCAAACGAUGGACAUCUGUUUGUCAGAUACAUUGCAAUAUUUGUAGCUUCUCCCUAGAAACUUUUAGGCAGACCUACUCUUAAAAACAUGCACCUCACUCGUACCAAGAUGAUCUUUUUCAUUCUCUCAAUUAGGCCAUUUUGUUGAGGAGUUCUUGCUAUAGUCUUAUGUCUCUUAAUUCCUAGUUUUCUUCCAAACACAUUAAAUUGUUCUGAAACAAAUUCCAGCCCAUUGUCAGUUCUCAAAACUUUCAAUUUUGUUCCUUGCUAAUUUUCCCCAAGUGUGUAACACUCCUAGAACCUUUGAAAUGUUUCAGACUUAUUCUUCAAUAUAUAAAUUCACACUCUUUUAGAGAAAUUAUCAAUAAUUGCAAGAAAAUAGGAACCCCUCCAUGAAUCAUCACCCUUGAAGGACCCCAUAGGUUUGAAUGAACAUACUAAAAGGGCCUACUAGAAACAUGUGUACCAGUCCCAAACUUCACUCUAUGAGACUUACCCAAUAUACAAUGAUUACAAAAUUCUAAUUUAUCCAAUUUAUCACCAUUCAGCAGAUUUUGUUUUUACAGUUAGACCAAACCCCUUUCACUAACAUGACCUAGUCUUAGAAGCCACAAUUGUGUCUUAUCCUGUAACGUUUGACUAGCUACAAAUGCGUGAGCAAUAACAAUUGAGCCGUCCAGAAUAUGCAGACCAUUCAUUUUAACACCCUUAGCAACAAUUAAGGCUCCAUUUGAAAUCCUAAUCAGACCAUGUUCUAUUUUGGUAGAGUAUCUCAAAUAUCAAACAUGCUUAUUGACAAAAGAAUCCAUUUAGGCUCAGGAAGAUACCACAUAUCUUGCAACAACAUCUCUCGGUCAUCAAACAUCUUUAGUCUGACAGUACCCAUGCCAAUAUUAAUUUUAUGUCGUCCCCAAUAAGAGGUAUUAUACAUUUUUCAAUUAAAAACAAGUUUUCAUUUUAAAACUUUUGUAUUUCUUAAGUUAUAAAUUAUUUAUUAUUUGAAUAAUCUUUUAUGAGAAAAAAUAGAUAAACUAUAGACAAAUUUAACUUAGGUUACUAAACAAUUAAUAAUCUAGAAAAUUUGUAUUUUUUUAACAAUUUAUUCACUAACUUUUUAUUUUUGUAAUUUAAGACAUGUAUAUUUAAAUAAUAAACUUAAGAAAAUGUCAUGUCAACUAGUUGUGUUUACGGGUUCAAAAAUCAAAACCUGUUAUCUAACUUAUACAUGAAUGAGUGUAAAUAGGUUGGAUUGAAUUAUAUAUAUACAUAUAUAUAUAUAUAUAUAUAUAUAUAUAUAUAUAUAUAUUAGUAUAAUUUUCACAAACUAUUGCUUUAUCAAUAAAUUGAUAUAAAAUACAAUUUUUAUCUAUUUAACCAUUAAAUUAUAUCUACAUAUUAAUAAGAUUUUUCGUAUCAAUUUUUUUAAAAUUGAAUAACAAUAAGGUAAUAAAAUGAUUCAUAUUUUAGUAUAUUUUAAAAAAAUUAUAUUACAUUAAUUUUAAUCUAUAUGAAUGAGUUAACGAAUAAAUUUAGAUUAAUAUAAAAUUUCACAUAAAUAAUCUUUGUGAAAAGAAUUUUCCAUCCAACGGUAGAUUUUAAAAAAAUAUUUUUUUUAUCAACAUGUGAUGUGUUAACUCUUUGGCAAGUGUAUCAAAUCGCUCGCAGUAAUAAUUUCUUGGUAAUCCGAGUAUCGUACCACAGGAAUUUUGUUGCACUUAUGUGAAGUAGUACUUUUCAGUUUGCACAUUGUAAAUUUAGUUUGUAAAAUUAAAGGCAAUUUAAAUCUAAGCGGCUACUUCUAAAUUAAGGAAAACUCAAGAAAUAAAGAAAGAAUAAAGUCUAUAAAAUAUUGCUAAAAUCUAAUAAACAUAAGUACCUACUUCCAAAUAAAAUAAGGAAUAACUACUUCUAAGAAAACCCAAAUAAUAAAUAAGGAAUAACUACUAAGAAAAAAACUUCAAACAAUAAAAUAGGGAAUAAAAUCUAUAUAAUAAAUUUGCUAAAACCUAACAAGUCUAAUCAGCCUAGAUAUAUGGAUUCAGGAUUUGUCUGUUAUCAAUACCAGUGAACUAAUUCUGCCCUACAUCUAUCUAUCUACUUGCCCCUGAUGCCUCAUGAUGACAAGCCUACCUUAAUUACAUAUCUUCCAAAUGCCCUUUGCAAAGACUUAAUAACUAAGAUGCAUUAAGAUUAAAUUCUAGAUGUUUGCUAAAGCAUGGGCAUUGGGUUAUCAUUCUAUGCCUAGCAAUGCUAACCCCAUGAUUUCUUUGUUUUAUUGUUCUAUUAAGCGUUACCCUCUCCCGAGUGGACUAACCCUUAAAACAUAUUCAAGCAUUCAUUCCUACCCCUAAUUAGGCUUUACCCUCUCCCGAGUGGACUAAAGACUAACAGAAAAUAAAGACUGAGAUACAGGAUAAAUAAGAAAGAAAAGCAGAUAAAAGAACCUGGAAGGAAACCCUUUAAAUGAUAACCCAAUGAUUUCUUCCUUUUAUUGUUCUAUUAAGCGUUACCCUCUUCCAAGUGGAUUAACCCUUAAAACAUAUUCAAGCAUUCAUUCCUUACCCCUAAUUAGGCUUUACCCUCUCCCGAGUGGACUAAACCCUAACAAAAAAUAAGGAUUGAGAUGCAGGAUAAAUAAGAAAGAAAGGUAAAUAAAAGAACCUGGAGGAAAAUCCUCUUUUUAUUGAUAACUCUUGAAAUGCUCCAUACAUCAUUGGCUUUUUAGGCUUGCCAGUCCCUAGCUAGGGGAUUAGCUACUCAUGGUCAUGAGGGCUUUACAAUGAGAAGGGAGUGAAAGAAAGGUAAUAAAAAUAUAAGAAAAGGGAAGGAAAAGGAGAGAACUGAGUGCCAGAGGUCUGAGAAAUGAGCUCUCAGGAAGUGUUUUCGUUUUCCUAGGCUGACCCUCUUAUUUAUAAGUGCAAAAUUGGGCUUUGGGCCUUCGUAGUCUCGCUGAGUGCGAAGCCUUGCGCUCAGCGCCACCGCGCACUCAGCGCAUGUCGUGCGCUUAGCGCCUUGCUUUCUUGCGUGGGCGUGUCUUGCGCUUAGCGCCUUGCUGGGCUGGGCUUCUUCUGAUUUUCUUCUUUUUUUCUUCAUUUCUGCUCCUUUUUGCUUGUUGUACCUCCCUUUUUCACAUCUGCAAUCAGAAUUCGAAAUUAAUUAAAUCUUUCCAAAUUAAAGCAUAAAUAACUGCUAAAUAAUUAAUUCUAAGUUAAUUUCAGACCGAUUUUCCACUAUUAAUUCACUAUUAUUUAGCAGUUAUCAUGAUGUGAUGAAGAAAUACAUUGCAUAAAAUGUAAUGUGGUGAUAAAUGAGUUUUCAAAGGUGUGAAAAGGCAUAGGAUGGCAAAUUAGUAGAACAUGUGAUAUAUAUGAAGAAAGAAUGAUAUUGGCAUGGAAGUGUCAUGCUUUGUAGCUUAAACAACUUUAGAUAUAUAAAUAGAAAGAUAAAUAGAUUCAACUUGUAAAAGUCAUGGUUUUCAAAACUAUGUAGUAUUAAACAUAAGGGCAACCAAGUAUUACAAAAGUAUAUUAGAAGCAUAGUCUUACAAAUUUUCUUUUUCCCAGUGAAAGAUUUUAAACAGAAAUGAUAAUUUAGGUUGUAGUAACUUUAGUAUUGGCUAGGUUUGAAAAUUGCUGCAGCAUAUGAAAGCAUUUGUGUUAGAUUCCAAAACUUCAUAAGCCUUAUACUCCUAUUCUUUAUAAUCAGUAAGGAUUAGUUUAGCUCCAAAUGUUGUAAUGGUCACCUUCAUGAUCUUUCCAAGCUUGUGGAAAGAGAGCAUGGUCAAACCAUAUUAUAACCGUUCGUAUAUGGUAGCUGCAAAUGCCAUGUUGAUACCCAUGCAUAUUGCCUUAUGUAGGCUCUAUUGGAGUUGUCUAGUGACUCUGCAUGGUAAACCAGUGGAGUCCACUGAAUGAGCUGAGAAAAGAACUGUUCUACAUUAAAUAAGAAUAUAUACCCAUGAAUAAAAAAAUAGCAAUGUUUGUUAUGUUGGAAUGAAAUUUUUGUUGGAAUUUUAGAAGAUCCUUAUAAAAUACCAAUAAUCACAUCACAUUAAAUUAUCAGGAAGAGUUUUAGGAAUACCUAGAUCCAUAAUGAUUGCUCAAACAAAUACAACGAAAUUUGAAUUUGUAGGUGAUUUUUUAUCAUUGCGCUUGUGACGCCCUCUACCCCUCACAUAUAUGUACUAAUAAUAAAAGGAAUAAGAAAUCAGAAUUAAUUAAAAGUUUUUAAACACAAUUAAAUACAAGCUUUUCAAAAUAAUAAAAGGCUCACUUUCAUUUUUCUAACAUCAUAAUAAAACUUUUCCAAAUAAAUAAUAAAUCAUCUCAGCUCAAAACAAGGUCAUCCAAGACUUCAUGUAAUUAAUAUAGAAACAUAUAUCUCAAUGUCACAUCCUAUCAGAGCAUUGUGUUCUUGUGUCCUCUAACAUGAGGUUCUUCAUAGUCAUCCACCUAACCAUCUACUUCCAUUAACACAAAAUCGAGAUCAUCACAAGAUCCAAACACAAAUAGUACACGGGGAGUGAGUUAUUACAUUCCUAACUAAUAGAGAGAAAUAAGACAACAUAUAGGUAUAAAUAUCAUAUAAACAAAAUACAACUUACUUAUGCAUAGCUCACAUUAUUUCACCACUUUGUCACGCAUCAUCACAUUACAACACCACAUGUCUCAUUCGUUUUCACAACAUUCACGUACUUAAUGAUCAAAACACAAUAUCACUAAAUCAAUCAAUAUCGAUCAAUGUGGUACCAUGUCAGUGAAAAACCUCGUUGAGCGCCUAAAAGUACAUGACAAGACAAACCACACACUAGUAAAUCAUGUCACUUUCACUAGGUAAAAUCAUAAGGAGACCAGUCAAGGUCACGUUGUUUUGUAAGAAUGUUCCAAUCAUAUGGGAUCAACAUAUAUUUAAAGGAGCACUCAAACCGGAUGUAUUUACCCCCAAGACCUACACUCUGAAGAGUCCGUCAGGGCCUUUCCCUCCUGAUUCAGGUCCAACCCAGAAAAGAUUUUAGCACACAGACUCUAUCUAUGAACUGUACAAAACACACAACUCCUCAAUUGUUCUCAAAAUAGUUUUAUCUCAUUACGCUUGUGGUUAAUGUCGUCGAGUCCUCACAGUGGUUCCCAUCACAAUACUUGUCACCCUUAAAAGGUCUUAUAGUCGUGUGAUUGUACAAUUCAUAGCUCAUAACUCAAUGCACAUAACAUCUCAAUGCACAUAUAUAUUACAAGUCAAUACAUACUUAAUUUAUCACAUACACUCAGUCUCAAUCACAAUGGUAUAAUCUCAAUUUAACAUGUUAUCACACCACAUGAAUCAUAUACACUUUACCUAUGAACUAUGCAAUACACAUGACUCUUCAAUUAUUUUUAAAAUAAUUUUAUGUCAUCGUGCUUGUGAUUAAACUUGUCGGGUCCACACAGUGAAUCCCAUCACAAUACUCGUUGCGCAAAAACUCGUCGCCCUUAAAGGAUUUUACAAUUGUGUGAUUUCACAGUUCAUAUCUCACAACUCGAUACACACAUCUCAAUACACAUAUAUUUCAUCAUUCAUCACAGGUUCAAUUUAUCACGUACUCUCAAUUUGAAGCACAAUUUCAUAAUCUCACUAUACCAAUUUAUACAAAAGGUUUAUCACAACAUGGGGAGUAAAACCCCUCAAAUAAUUUUACACAAUUAUAUCAAAAUCAAUUAAUCAAAAUCAUAGGUAUAAAAAAACGAAAACACCAAGAGCACACGUUAUUUUAUCAAUCAAAUUGCAUCAGGACAUCAAUAUUGUAUUUAUAAUCAUAAAGGAAAAUUUUCAAUUUAAUAAACAUCCAAAAAUAAACCCAAUUUAAUCCUCUAAGGAUCUUUACACAUGUUCAUUCUAACCCCAAUUGCGAUAAACUCAUCCCUUACCUCUAAGCGGGCUCACGUGUGUAUUCUGACAGUGAUAGCGGCAUUUCUAGCAAAUUCCUAUGAUUCCUCAAGCUUUUCCUCUGGUUGCUCUGAUGGGGUUUCAAAGCAUUUGAGAGGUGGAGAAGAGAUUGAAACCUUCAUUCCACUGUCUGUGUGCGAUGCAUAUUUCUCCCUCUCCACAAAUUAAUAUAAAAAUCCUAACGGUGAAGAUGUGAGAAAUGAAUCAUAAACCCGGUUUCCAAAUUUCACGAUAAUCCAACGGUUAACGAGUUCAGGAUCAUAGCUUUAUUGGGACAUAUUUUGGGUCUCUACAUGAAAGGAGAAGCUACGAUGUGAAGGAAAUUUUUCUUAGCUCUGACUUUUUUAGCAAUUUUCAAUGGUGAGAAUGCUCGAAAUUGAGUUUCAAACCUGAUGCUGAAAUAUCAUGACGAUCCAACGGUUAAAAAGUCCGAGAUCAUCAUUUUAAUAAGACAGGUAUGAGUGUAUGCGGGAAAAAGAGAGGAUUUUGGGAGAGAAAAAGAGAAAACAAAAUUGAGAGGAAGAAGAGACGUAGAAACUAUUGUUAGUAUGAAAACUGACCUAACAUGUCUCUAUUUAUAGUUAGGGUACCCACAACCUAUCAUUUACUCUAUUUAUUUAUUUUUAUUAUUUUAUAAAAAGAAACUCUAUUUUAUUCCCUUUAAUAAAUAAAAUACCUUUUCUAUUUUCUCUCAAACCAUUAUUUUAAUUAAUAAAAUUAUUUCUCCUUAUUUAUUUAAUUAUGAAAACCUCAUCAUUUUUCUAAAACUGUAUUUAUUUAUAAAUAACAAUCCUUUUUAAAUUAGUUUACAAAAAAUGGGAUGUUAGAGCGCUCUUCUUAGGAUGUGUUACAGGAUGCUGUAAAGACAAUGAAUAACUGACUAACAGUGUAACUGGUGGCUUCAUGGUUCUUCCUCAACCGGAACCUCUUUAUUCCUUAACAUUACCUUUGUAACUCUUCAGAUGGAUAAAAGAGAAACGAUAUGUGAUGGCCCGAUAUAUUUGGGACCAUAGUCUUCUUAUAGUGUGUUAACCUAAUAUGGUUCCCAUUAUCCCCUAAUGGGCCAACAUUGACAUCUGUUCAUUUAAGUUCAUAUCAUCUGAUUUAAUUGUCUAACUGGUUCACUUAAUUUGAUUACGUAUAAUUGUCUGAUAAUAUUAGCUCACAUUAAUUAUUGGAAUAAAAAAUUCCAACAAUCUCCCACUUGGACUACAUAUUGUAACAAUUAUAUAAAAACUCCUUAAGCACGCAUAUGAAUGAUAUUUACCUUUAUUUCUUAGGUAACUGGUGACUUCAUGGUUCUUCCUCAGUCGAAACCUCUUUAUUCCUUAACAAAACCUUCAUAUUCACGCGGGAAGAAGAGAAACUAUAUAUGAUAAGUCAAUAUGUUAGGGACCAUAGCCUUCUUAUAGUGUGUUAACUUGAUAGAGUUUUUAUUAUCCCCUAAUAGGGCCAACAAUGACAUAUGUUCCUUAUUUAGUUGUCUAACAAGCUCAAUUAUUUUGAUCACAUAAAAUAAAACCUACUAAUGAUAAAUAAUUAAUAUAAUUGUCUUAUAACAUUAGCCUACAUUAAUUAUUGAAAUAGAAAAUUCUAACAAUUUUACUAUUGAAGGAAAUAUUUGAGAAUGAGAGAAAUUAGAAAGUUUUGAGGAAGAGGUUACUUGUACAAAAUGAUCACUUCUUGAUUUGGCUUAAAACAAAUUUUAAUACAAUGCCUUUAUUUAUAUUAAUGGCUCCUCCCAAACCUGUGGUUAUGAUUUUGCUAACACACUUAAUCUAAUGGUUACAAAUGAUUCUCUAGAACUUUUUACAUACAAAGUUACUCACACAUUCUAGAAUAUUCUACAAGUUAUUCUAGAAUUAUCUUCUACAAUAGAUUUUUCUAGAACAUUCUUCUAGAAUUUUAGUUUAACAUGUCUUGUGGAAUCUCCUAGAACUUGGGCUUUUUGAUAAGGCCCAAAAUCAAGUCUAUAUUUCAACAUGUUAUUCUGUACCAUUAAAUUUUCUUAAUUGAGGUUUUGUUUUAAAAAUUUUACAAGUGAGAAAAAAGGAAAAGAAAUUUUUUAUAAAACUUGGUAAACUACCGGACACGAUAGAGUUUGAUAACCUAUAUAAACAGGUGAUAGGAAGCAAGUGGUAGAGGUUAAGAUAUUUUUUAGAACGUGAGCAAAAGGAAAACGAAAAAAUAUAAAACUUAGCAAAUUAACUACGGGACACAAGUGUGUUUGAAAACCUGCAUUGUGAUAGCUAGGAAGCAAACAUAGCAUAUUGAUGAUUGGAGAAGAGGGGACAAAAGCAGGUGAUUGGAUGGAGGGGUUAAUUAAGAUCCUAUCCAAGGUGAUAAAUAAUUAGAGAAGGGACGUUUGGGGAUGUAUGCACAAAAAUAUAAUCAACUCUCCCACUAACACUAACAGAUACUAACAGACACCUAAUAGCAUCAGUCAAAUUCUAAUAUGUUUUAUUUGCUGAAUGUUUUGCGAAUGUGUCCUUUUGUUUCAUCAUUUUUGAAAUUUUGCAUGUGUAACAUUCAGGAAAAAGUGGUAGCCACAGCAGGAAUCAAAGAAACAAGAAGAACGUGCCAAUUGCCAAGGGAGAAUGGACCCAAUUACUUCUGCCACUGCCCAAAGUGCACUGCAAAUUGCAGAACAUGUGGUCAAACGACAAGUGGGUUACAUAUUUAAUUACAAAGACAAAUUUAAAGAGGUGGAACAAUACAUUGAGAGGCUGGAUGAUACUAGGAAGAGGGUUCAAAAUGAAGUUAAUGAUGCAGAGAAGAACGGAGAAGAAAUUAACGAUGAAGUUCAACAUUGGUUAAAACAGGUGGAUGAGAAGAUAAAAAAAUAUGAGUGUUUUAUUGAUGAUGAACGCCAUGCACAGACAAGGUGUUCCAUUAGAUUGAUCUUUCCAAAUAACUUGUCAUUGAGGUAUCGGUUAGGCAGAAAAGCUACAAAGAUAGUAGAGGAAAUCAAAGCAGAUGGACAUUCAAAUAAAAAGUUUGAUAAAGUUUCAUAUCGGUUGGGCCCAUCCUCUGAUGCUGCUUUGUUAAACACUGGUUAUGUGAGCUUUGGGUCGAGAAAUGAAACUAUGGAGAAGAUUAUGAAAGCACUGGAAGACUCGACAGUUAAUAUUGUUGGAGUCUAUGGGGCUGGUGGUGUGGGUAAGACUACUUUAGUCAAAGAAGUUGCUAACAAAGCUCGAGAAAAGAAGUUGUUCAAUAUGGUGGUCAUGGCAAAUGUAACAAGAAUUCCUGACAUAGAAAAAAUUCAAGGACAAAUUGCUGAGAUGUUGGGAAUGAGAUUGGAAGAGGAAAGUGAAAUUGUAAGAGCAGAUCGCAUUCGAAAGAGGUUAAUGAAUGAAAAGGAGAAUACCCUUAUAAUCCUAGAUGAUCUCUGGGAUGGAUUGAACUUGAAUAUAUUGGGGAUUCCACGUAGUGAGGAUGAUGAUGGAAGCCAACAAGAUGUCAAUGAUUUAUCUGAUUUUGGUUACCAUAAGAUGGAAAAAGAAGUGUUUUCGGCCGAUUUCCAUACAAUGAAAAAAGACAAGUUAGCUGUCGAUUUCAAUACGAUGAAAAAAGGCAAAUUAUCUGUUGAUUCCAAUAUGAUAAAAAAAGAAAAGUUAUCUGGUGAUCACAAGGGAUGCAAAAUUCUUCUAACAUCCAGAAGUAAAGAAGUAAUAUGUAAUAAAAUGGAUGUGCAGGAGAGAUCAACUUUCUCGGUAGGAGUCCUUGAUGAAAACGAGGCAAAGAGUUUCCUUAAGAAAUUGGCGGGAAUACGUGCCCAAAGUUUUGAAUUUGAUGAGAAAGUCAUUGAAAUUGCCAAAAUGUGCGAUGGAUUGCCUAUGGCAUUAGUUUCCAUAGGAAGGGCUCUAAAGAAUAAAAGCUCCUUUGUAUGGCAGGAUGUCUGUCAACGAAUUAAACGACAAAGUUUUACAGAAGGGCACGAAUCUAUCGAGUUCUCUGUAAAUUUGAGCUUUGAGCAUCUAAAAAAUGAGCAGCUGAAACAUAUUUUCUUACUGUGUGCUAGAAUGGGAAAUGAUGCUUUGAUUAUGGACUUGGUGAAGUUCUGUAUCGGGUUGGGUUUGCUUCAAGGGGUCCACACAAUUAGAGAAGCGAGAAACAAAGUAAAUAUGCUGAUAGAGGAGCUAAAAGAAUCAACUUUGUUGGUGGAAAGUCUCUCUCAUGACCGCUUCAACAUGCAUGACAUUGUGCGGGAUGUUGCUCUUUCAAUAUCAUCCAAAGAAAAACAUGUUUUUUUUAUGAAAAAUGGCAUAGUAGACGAGUGGCCUCACAAAGAUGAACUUGAAAGGUACACUGCUAUAUGUUUACACUUUUGUGAUAUCAAUGAUGGGCUUCCCGAGAGUAUACACUGUCCUAGACUUGAAGUCUUACAUAUUGACAGUAAAGAUGAUUUUUUGAAAAUACCAGACGACUUUUUUAAAGAUAUGAUUGAACUCAGAGUCUUGAUAUUGACUGGUGUUAAUCUUUCAUGCUUACCUUCUUCUAUUAAAUGCCUAAAAAAACUGAGAAUGCUUAGUUUGGAGAGAUGCACUCUAGGAGAGAACUUAUCAAUCAUUGGAGAGUUAAAGAAAUUACGAAUUCUUACUCUUUCAGGAUCUAACAUUGAAAGUUUGCCUCUAGAAUUUGGGCAAUUGGAUAAGCUGCAACUUUUUGACAUAAGCAAUUGCUCAAAACUAAGAGUAAUACCUUCCAAUACCAUAUCAAGGAUGAACAGUUUGGAAGAGUUUUACAUGAGAGACAGCUUGAUUCUGUGGGAGGCUGAGGAGAAUAUCCAAAGUCAAAAAGCUAUUCUUUCUGAGUUGAGGCACUUGAAUCAGUUGCAAAAUCUAGACGUACACAUUCAGAGUGUUUCCCAUUUUCCGCAGAACUUGUUUUUGGACAUGUUGGAUAGUUACAAGAUUGUCAUUGGUGAAUUCAACAUGCUUAAAGAGGGAGAAUUCAAAAUCCCUGACAUGUAUGACCAAGCGAAAUUUUUGGCAUUGAACCUAAAAGAAGGUAUUGACAUUCAUUCUGAAACAUGGGUUAAAAUGUUGUUCAAGAGUGUUGAAUAUUUGCUGCUGGGAGAACUCAAUGAUGUUCAUGAUGUUUUUUAUGAAUUAAAUGUUGAAGGAUUUCCAUAUUUGAAACAUUUAUCCAUUGUGAACAAUUUUGGUAUUCAAUAUAUUAUUAACUCAGUGGAGCGGUUUCACCCUUUACUGGCUUUUCCCAAAUUGGAGUCCAUGUGUCUUUACAAACUGGAUAAUUUGGAGAAAAUAUGUGGCAAUAAUCAUCUUGAAGAGGCUUCCUUUUGCAGAUUAAAAGUCAUCAAGAUUAAAACAUGUGAUAAAUUGGAAAACAUUUUCCCAUUUUUCAUGGUCGGACUUCUCACCAUGCUUGAAACAAUUGAAGUGUGUGACUGUGAUUCUCUGAAGGAGAUAGUUUCUAUUGAAAGACAAACGCAUACUAUCAAUGAUGACAAGAUUGAGUUCCCUCAAUUACGACUUUUAACAUUGAAAUCUUUACCAGCAUUUGCUUGUUUAUAUACCAACGACAAGAUGCCUUGUAGUGCACAAUCAUUGGAAGUCCAAGUGCAAAACAGAAACAAAGAUAUCAUCACUGAAGUUGAGCAAGGUGCCACUAGUUCUUGUAUAUCACUCUUCAAUGAAAAGGUAUGUAAAAACAUUAUCAUAAAUGUGUCCUUUAUAAUCUCUAAUCUUUAAUUUGUAUGUUAUUCAUCUAAAAGAAGUAAAAAGUUGUGAUCGUUUAAGUUUUGUCAUUUCUCUUGGGUACAUCAAUUUUCAAAAUCAAAAUCUUAUUGUUGAGACAUUAAUUAUAUAUGUUCUUACAGGUUUCAAUUCCCAAAUUAGAAUGGUUGGAGUUAUCCUCAAUCAACAUCCAGAAGAUAUGGAGUGACCAAUCUCAGCAUUGUUUUCAAAAUUUGCUUACAUUGAAUGUGACAGAUUGUGGUGAUUUAAAAUAUUUACUGUCAUUCUCCAUGGCUGGAAGUUUGAUGAAUCUACAAAGCCUUUUUGUAAGUGCAUGUGAAAUGAUGGAGGAUAUAUUUUGUCCAGAACAUGCAGAGGUGUGUGGAGUCAUUUAAUAUUGACUUAGAUUAUUACUAUCAUUUGUUGUUUAAUUGCAUUAAUUGUUGAGGUCUUUCAUCUGCUCACCUAACAUUCACUUUUUUCUGCAGCAGAAUAUUGAUGUUUUUCCUAAGUUGAAGAAAAUGGAGAUCAUCGGCAUGGAGAAACUUAAUACCAUUUGGCAACCCCAUAUUGGUCUUCAUUCGUUUCACAGUUUGGACUCUUUGAUAAUAGGAGAGUGCCACAAACUUGUUACGAUUUUUCCUAGUUAUAUGGGGCAAAGAUUUCAGAGCCUUCAAAGCUUGACAAUUACAAAUUGCCAGUUAGUGGAAAACAUAUUUGACUUUGAAAUUAUUCCACAAACUGGUGUUAGGAAUGAAACAAACUUGCAAAAUGUAUUUCUAAAGGCCUUGCCAAAUUUGGUGCACAUAUGGAAGGAGGACAGCAGUGAAAUACUUAAAUAUAAUAAUCUGAAAAGCAUAAGCAUUAAUGAGAGUCCAAAUUUAAAACAUCUCUUUCCACUCUCUGUUGCCACUGACUUAGAAAAACUGGAAAUCCUUGAUGUAUACAAUUGCAGGGCAAUGAAGGAGAUUGUUGCUUGGGGCAAUGGUUCAAAUGAAAAUGCUAUCACGUUUAAGUUUCCUCAGCUAAACACUGUAUCAUUACAAAAUUCAUUUGAACUUAUGAGUUUCUACAGAGGAACUCAUGCUUUAGAGUGGCCAUCGUUGAAGAAAUUGUCCAUACUCAAUUGUUUCAAGCUGGAAGGGCUCACUAAAGACAUCACAAACUCACAAGGGAAGUCAAUUGUGUCGGCUACAGAAAAGGUACAUAACAAAAAGAAUGAAUUAAGACUCUCUCACUGAAUGAUGUGAGAAUAUGCCAUUUAUUUCUUAUAAAAAAAAAUAACACUAUAAAUAUCUUAUUGAGUGGUUCCAAGUAUGCUUCAAUAUUGAUAAGUCUAUUUUAUUUAUAUAUAUUUUAGGUGAUAUACAACUUGGAAUCUAUGGAAAUCAGCUUGAAGGAAGCAGAGUGGUUGCAGAAAUACAUUGUCAGUGUUCACAGAAUGCACAAACUACAAAGACUUGUCUUGUAUGGAUUGAAGAAUACUGAAAUUCUCUUUUGGUUUCUUCAUAGACUUCCCAAUUUGAAAAGCUUAACAUUGGGGAGUUGUCAAUUGAAAAGCAUUUGGGCUCCUGCAAGCCUCAUUUCACGUGAUAAAAUAGGUGUUGUUAUGCAACUUAAGGAGUUGGAAUUAAAGAGUUUGUUGUCUUUAGAAGAGAUAGGAUUUGAGCAUCACCCACUUCUUCAGAGGAUAGAACGCUUAGUCAUUAGUCGAUGUAUGAAAUUGACAAAUUUAGCAUCAUCCAUAGUAUCUUACAAUUACAUAACACAUUUGGAAGUGAGAAAUUGUAGAUCGCUGAGGAAUUUAAUGACAUCCUCAACUGCUAAAAGCUUGGUUCAACUCACAACCAUGAAGGUAUUCUUAUGUGAAAUGAUUGUGGAAAUCGUUGCAGAAAAUGAAGAGGAAAAAGUACAAGAGAUUGAGUUUAGACAAUUAAAAUCUUUAGAAUUGGUGUCUCUAAAAAAUCUCACAAGUUUUUGCAGUUCCGAGAAGUGUGACUUCAAAUUCCCAUUACUGGAAAGUUUAGUAGUGAGUGAGUGCCCUCAAAUGAAAAAAUUCUCUAGAGUCCAAAGUGCUCCAAACCUUAAAAAAGUACAUGUUGUAGCUGGAGAAAAAGACAAAUGGUAUUGGGAAGGUGAUUUGAAUGGCACUCUACAAAAACAUUUCACAGAUCAGGUACGCAUUAGAUAGAGUAUUUAAUUUGUUAACCAUCACAAAUUUUCAUCUACCUACACAGAUAAAUUAUUUUUCAUUUCAUUGAAAAUUUUCCUAAGUCAAUAUUCUACAAUUGGAUAAUUAUGUCACCAUGAUAAAACAUAUAUAAUUGUAGCUUAAAUAUAUUUUUGUUCAAUUUAAGUUUAUGUUUUUUUUUUAAUUUUGGUCCCUUUAAGAUAUCCUGCUCUAUUUUUUUUUUGUUUCAGUAAGUUUGUAUUUUUUUUCAAUCUUGAUCCUUAUAAGCGUGAACUUAUGGGAAUUAUAAAUAAAAAAAAUAGAACCUUAAAGGAACUAAAAUUAAAAAAUACAAACAUAUAAGAAUUAAAAAUAAAUAAAAAAACUUACACAAACCAAAAUUGAAAAGAACAUCAACUUCCAGAAAUUAAAAUUAAGAAAAAAUGAACUUCCAAAAAUCAAAAAUAAAAAAGCGUUGAGGCCAAAGAACAUAUUUAGACAUAUAAUUGUAUGUUGUCCCAUAUGUAAAAUAUGAAGCAAGCUUAUUAUGUACUUUUGUAAUUUGUACAGAUUCAAUUAGAUUUAUUUAUUGGUCAAGGUUUCCUUAUUUGUAGUAAUCAAGUCUGAUUUUAUUUCCAAAAUUCUUGCAUAGUUUUAUCAAGAAAGCUGCACAAAUCAACUACUGAUCUUUAUUAUACUCUUUGAAUUAUGAGAAAAUAAUAUUCACUUUUCAUAUUCCUAAUUUGUAUUAUAACUAAUUUACUGAAGUGGGAGUACAGUAUAAGAAUUUAAAUAGAAGAAUGCACUCACAAUUAACGUAAUUUUUUACAUUGUUAUCCAAUCAUUGAUUGUCAUGAAAUAAUUAUAUUAAAAUUUAAUUAGAAUGUGUUAAAUGUAUAAAAUAUUUUGUAUUACAUUGUUAUCAAGAGUGUAUCAACUUAUAAUCUUAUUUGUACUAUAAAAAAAGCUUAUAAUCUUACCUAUAGCUUAAAAGUCAUAUCCCAAAUGAUUUUUAUUUGAUUGAUAAUAUAAAAUUAUUUUUUUAUACGAAGAAAAAAAAAGGUAUACAACAAUUGAUGUAUCAUGUUCAAUUAAUUGAGCUAUUUAAAAUUGUUCACUUUAAUAUAUCAAAAUAGAAGUCAGAACAUGAAUGGAAAAUAAAAAAAGAAAAUUGAAUUUUAAUGUGAUGGCUGGAGAUAUCUCAGCAGCGAGGCACAUAUAUAGUUUUCUACAUCAAAAGUAAACCUAAGUCGUACAUAAGCAACAAUUUUUUUUUUACAAUAGAAUUUCUUAUAAUUUUUUAAGUUUAUAUACUCUACAAUCAAGACAUUUAACUUGGUUAAAAUUUGAAAAUGAUAGUAUAAUUACAACAAUAAUAUUUUAAAGAAAAUAGAAGUGGUUAGAACUUAUAAUGAAACAGGACUUUAUUUGAAUAUGAAGAUAAUAGCAUAUCCACAGUAACAAUAAUUAAUACAAUUAACUUAAAUAUAAAAACAAUAAUAUUCAUAUUUUAAAAUAAAAUAUUAUUUAAAGCGUAGUUUCGAGAGUUUCCAUACAUACACUCCUAACGUUGAGUUUCAAUGCUUUGAAGGUAUUUUUUGAAUAUUCAAAGCAUAUGAUCCUUCUCGAUUACCUUGAGGCAACGGGUGUUAGGCACGGCAAGCCUGCUUUUCUGAAGAAUAUCUUUGGCAGUUUAAAGAAAUUGGAAUUUGAUGGAGCCAUUAAAAGAGAGAUUGUAAUUCCAUCUCAUGUACUUCCUUACUUGAAGACCUUAGAAGAAUUGAAUGUACAUAGCUCCGAUGCAGCGCAGGUAAUAUUUGACAUAGAUGACACUGAUGCCAACCCCAAGGGUAUAGUCUUUCGUUUGAAAAAACUUACUCUAAAACGCUUGCCUAAUUUGAAAUGUGUAUGGAACAAAACCCCCCAAGGAAUUCUCAGCUUUUCCAAUUUGCAAGAUGUGGAUGUUACUGAAUGUAGAAGCCUGGCAACAUUGUUCCCUUUGUCCCUUGCCCGAAAUCUUGGGAAGCUUAAGACCCUUCAAAUAUUUAUCUGUCAAAAGUUGGUAGAAAUUGUUGGAAAGGAAGAUGUGACGGAACAUGCAACAACUGUUAUGUUUGAUUCCCUUGUUUGUGGACUGCUUCUUAUAAGCUGUCCUGCUUAGUGCUUUUUAUCCUUGAAAACACCAUCUGGAAUGCCCCUCCUAACAAGCUUGCGUGUGUCCUAUUGUCCUAAGUUGAAGCUAUUCACAUCAGAAUUUCGAGAUAGUCCCAAACAAGCAGUUAUAGAGGCUCCAAUUAGCCAACUACAACAACAACCUCUGUUCUCGGUUGAAAAGGUGACAAAACAUUAUCAGUUAUACUUUUUGUGCUUUUUUUUUCUUUAAUUUCAUAUUAUAUUUUCCUCCUUCUAAUUACCACCUUGCAUUUUCUUUUUAAUUUGUUUGGCCUUGCUAGAUUGCAAUCAAUCUGAAGGAAUUGACACUCAAUGAGGAAAACAUUAUGUUGUUGAGCGAUGGACAUUUGCCACAAGACCUCCUUUUCAAAUUAAGAUUUCUUCAUCUAUCCUUUGAGAAUGAUGACAAUAAGAUAGACACUUUGCCUUUUGAUUUCCUUCAGAAGGUACCCAGCUUAGAACAUCUUCUAGUGCAAAGGUGCUAUGGUCUGAAGGAGAUAUUUCCCUCUCAGAAACUCCAAGUUCAUGACCGUUCACUUCCCGCAUUGAAACAAUUAAUCCUGUAUAAUCUUGGAGAGCUGGAGUCGAUAGGGUUAGAGCACCCAUGGGUUCAGCCAUACUCUCAAAAGCUUCAAUUAUUACAUCUUAUCAACUGUUCUCAGUUAGAAAAACUAGUGAGCUGUGCAGUGUCUUUCAUCAAUCUGAAAGAGUUGCAAGUGACGUGCUGUAAUAGGAUGGAGUAUUUAUUGAAAUUCUCAACUGCCAAAAGUUUGUUGCAACUUGAGACCCUAUCUAUAGAGAAAUGUGAAUCAAUGAAGGAAAUAGUAAAAAAAGAAGAAGAAGAUGCUUCUGAUGAGAUCAUAUUUGGACGCCUCAGAAGAAUAAUGUUGGAUUCAUUACCAAGGCUAGUAAGGUUUUAUUCAGGGAAUGCCACUUUGCAUUUAAAGUGUUUGGAAGAAGCCACGAUUGCUGAAUGCCAGAAUAUGAAAACAUUCUCAGAAGGAAUAAUAGAUGCGCCAUUAUUAGAGGGGAUUAAAACUUCAACAGAGGAUACUGACUUAACCUCCCACCAUGAUCUCAACACCACAAUCCAGACCUUGUUUCACCAACAGGUCAGGAAUCAUUAUCCACCAAAUUCAAUUGUUAUUUGUUUAUAUCUCUAAACAUAGGGGGCAUGCUAAUUAACCAAUGUCUCAACAAUAUUGAUUAAAAAAUUCGAGUUAAAAUAUGUUUGUAACUUUAAAUAAAUAUCUAAAAUUUGUGUUUGAUUCUUAAUAAUAUUUUUUUUGUGUGUGUCAUAAGUUUUUUUUUUUUUGUUAUUGGUCCUUCAUAUUUUUUAUAAUUCCUAAUAAAUUUAUAUUUAUUUGUUUAUUAUUUUUUAUUUUAGUAUUUUUUUUUAAAAUGACUAAUAACAAAUACAAAAAAUUUAUUUGGGAGUAAACAAAAACAAAUUUCUUAAUUUAUAAGACACUAAAAAAGAAUCAUUGACCAAAAAUAAGAUUGUUAUUUUAUUAAAGAUUCAAUAUAAUUUUAUUUUCCUUUUAAUUCCUUAAAUAAUGUCCUAAAAAUACUAGUUAAUCAAACCUUUAUUUUAAAAUGUACACUCUCGUUCUUUCCCUUGUACUUUAGGUAAUUUUUAAUGUAUAUAAUAUCUUAAUAGUUGUGAAUAAAUAUGAGUUAGUGUGUCUCCCAAUUAUAUAUUAUCUUUUUCUACCACUUUUAAUGUGACCACCAACUAAUUUUUAAAAACCUAUAUAUUGUUGAUCAUAAUUUUUUUAUAAAGUAGAAUGAAACUUUAAAUAUUUUUAUUAUCACCAAUGAAUUAAGUCUAAUAAAAGAGCUUAAUCGAUGUAAUAAAUUAAUUAUAUAUGUUUCAAAUUAUUGAUAAAAUAGAUGUUCACAUUUAUUAUCUGACUUAGUUUUAAAUAGAAUUGUCUCUAAAUUAAAAACUAAAAAAUAUCUCUUUAAUUGCUUAUGAAAUUUCAUCUUCUAAUCAAAGUCACAAAAUUCAUAUCAUAUGUUCGAAAUUUGUAGAUCAUGGUGAGGAUAACUGCAAGAGAAUUAUUAGUUUAAAAAAAAAACUCAUUUACAUGAUAUAGACUGAAUUAUAAUACUUAUUUAUCUUUCAAGGAAGGAGAGUGUAUAUUUUAAAAUAAGAGUGAAAGUGAAUAUAAUUUAAGCUUCUCUAGGAUAGCAGAAGGAGAUUUACUCUAAAAUAUUUCUUACGGCAUACAUUACUUACUACAUUAAAAACUUGUCAUGAUGAUAUCUUUGUUUGCUUUUACCAACACUUGUUUGAUCUUUUACCAAUAGGUUGUGUCAUAAAUCAAUAUCUCAAAAGUUUAUUUGUUUUGGACAAAGACAUACAUAUGGUUUUAUAUAUUAUAUCUCUAAUUUGCCUUUGAAUCCCUUUGAUUAGCUUGAAAUGUGGAUAAUACAAUCCAUCUACGACCUUUAGACUCUAAUACUUACUUACAAUAUAUAUCAUGAACCAAUAAUUAAUGUCACAAGAUUAAGAUUAAGCUGUUGCGUAAAGGCACAUGAAUGAUUUUAAUUAAUAAUAUAUCUCAUAUAUUAAAUUUUAAAUACAUUUUCAUUAUUACAAUGGCUAUUGUGAGAAUAACAUAUUUAUAAUGUUCUUAUUAAGUUCUAUUUGACUUAUUAUAAUUAAUAAAUUUUGUGUUUGUUAUUUUAUAAUAAUUUUUUUUCAUUGGCUCUCCUAUAAAAUAAUAAUUUUAUUUCUAUUCUUGGUAUCGUUUUUUAAUCACUAAUGAACUUUUUUUUAUAACCUGAUAUUUUUUUUCAUGUUAUUAAACAAAAAAUUAAUAAUUUAUCAUCAACUAAAAAAGGUGUCAUAAACAAAAAUAAAACUUUUGUUUUAUUAGGAAUUCAAUACAAAGAACAAUAUUUAUUAAAAAAUAAAUAUAAAAUUUAAAUAUUUAUUGAGGAUCUAAAAUAUAUUUUACCCUAAUAUAAAUGUGAGAAAAAAGGAUAAGAGAGCUACCUUAUAGAAAGAAAUUAAGUAUCUAAAUGGACCAAAAAGAUACAGCAGUCAAAUUCGUUGUAUUUGACCCGUGUAACAAGACAAAGGAUAAGGUUCAUAAUCUCCACCAUGGGUAACACAUGUUUUGAAACUUCAAACACAUUUUUUGGAAGCUUAAAACAAAAGAAUACAUUUUUAUCCUACUUAAAUUGUAAAGAAAAAAUGAAAACUUAAAUUAGAGUAAGAUCAACUUCUAUGAAUAUCCAUUUUUAUCCUCUAACUUUUUAUCUUUAUCAAUAUUUUAAUUUUUUAAUCCAUGUUUUUUUGUUAUUGCUAAUACCUUGAAGAUAGUUUAGACCAUGUCUAUUAGGACAAAACCCAGCCUUUUCACUCUUUUUUUUUUUUUUUUUAUCGUAGGCUAGUUGAGUUCAAUUUCAAUUUUAUUUUGUUUCCUCUUCACCUUCCAUUAUUUUAUUUAUAACUCAACACAAUUUUUCUUGCCUUUUUCUUUUUAUUUAUAUAUUAUUUUAUUUGUGUCUUCUUAAACCAAAAUUUAACCACAAUUGUUAUUUUCACUCAUCUUUACACACUAUGACACUUCCUUUCUUAUUUUAUACCAAAAUUACCUUGCUAAACACUAUCAUCCUCUUUCUCUUCUCUUUCUUCAGAAAAGAAAAGAAAAAGAAAAAAGGCACUCCCCUCCACAACUCUAGUAACACAUUUGACAAAUGUGAAUGAUCUUAUUAUAAUUUGCUCAUUUUUUUAAAACAAAAUACUUAUGAGAGUAGUACAAAAUAAAGAAAUAUAUUUUGAAGCAAAUUUGUUCAUGCGCGUGCCUGUCGAUAACAAAACAACUCUUAACUCAACCAUUUUUGGAUGUCUUGAAUUUUUAUAUAUAGAAUAUUUCACUAAAGCAUGGAUGUAUCUCAACCUUAUUUUUGCUUGGGUGUUUAAUUCUUAAUCUUGUUAUAUGAUAUUAUUAAGAGAAAACAAAAGGACACCAUAAGGAAUGCCCCUUCUAGAACAUACAAUGCAUGUACACAACUCAGGAUAACAUACACUUACAAAAAGAUACUCACUAAAAUAAGUUACACUAAAAGAACACAAUUUUACAAAUAAAAAAAUGCUACAGAAAUAAAAAAAAACUGAUAUAUUAUUUAUAAUAAAAAAUACCGAUAAUUUUUUAUAUUUUAGAAAUCUACUGGAGGUCCCAAACAGCUCCCUUAAUUUUACUCAACCUUUUCAUACUAAUUGGGCAUAUUAACCCAAAAUAUUAUGUUAAAGUAUAAUUGGAUAUCUAAAGCCUUAUGUUUUUUUAUUUUUUAUAAGAGGAGCACAAAACAUUCUAUCAACCUUCUUUUCUUUUCUCUUCUCUUCUAUUUUUUUUUUAAUAUUUUGGGCGGGCAUGAGCUGUUAUAUUUUGGGCUUACAUGAGCUGAAAAGUUAUGUUAUCUUUUCUCCUUAUCUUUUCGUUUCAUUACAAUUUUCUUACCAUGUGGGUCAUAGACCUUUAGUCACUAUUUUAUUCCCAUUUUGGUCUUUCUACAUUUUAGACCAUUGGAAUCCAUUCUAAAAAUAAUAAAGAAAAUAACUCCUCUAGCCCAAAUAUUAAAAGAUGCUCUUACUUUAAAUUACAUGUAUAAACUUAUUUCUAUUAGACUCGUACAAAAAUAAUAUAUCAAAAUAAAGCGCAAAAUUUAAUUAAAAAACAAAAAUGAGAAUUUGAAAUUUAACAAGAGAUAAUUGUAGAUAUCUCAAUUAAGGAGGCACAUGCAUAUAUAGUUUUCUACAAUCAAAUGUAAAUCCAAGUGGUACACACGAGACUUGUCAAGUAUCUGACGUUGAGUUUCUCUGGCUUUGAAGGUAUUUUUUGAAUAUUCAAAGCAAAUGAUCCUUGUCGAUUACCUUGAGACAACGGGUGUUAGGCGCGCCAAACCUGCUUUUCUGAAGAAUUUCUUUGGCAGUUUAAAGAAAUUAGAAUUUGAUGGAGCCAUUAAAAGAGAGAUUGUAAUUCCAUCUCAUGUACUUCCUUACUUGAAGACCUUAGAAGAAUUCAAUGUACAUAGCUCCGAUGCAGCGCAGGUAAUAUUUGACAUAGAUGACACUGAUGCCAACACCAAGGGAAUGCUCCUUCCAUUGAAAAAGCUUACUCUAGAAAGCUUGUCAAAUUUGAAAUGUGUAUGGAACAAAAC
Molecule: long non-coding RNA, 117981 nt
Filed under: Glycine max (soybean)
Lineage: Eukaryota; Viridiplantae; Streptophyta; Magnoliopsida; Fabales; Fabaceae
Description: long non-coding RNA (GMAX_LNC004217)
Source: RNAcentral